Molecule: long non-coding RNA, 141894 nt
Filed under: Citrus maxima (pomelo)
Lineage: Eukaryota; Viridiplantae; Streptophyta; Magnoliopsida; Sapindales; Rutaceae
Description: long non-coding RNA (CMAX_LNC003393)
Rfam family: Plant small nucleolar RNA R71 (bases 58000-58106)
Source: RNAcentral
UUAACACAAAAAGUUUAAUUAACUUUUCUUUUUGAGAUAACAAAAUCUCUGGUGUUGAAAACAAUGAGGUUUGAGGUUCAAGCUUGAAUAUCAAGUUACAAUUAAUAGAUGGUCUUAGGACAUAUCAAAGAUUUCUUUAAAGACAAAAUAAUAAUUACAAGCAAUAGGAAUUUAUGGUAUUCAGAACAUGUAACCUUCGCACAUGAAGCUUGAGUCCAGCAAAAGAUGCAGCUAGCCAAAACCCCACAAAAUCUCUGUCAACAUGUCUGUUCUACUUCAAUAUUAAGCACAUUCAUAGCGGUAUCAACAGCUUACAGCUCCAAAAUAUUUUCCCCAAAAAGAGUUGAGAGAUUUCACUGAAGCUAAUUUGUGACUUGUCACUGCUCAAAUGUUCUAUAACACGAUAUGAUUAUUCUAGUAACACAAAUCCAAUAGCAUGCAACAUAAUCUACUCUCUAACAUUGUGCAUUAGUAAAAUAAAACAGAGUAAAAAGAGACACCAUGCCUGUGAAUCUCUUCUUUUCCCCCUACCACCCCUUUUUUUGGUGAAGUCCAUCAAAUGAAAAUGCAGCAUGACCACGUUGGCCACUGCCACUGCCAUUACUUCUUCAACUGUGCCUUUUGUUGCAGGAAAUAUUCAAGUGAAAGAUUGGAUUAUAUAAUUCAAGAUUCCAAUAAACCUGAGCUGCAAAGGUUGCCUUCCACUAGCCUAUCAGAGACUAUGCUUUCUAUUUUCCUAGUUUUUUAAUCAAAAUUUUGCAAGAUUUAUUUAUGGAAAUCUUGGACAAAAUUUUAUGUAAGAUACCAUAAAGCCAAACACAAUCUUUUUAAUUCUCAGCAGCAACAUUUAAAGUAAAAAAAUGGAAGCCAUAUGAAUAUAACUAUGUUUGGUACAAGGAACAAUUAUUUCAAGCUUUCAGAAAUGCUACCAAGAAAUUGUAAGAGAACUUUACCUGGUCACAGAAUAUGUCUAACAUACUACCACCAACUGUCUUCAGCACGAUUGUUAUGAAGUAGCUUUUGAAUCGGAAGAUUCCAGCUUCCACCAGGCACCAUUAUUUUCAUUCUUGAUACACUCUCAUCAUCCCAAUCAAGGCUUCUUCUCCAGCUCUGGAUUAUAAGUCCACUCCGACAUCUUCAAACAUCUCGGUCCUUCCAUUUGCCAACAACCGAUAUGGCUUCCUUCCUUGCCUUCCUCAUUAAUAUAUCACUCGAAGGAAAAAAAGCAUCAGCAAUUCUCUUCAACGCCUCAUCGUUUAUAACCCCCCAAAAAAAGGGUCUUCAGACACCUCAACUUUGCCUUGUGCAAAACCUCCCCAAAAUCUGAAUUAUCCAACACAACAGCCAGAUACUCAAUCCUUCUUUUGUCCAUCAUAUCCACCGUAUGAUUCCUCAACAAAAUAUCUACAGCUUGUGGCUUAUCUAACACUGUCUUGAUCCAAAACCCCGCUCUUUUCAACUCAUCUGCCAAACCAUAACCCACUUUUGGAGUCAAAAUUGUCCUUGCAGCCCUUUUAUAUUUUUCCAUCUCCAUCGAAUACUUGCCACUCAAAUGGAAUUACCAGACAGGAAUCCCAGUAACAAGUCCACUCAACUUCUUCUCAUCCGAUCCCUCUUUCACUCUAGCGGAAACAUUAAUAACCAUUCACCAGCCACAAAUUACCCAAGUAAGUACUCGUGUCGUCAACACUUACCCUUCACUUCAUCUACGCAAACAUGAAUUCAAAUUGAUUAUUAGCUAGUGCUCAAGCGAAAGCCAAAAUAAAUUAAAUAUGUGUGUGCGUGUGUGUUAAAAGAGAAACGGUAGCGAAGUUAUUAUACAAUAAAGCAAACCAAAAUAAAUUCUACACUCAUGUGGGUGUUUCGCUCGCAAAAUCUGGACAAGAAAAAAUAAUAUUGAUACAAUCUCCAAAUAAAGAGCAUUCCUCUUGGUAAAAUAGACAAAUCCUAUAAAUUUUGAUUAAUGGUGCCAAAUGAAAGAGUUGUAAUUUCAUGUACAUUUUGUUAACAUGCAUAAGGGUACAAAAUAGAUAUUAAUGUGACAAAAACAAAGCUAAUCACAAUGAAUGAUAAGGUUUAGAAAUCCCAGUUUGUGUAAAAGAAAGAUAACAAAAUUAAGGAAAACAUAAGCACAACAAAAUUUGACUGAUUAUUAAAAAUGAGAAAUGAGUUAUAAUGAAAAUUUUGGCUUUGUGGUGAAAUAAAUUGGGAAGUAUCCAAAGUUCGCAUGUAAAUAAUAUAAAUGAUAAGAAGACGAAGGGAACAAAAUGAUAAUAAGCAAGCCAAAUAUUAAAAGCCAAAUAUUCAAGUUAGUGUCUCGCUAAUCAUUUUAGACGUAUCAAUUACAAAGGGAGGCCAUCUAUUUAUAGUAAGCGUACUGUUGCGGACCGCCCAAUUCGCUAGCCCAAUUGCCCACAAUUUCAGGCUAGAGAGCCAACACAAGGCCAAGAGUGCUAGCUUGGCCCAAUUCCGGAAAGUUCUAUGCAACUCUAGCACAUGUGAGCUUGUAAAUACUCUAGAAUUCUCUAUACAAUUCCAGCACAUGUAAAUAGCUAGGAAGUGGUAGAAUUCUCUAGAAUCUCUAGAGCUUGGCAAGCCUCCCCUAUAAAUAUGGGAUGGCAUUAGGCAUUUGUAUCCAACAAACACUACAACAAGCAACUCAAGCAUUAUAAUCUCUUUUGUGCAAUACAAGUUUCUUCUUUGGCUCAAUUGCUCUCUCUUCUCUAAUCCGAGAAGUUCUAGGCUUACUUAGCAACAUUCGGCAAAGUUGUCUAAGUGCCGCACGGGUUAGCUGCGCAAAACACUCAUCCCGUGACAGUACGCCUCUAAUGCUUUGCCAGGUGUCCAUUGAUAAUAUCACAAGGAAAAUUAAAUUGGUGUAUGUGUAUUACACCUCCUAAAGUCAUGUUAAGAUAGUUAGCACUCUUGGUUAAGUCUGCUAGAAUUGCAAACGUGUAAAGCUGAGUCAGCAAGUUAGUUAAGGUUAUUAUGAAUGCUUAGAUUCAGCUCAUGUAGAUUGUGUAUACAACUUUCUAAUAUCCUUUAGAUCUCAAUAUGAAUACUUGUAAUCAACAAAUACAAUAAUAAGAGUCAUCAUUCUUCAUUUUCUCUCAGUUUCUCUCAUAUUUUCUCUGCAUCCAAACACAAUAUUCUCAGUUCUUGACUUAGUAUCAGAGUCGCAGUUUAAUUGACGUGGCUUCGUUAAGCACAAAUUCAAAACAAAUCAGUCUCCUUCAUCCUUUACCUUCACAAAUUCGAUCAAACUGGACAGAUCUAACUAUACAAUCUGGAAAUCUCAGAUCCUCUCUUCAGUGCGUGCCAAUGGACUUGAAGGCUUUCUUAAUGGAACUAAAAUUUGUCCAGAUCAGUUACUUACUCAAGAGAUUGAAAGUUAUGGUGCUGAAAAUGCAGUUGGUGAAAGCUCAGCUGAUAGAUCUCAGGAGAAUCCAGCCUUUGUUGCUUGGAAAAUGUAGGAUCAAUUGUUAUUAAGUUGGCUCAUGUCCUCCAUCAGUGUUGAGAUACUUAGUCUUGUGGUAAAUUCUGAUUCUUCUCAUAAACUUUGGACUAAUCUUGAAGAAAAUUUUUGGAUUAGAAACUAUGGCUAAGAAAGCACACUUAAAAAUGAUGUUAAGCAAUCUCAGAAAGGGAUCAAUGACAAUAACUGAGUAUUUUGCCAAACUUAGAGCUGUAACUAAUAAACUUGCUCUAACUGGUAGCCCUGUUUCUACUCUAAGACUUUAUUACUCAUCUAAUCUCUAGAUAAGGCCAGCCAUACUACCCUGUUGUUUUGUAUAUUGAAGCUAAUAUGAUGAAAAUAUUUGUCAAUGAAGCCUAUUCUAUGCUUUUAACUCAUGAAGCAAGAAUUAAAUUUAAUCAUCCGAGUGCAAAUAAAGAAGCAAAGUUGAAUUAUGCUGCUAACAUAGCUUAGGCUGGACCUAGUAAUAACAAUAAGAAUUCUAGUAAUCAAGCUAAUUACUAUCAGGGAAACCAAGGUAACGGGAAUAGAAAUGCUCAUUGGUGUGGUAACAAUGGAGGAAGAGGUGGCUUUGGCAGAGGUUUUUCAGGGCAAGGAAGGGGUAAUUAGAAUAAUGGUGGUCAUUGGAACAAUGGACCUUGGAGUAGUAGUCGAGCAGGUUAUAACCUUUUUAUAAGAAACUCAAAAAUGUAUUAAUGAUGAAAAUUUUAAAACAGAUAGUGGACCAGCUGUUCACUAAGAAAACAAAAAACUGAAUAUUCGUGCUAUAAAAAGGCACAUCCAAUCUCACCCCUACAAAAGGCUAGAAUCAGCGACAAAUCCCUAUCUCAAAACCCCAUCCCAGUUUAGAUGAAUGAAGAAAAAAGAUGAAUCUUGAAACUCCUUAGAAACUGAAGCCCAAAGUGAAGCAAGAAGAUGAACUCUAUCCCAAGCAAGCAAUAUGGCAUAUUUCUCCAUUAAUGGUUCAAAUAAAGUGAAUGGCUUUCUCUGAUGAAUGGGAAAUUUUCAAGAUCAAUAGUCAAACUCACGUAAAGUAAACGGACUUAAUUCUCAAAGGCUACUCAUUCUAAGUCUUAAAGAAAAUUUUUCUAAUUUCUAAAGAUUAUAUGGGGAAAAAUCAUUAUUUUCUAAAAUGGAAAAUUUGAUACGGUGUUUAAUGUUUGAUCACAAUCAUAAUAUGAGUACUAACAAAAACAUCUUUAAUCGGCAUGGUGCGAGUAAAACACUAUCACUUUAUCUUUGAUAGAAAGAUGAUAAUAUAAGGAGAUGGUGAAAUGGUUUUGGUCUCUGGCAGCUUGUAAUCAAAAGAAAACAAAAAACUACACUAUUAUUAAUGAUUAUCGAAGCUACAGAAGUAUCAAAAUCGGAAAGCAAACAAUUGCAAAACACAUCAAUGACUGAAGGUUAGGUUCUAAAACUUCCGUAUUUAAUUUUCAGAGCAUGUUAUGUAUUAUUCAGAAAUAUGAUUUCACUUCAGGCACUAGACCAAGACGCAUUAAACAUAAAACGCGGCGUUUUCAUGGACUAGUACAUUCCAUGCUUCGAAAGUUUAUGUUUUAGACUGAUUGGUUUGAUACAUUAUUUGUUUAUUGUGUUUUUCUUGCUUUAAAUAUUAUGUUGGAUUGAUAAGUUUUGUACACAUUUAUAUUGCUCGCAGUAAAUAAUUUAUGACAUUUAAAAAACUAUCAACCGUCUAUCAAAAGAUUUCUACUAUAAAUAUAUAUACAAAAAAACUUUUAAUUUGGUCAAUUUGUUCUCUUAUUUAUUUUUGUUCUAUUUCUCUUUUCCUUCCCUUUCAUUUUAUUGUUUUAUGGUACAAAAUAAAAAAAUAACCUUAAAAUUUAAGGGUAAAAUACUCAUUUUACUAAAAUUCCGUUUAAUAUUAUAAAGCUGUCAAAUGUCAAUGGCAUAGUACACGAGUGAUACAAAUUAAUAACAAUAAAUUGAAAGUUUUUAUGCAUUUUCCUUUUUUUUUUUUUAUAGUCGAUUGAGAUUUCCCUUCAUAUGUUUAAACCUGUUGAUUUCCUCAACGCUCAUCCUGUUGGAAAACAACUCCUCAGUACUUGGAGUGUCUACUCCGUAGUAACAAGAAGCUAUGAUUGGUGGGCUUGCAGCGUACCCAAGUGCAGCCACCACUCCAGAAUCUGGUACUGCAAUCACGACAUCACACUCAACAGGAGCCUCGGUAGCAAGUACUUCCCCAAAAUGAUACCUCGACUCAUAAACAGACCUUUCAAAAACAACAGAAUUAGGCAAAGCAAAAUAAAUAUGCUUAAAGAUGCACUGCUUAGGUUCAGGGUGAGGCAUCAAACAAGGUGAUUGAACCCCAUCUUUAUCCACCAUCAAAACUUCACCGGGAUAUACCUCUCUCUCUCUCUCUCUCGAGUGUGGCCUCAAUCAAAUAGUGCACAAGUCUCUGACGCAAAAACCAGAGCACCAUUACUCCUCCUACCCAUCACCAACGGCAUAAACCCAUACGGGUCACGAACUGCAACAAGCUUAUCCUCAGUAACAAACACCAUUGAAUAAGCACCCUCAAGCUUCUCACAAACAUCCACAAUCCUCAAAAAGAACGGCCUAGCUUUCGAUAUCGGAAUCAAAUGGAGAACAACCACAGUAUCAGAACUAGUAUUAAAAAUGGAUCCAUUAUCUUCAAGCUUAGCCCUCAAAGUAUUACAAUUAACUAAUGUGCAACACCAACAGAACCAAACCUGUACCCAGCAACAAAAGGCUGCACAUUCUUAAGCAUAGAACUACCCGCAGUCGAAUAUCUAACAUGACCAAUGGCCAUAUCACCCGGCAAUUGAUCAAGUUUGGACUGAUUAAACACAUCAGAGACUAAACCAACACCAGUAAUAGACUGAAGAGCUUUGUUAUUCACAGCAACUAUACCUACACCUUCUUGGCCACGAUGCUGCAGCGCGUGUAGCGCCAAAUAGCACAAACGCGAGGCCUCUGGGUCACCAUAGAUGCCCACAACACCACACUCCUCGCGGGGUUUACCGUCGUCGUCAUCAUCAAAACUGCCAAAACCGUCAUCUGGGUAUUCUUUAUUUGUGGUGAAAAACUCAGAGAUGGGUUUUUUGAUAGAACAGUGAAGUUUUUUUUGUGGGUUAAAGAUUGUUGUUUCUGAGGAAAAAAAGGGUUUUUUUUGCAGGGUUUUGGAGAAAAGAGAAAGAUGGGUUUUUUGCGACGGCUUAGGGUUAACAGAUGGAGAUGGGUUUGAGAGAGGGCAGAUGUUGGCGGUGCCUGUUGUGGUGGCUGCCAUUAAUGGCUGAAUUUAUUAUAAACAGGCAAAAUUAUGGUACCAUUGUUGCAAUCAGCCAUUAGAUUUAUAGUUGUAUAGUUACAUUAACAAGAUUCAAUGGCUGAAAGCAACAGUGGUACCGUACUACUGUUGCAACAUAGCUGGACCCAUUAUAAACACUUGAAGUCAAAGUUAAUGUUUUAAUUGUUAAGAAAAGUUAGAAGAAGAAAUUUUUGUAUAAGAGAAUUGGGUUUAAAUUUAGAAUUCUUUGGGAGGAAAUGAGUCUAAAUUCCAAUAAUAUAAUUCAGCACUAUUUAUAUAUAUCAUUAGUUGGGUGAAAAAUUAAUUUCCCUCCUUUGAUGUGAUUUUCAUCAUUUAUUUUCAUAUAACGGUAAUUUUUUGUUUAGAGUGAAGUUAUUGGCACCAUUUCAUUAUCCUUAUAAAAUCCUACUUCAAAUAAAAUUACACUUAAAGACAAUAGAAUUAAAUAACAUAGUUUUUUUUUCAAACAAAUUACUCACGUUCAUAAUUUUUUUUCUUCUAAUUUUCUACAGAUUGCUUUGUAUCUAACUAAAAUAAAUUGUACAAAUUUAGAAUAAUCUAUUAUUCUUUUUAAAUUUCUUAUUGAUUAAAUAUUUGUAUGCUUAAGAUAGUUUUAAAAUUAUAAGAUAAAAUAUAUAUAAUUUAAGCCAAUGAUUAAUAUUAAAAAAUUUAUCUCUCAUAAAAGUUUUUAAUUUGUGCGUAGGGUAAUAAUAAAAUUGCAAAAGAAAUGAAAAAUAGCAUAGCACUAUUUUGAGUUUAAACAAUAAAAAAUUAAAUGAAAAAUUAGAAGUGUAUUUAAAAAAAGGAUAUUUUUGAAAAUAAAUAUAAUUUAAAAAAAAAAGAGUUUCAUGAGGGGUGCAAUAGUUCAACUCUUUUGUUUAUAAGUUUUAAGAUGUUGGUAUCCGUAGCUUAGCUUUUCCCUAAUUAUUAUAUUAAAAUGUAACAACAAUUAUGAUCAACCCUAAUUUCAUGGAGGUCAAAGAUUUUGGUCAUGCCACAUUAUUUUUUUUUUGUUUUUAAAAAUAUCAUUUAUUUAUUUUUUUUAAAGGUAAAGAAGUGGGUAAAGUUCAAAUUCAACUUUUAUCCCUUACGUCAUGGCCCCUAAGAUUUGAACUUAGGUGACCAAAUUUAUAAUAAUAGGCAUCUCAAAUUUCAUUUCUAAUGAUAUGCAAUUUAUUAAGUGAUUGUUAAUCUUUAUAAGAUCCGAGUGAAUUAAUUGUAUUAUUUCACUACUAAUUGAUGAGUAUCAUAUUAUUUGGAAUAACUUGUGAAUAAAAAAAUUGUGAUGGAUGAAAUAUUCUUUUGAGAAUUUAUUGACUUAUCUCAUUUAUGAUUUAUUGUUGCAUUUAGGUGAUAUUGCAAAUAAUUUUUCCGAUAAUAUUAUUGUUUUGACGAGUAAGUUUGGAGUAAAUAAUACAUAUGACAAGUGUGAGGUUUGUUAUUGCAUAUAUUUUGUGGAUCCAUUUUAAAGCAAAAAAAAAAAAGGCAUUUCGAUUCAUUAUGAUUCCAGAUAAUAUAUAUGUAGAUCCUCACACAAUUGAUUAAAUAUUUAUAGUAGGAUAGAGUGAUAAAUAGUUUUACAAAAUUAUUGGAAUUAACUAUUUAAUACAUGAGAUCUAUCUCACUAAGGAUAAAAGAUUGCUGCUUCAAAAGCUUGACGUUGCUGGCAACAAAUUUAACACAAAAGUUUAAUUAACUAUCCUAGUUGAGAUAAUAAAAUUUCAUGUUGAAAACAAGAGGUUCAAACCUUCUCAUUCAAAAAAAUAAAGCCAAAAUAUUACAUCUUCCAGCACAUAUAAAAGAUUUUUUCUUCAAAGGCAGACUGAUAAUUCAGGGUAAAAAAACAAAAACAAAAAAAACAAAAAAAAAAAACAAAAGGAAUAUAUGCUAUUCAAGACAGGUAUACCUUGGACAUGAAGUCUGAGUCCAGAGCAAGAAGCAUUUAGCUGAUUUUUCAAUUUCCAAAACCCAACAAAAUCUUUGUCAAAAUAUAUGAUCUAGUCCCAUAUUAAGCACAUUCAUAGUCGUAUCACCAGGUUCAAAAUAUUUUCCCCAGAUAGAGAUAGAGAUUCCAUUGAAGUUGAGUUGUGACUGUCCCAACAUUUUGUAAUUAUAUGGUUCAGUAUACCAUGCCUAUGAAUCUUUUUUUUUUCUUUUUUUCCAUGUUUCGAAGUCUAUCAAAUGAAAAUGUAAUUAUAUGGUUCAGGACACCAAUAUGCCGGAGCUGCAAAGGUUGACUUCCACUAUCCUAUCAGUGUCUAUACUUUCUAUUGAGUUUCCUUGUUUUUUUUUAAAUUGCGAGAUUUAUUUUUGGAAAUCCUUGACACAUUUUAUGUAAGAUACCAUAAAGCCAAAUACAACCUUUUUUAUUCUCAGCAGCAACUUUUUUUUUCCUUUUAAAAAAAGGAAGCCAUAUAAAUAAUGCUUUAAACAUUAUUUGCAACAAGAAACAAUUAUUUCAUGCUUUCAGGUAUUAGAAACUUCCCAAAAAUGCUAGCAAGAAAAUGAAAUGGAACUUUACCUAGUCACGGAAUAUGUACUGCUGUUAGCACAAUUGUUAUGAAGUGGCUUCUGCAUCAGAAGAUUCCAGCUCCCACCAAGCAUUGUUAUCUCUCUUCUGAAUACAAUCUACAUCGCUGGGCAUGAGUUAUAUCAUUAAUGUCUGGAUCCUCACUUACAUCAUCCCAAUCAAGUGCUUUUUCUCCACAUUUGGAUUAUAAGUCCAAUCUCUUCAAAACAUCCUAGUCCUUCCAUCACAACUGAUACGACUUCCUUCCUAAUUACUUUCCCAUUAAUAAAUCGCUCCAAGAAAAAAAAGCAUUAGCAAUUCUCUUCAACGCCCCAUCACUCAUAUCCCCACAACAACCAUCUUCAGCCACCUCAACGUUGCCUCUUGAAAGACCUCCACAAAAUCCGAAUCAUCCGACACAACCACCAAACACCCAAACCUUCUUUUGUCCACCAUAGCCACCAUAUAAUUUCUCAACAAAACAUCGGCAUCUUGUGGCUUAACUAACACCAUCCUGACCCAAAACCAUGCUCUUUUUAACUCAUCUGCAAAACCAUAACCCACUUUUGGAGUCAAAAUUGCGCUUGCAGCCAUUUUAUUUUUUUCCAUCUUUAUUGAAUAGUUGCCAACCAAAAGCACUCUCACCUUCCCUCUAGCUGAUUCUAUUUGAUUCGACCUUUUCUUUUGUUCACCCUCAUGAAUUUGCCUAAAAUGAUUAACAAGUUUGUCAUUAUUAUAAAACCUCCUUCCACAAUCACCAAUACAUACGGCUUAGCAUGCCUAAUUACACCCUUGAUUUCUAAUUGGUUAAACAAUUCUCUUUCUUUCUUUGCUCUCUUACAACUUGAGGCAUAUAACUAAACGCGUGGCUAUUAGCAUUUGCCACCAUGCAUUUAACAACCCCAAAUGAAGAUAUUAAUUUUUUUUAGUUUAAUUGCUGCUUCAAAAUGGGGUACUGAAUUUGGAUUUUGUUAUCCAAAUACCAAAAAUUUCCCAUAUUGUGCUGGACAGUUUUUGGUUCUAAAGUUGAUGACUGGUUUUGCGAAUCAGGCUUUAAAUGAGAACUUCUAAACAAUAAGACAAAUGAGUUUUGAGUUUCUAAUCUUGUAAACUUUGUUCUAUUGUAUAAGUUAUGAAAUCACUGAAACAUCACUACAUCUGCAGGUCUUUAUGUGUCAAUGAACUGCAGAAGCUGAUGAUCUACCUGUAGCAGACUUCUAUUGCCCCUGCCGUUCUAGGAAGACAAACAAGUUCAGGAGCUACUUAUGGACCAAACUCAUAAUAUUGCCACUGCAUACCCAGUAACAGUAAUCAAGUAACAAGUCAAAACGAGAAUCAAACGUAGAAUUUUGAAAUCCAUACGAACUCUAACGUAUUAGAAUGAAAGAAUAAGGACGAUCGAUAAACUAGAAUCAAACAAAAACAUGCCCAGUUAAAAAACGAAGGUAAAUAAAUAAAAAUGGUAUAAAACUGCGAAAGAAAUUAAUAAAAUGAAGAGAAAAUCACAGGAAUCCUAUGAAGAGGAAGGUCAACAAAACCUUCGGGAGCCGAGAAGAUGCCUUUUUUUGUUCACUUUGUGCCUAUACAUACAAUUUUUUUUUUUGUAAUUUUGAAGAAAGUAUUGGUUAAAUAUUGUCAUAACGAAAUAUUAAUAAUAGAUGCUAGCAAUUUCAACAAGGACAAUCUUCGAUUCAAAUGUACCUCUAUGAUAAAGAAAAAGCCAGCUUGGCUAAAUUUUGAGCACCACAUUACAGGAUCUAGGUGCAUGUUUAACUAUGCAAAAUGAAACCUCUAUUAAUUGUAAGUCCCUUGACCUCUGGAACCAGCCAACCAGUCUCUUUCCUGUUAGACAAACUUCCAUCGAUCAGACUAAUAAUAUUUACUAAAUCAUGUUCUACAGUUAAUGGAGUUGGACCCAAGGCAAUUGUUAGAAGUCCGCCUAGACAUAGAGUGCGCUUAGAAGUGGGAUGCUUAGAAAUGGGCCGCCAACACAACCAGCCAACCGUAGUGUGCUUAGCAAAUCACUGAAGCCCGACCCAAGAUCUAGAACUAUCUACAAAUUAUAAAUCAGCUAAAAGUUUCUAAGUUUCUCUACAUAGGUCCCUAGGAUAUUUAUGGAAGUUGCUAGGAAGUUUCCUCCCCUAGAACUCUAAUACCUAUACCCUCUCAUUUGCCCACCAACCACACCACACAGACAAACACUCUAGCAUACACACAAGCUCUCUAGCUUUUGUAAAAAGCUCUCUUGUAUAUUUUCUCUUUGUGAGUAAUAAAAUCAUAUUUAGCCAUAUUGCUACACUUCUCUCUAGUAUUUUCUACAAGUGUUCUUGCUUUGCUAGUUUGAGGAGUGUUCUAGGCUUGCUUAACAACUUGUUCGCUAUAACGACAUCUUGGUCACAAAACAUGGACAUGCAAGAAAAAAAUAAUAUUGAUACGUUCUAAAAAUAAUACGCGUUCUUCUACAGUGAACCAAAAAAUUUAGGCUAAUGGUAGCAAGUGAAUGAUUUCACGUGCAUUUUGUUGACAUGAACGCAAAGGACUUUUUUUAUAGUUUAUAUUGUUUAAUAUAACAUUUGAAUUGUAAAAUAGGGGUACAAAAUAGAUACACGAAGUGAUAAAACUAAGCUGAUUAUAAUAAAUAUUGAAUUAUAAGAUUUAGGUUUAAUCAGAAAGACAUAAGUGGCGCACAAAGUCACGAAUUGAUAUCAUCCACGAUGCAAGUUCAAACAACUGCAUAAUAAGUUACCCCAAGCUAAACUAUUAAUCUAGUAACUAUUCCAGUCGAUGUGGGAUAAUUUUCCUAUCACCAUCUAUCAUGUGCAAGCUGAAUUUUUUGCUUGGUCGUUACAUGUGGUAAAGUAAUAUGAAUCCACUUGUGCAUAAAUUUGGCUCCGAUACUACAUAGACGCCUAUGACCCAAAAUUAUACUUAAAGGUUAUCUCAAGAUUUGAGGAUUGACUCAAGCUAAUAUUACUAUUAGCCUGGUAACCUUUUUUGUUUGUUGAUAUGUGAUAUUUUACCUAUAACUUUUAUUAAUCUUUAUGCUUAUGUUUUGUCAUUUAUCCUAAAAUAUAACAUUAACAAAAGUUCCAAAAUUUCCUUCAAGUGAUAUAUUUGAGACAAGUAAUUUGUGCAAUAACUUUGUAAAUUGAUGAGCAAAUUCGGAGAAAAGAAUAUAUGUGCCAAACAUAACGUUUAUUAUUGUGUUUAUUUGUAGAGCUAUUUAAAGCCCAAAAAAAAGCACCGGUCCGUUAUGAUUUCAAAUAAGUUCAAGCCCUAUGUCAUUAUUGGUACAAAAAUGAAUCAGAAAGGUUAAAACCUAUUUUUAUUUAACUUAUAAACUUAGGAAAUUAUCAAAUGUCCACCCUUAAAUUGCGCUAUUAUAAAAAAAUAUUACAACAUUUUCAAGUUGGAUCAUUCAUCCACCAUAAAUUUACAAUCUGCAUCAUUUAUCCACCAAAUCAUUAACUUCGUCAAAAAGUGAUAGACGUGACAAGGGUAAUUUAGACAUUUAACACAAAAAAUAAAAGAAAAAUAAUCUAAGCUUACCAUGUUAUCAAAAUUGCUACAAAAUUUUAAAUUUGUUCAAUUUUCCAAUCUAAGUUUAUGACCUCCAAGAUGUUAAUUGCAGUUUGUAAUUAAUGACUUCAUAAGGAUAAUUUAGACACUCAAUAUGCAAAAUAAAAAAUAAAAUAAUGGCUUAAAACAUUAAAACAAAAAACUACUUUUUAUAAUUGAUAUUCAAUUAAAUAAACAUAAACUCUAUUUUUUCUUAAUUAAAAAUAUUCUAAUUUAUUUUCUCAAUUUAUCUUCAUAAAUUUAUAUUAGUUAUGGUGCAAAGUAAAAAAAUGUCCUUAAAUCCAAGGGUAAAAUAGCAUUUUAUUUAAAUUCUAUAAAUUAUUCUAACAAUGUUAACAUUUUGGUGGAAGGUUAAUAUAAGUUACAAACUUAAAAUAGAAAAUCAAAUAAAUUCAAAAUUUCAAACUAUUUAGGACAAAUUUAGGAUAUAUGGUUAAUAAUUUUCCUCUGUCUUUUUACAUCAGUUGACAGAAGUUACAAACUUAAAAUAGAAAUCAAAUAAAUUUAAAUUUUCAAAUCAUUUAGGGCAAACUUAGGGUAUAUGGUUAAUAAUUUUCCUAUUUUUUUAACAUUAAAUUGAGUUUCAAAGACAUAAUGGUCAAUUUAUUAUAAUUCUAUUAAUUUUUUAAGGGAAGCAAGCGAUAUAAUGGAUGAAUGAUAUAAAUUGUAAAAUUAAGGUGCAUGAACGAUAUAAUUUUAAAGUAUUGUAGUACUUUUAAUAAUAGAACAAUUUAAAGGUGGAUUGGCGAUAAUUUAAACUUUAAUGAAGCAACUAAAAAAUUUUUUUAACAAAGAAAAAUAAUUGAAUGCUUUGUGAAACCAAAAAUAUUUGAAAUGCUUUAAGAAAAAUAAAGGAAAUUAAAUAUCUUUUUAAAAAACAUAAUUGAGUAAAAUCAUUUUACAAAAUGCUCUUUCAAAUGCACAUUCCACAAGCCAAGAAGGAUGGGUGGCUAACAAAAAUCUCACUUUUUAUGAGUUUAUAAAAUCUCACUUUCGCAAAAUCCAAAAAUAACCAAUACUAUCACACAAAAAAUAAAAAGUAUUGCUGUCACGACAUUACACACUUUCUUCGCCGUCUAGAAAGGUAGAACAUUUUGAAGUUCCUCAAUACAAAAUGCGUGCUAUUACUAAAUUGGCCAAAGUUUUAACAAUUGAAGAAAUAGUGAACUCAAAAGGAACAGGUAAAUUUUGAAGUUGAACAAACCUUAAAGUGCAUACAACAAAGCCUUGAAACUUUAGUCUUCACAAUUUAAUCACGCAAUAAUAUUAAGUAUCCACCUAAAAAACAAGUAUAGAGCAAAGCUUGUUAGCUUCUUGGGCAUUAACUAUGAAUGAUGAGUAAAAUUAAAAAAGCAAACAGAGAAAAUUAUAAGAAGAAGAAAAGCAAACAUUUAAAAAAAAAUUAUGAGAAGGAAAAUUUUGGUAGAACUUCGUGGCUCAUCUGUGAAAUUAAUGUCAAUAUGUAUUUUUAUGUAAAUAUGGUCUCUGGCUUUUAGGAUGAAUCAAUCAGCUACCACAAACGAAAACAUGAACCAACUAUAUAUAGAGUCAAUUAAUUAAAGUUCUCAAGAGCUUACCUCUGCUCCAGAAUUCUCGGAAUCAUCAAUCUCCUUCUGAAUUUGCGCGAAGCUUGGGACAACCAAGAAAGCGUCCAGGUGGAACUGGGUUUGGAUAACCCGCAGGCCAAAAGUUGGUGAGGUUUGGUAAAUUUAUCAGUUCUAUGCCCUGAAGUUCAUUCGUAACAAUUUCAUAGUAAUCCGUGACGUCUGCUCCACCUUUAUGCCAGAAUACUUCUUCUAAUUCAUCAUUACCUACUACGAAUAGGUACUUCAGUUUUGGAAGACUUGGAGCUACGCUGAUAUGAAAUAGAUGCUUUAGCUUGGGGCAAAAACAGACAGUGAUCCUUGUGAGUUUUGGGAAACAUACAGGUUGGAGAUGAUCCUCAUCCUCAUCCUCAUCAAUGAUUUGCUCUAAUUCCAAGCAAUUCGAAACAGAUAACUCCUCCAAUUGCAACAGAUUUCGAGCAAGUGUUGAUGAGAGGAGCCGUCUCAGCAUAGUGCACCGCUCUACUGUUAAUCGGGUAAGAUUUUGCAGGCUAAAAUUAUGCGCGGGACCUUCAUGAUAUAAUACUCUCAGUUCUCGAAGAUCUUCCAAUCCCAACCCUUUCAAACAUGGGAAUGGUUUGUUUGCUUGUCCCUCAGCGAUAAUAGAUUCCGACUGAAACACCACCAGUACUCCAAUUUUGCUAAUAUUCAAUUCUUCCAAAUUUUUUAAGCCGUGCUUCAACAGUACUGGAAUCGUGUCGCUCAAAUGGGAACAAUUGUCCACAUUUAGAAUUUUUAAGUUCUGAGACAAAUAAAUAAAUAACUUGAUGUAAUUAAAAUCUAUUAGCAGCUAGGAUUAUCACAUGAUAAGUGACGAACAUCGCAAAAAACAAAGAAACAAAAUCCAUUCAAAAAUAUAAUUGUUGAAUCCAAAUUAAUCUCCAAGACCAAUUUAGAACCCCCAAGACCCACUCUAAGAAGCUUGAUCUUUGUUCUGAAUUUAAUCACUAAAUAAGUUUUGACAAGAAACAAGAGUACCUACAUGAAAUCAAUCACACAGCUAAAGAAAAUCAGAUCACACACUUAAAACCAGGAUUAUAGUGGUUCGGCCAAGUUUCUUGCCCACAUCCACUGUGGAAAACGAAGCAACCCUUUUACUGAUUUCAGAGAACAAGUUACAAAUCUGGAGAAAAUAUGUAAAUGAAUAGAUAGCCUUUGACAACAGAUCCUAUGUCCUUUUAUACUCCAUUCUGACCAAUCCGAAAGAACCCCAAGAAACCAGUUCACGCUCCUGGGUUUCCAGCCAAGAAGAUCUCCAGCUGCUUCCCGCGUGAGCUAACGGUAAAAACCACUUCUUGAAUUUAGCUUUGGGACACUUGUCAAACAUUCACGCAAACUCUUGAUUAAAACACAGAGAAAGCUGCCGUUUUGAGUUAGUGAAACACGUGACACAUCACGUGCAAUACUAACGGAUCCAGCCGACAUAUCGUUUGUGUCAAACAUCUGUUCUGAACUCCAAUGCCUGACAUGUCGUUUAUCCUUGUUGACAAACAGACGACGUGUCAUACAUAUACCUGAGAUCAGAUUUGACUUCAUAAUUCCAACACUAAUAAUACAUAUGUAAACUAAUAAAAUAAUUAAAAAAUAAUAUGGAUUGAUAAUGUGAAGUGAUAUAAAGGUGACAUUAGAUUGUUUGAGAAAAAUUAGUAUUUUAUUAAUUUUUAUGGAUUGAUCAACUAAUUAAUUGAAUUUGAGUAAUAUUAUAUACACUUUAGUAAGUGUUUGCAUCAAUUCUUUCUAAACCAAAAUGAGAUAAGACUUCCAUUUGAACAAUGAUUUUAGGCCCUAAAAUAAAGAAAUUUCCCCAAGAUAUUUGAGCAUUAUUAUUAUCAUCACCACAUCCACGAUCAUCAUCAUCUCCAUAGGACCAAAUAAUUAAUGGUUGAUCAUAAAAUUAAUUGCUAAAUUAUCAUUUUGAGUAAAAUUGAAGGAAAAGAAAAAACAUAAACACAAACAAACAUACCUCUUCAAGAUACUGCAAAUUGGCUUCAAGUUCAGUACUGCUGACGGUCAAGUUAGAACAGCGAAUAAGGUCUAACUCUUCCAAUGCUGUCCAAAUUGAACGAUAAUUUUCUGAACAGAAGCUCUUGAGUUUUGGGAGAUUGCAAAGUGUUAAUUUUCUCAACAAAGGGAGGGCAAGCAUCGUAUUUCCAUCUCCGACACUUAUUUCCCCUUCAUUGUGAUCAAACUUUGCUUCGACAAUACAUUCCAUUCUCUGGCAUCCACUGACAAAGAGACUUUUAAGCUGCUUCAAACUUCUAGCUUGUGACAACGUGAAGAUAUAUGUCAAAUUGUUGCACCCAUACACACUCAAUUUUGUAAGAGCUUGGAGGCUGAUCACAUGUUGGGCGGGCGCCUUCCAUAUCCACUUCAGUUCUGGUAAUUGCCACAUAGAUAACUCUGCUAAUCUUGAGAGCAUCACAGGAUUCCCACUCUUUCCGUACGGCGACUUAGAGGCAUCCAUUAUGCAUUCUAAUUCUUUGCACUCAUUGGCAGAAAGACAAGGCAACUCAUUUAAGCCCUUUGGAUCUAUGCUUGGCACAAUAUUGUGACAACCUAUAAUCGUUCUUAAAUUAAGAAUUUCCAGUUCUUGAUACAAUGUCGAAAAAAUACCGAGCGAGGUCGCUUCACAAUUAUUAAUCUUUAAGCACCUUCUCUGUCCAAAAAUUUCAUCUUCUUCGUCCAUUAGAAAUUCAAGUUUGUUACCGUUACUGACGUAGUGCCUUUGCAAUUUCGGGAAUGUAAAGUCUUUUGGAAGACGUGCAAUUUUUUUGUCAGUAUGUAAAGUCUUUCCAUCGUCAUUUUCUUCUGAACUCAUCCCUUCAGCCUCCCAAUCUUUUAUCCGACCAUAAAAUUCUUCUAAUUGAGGAAAUUUUUUUAUCGUAAUGGGAGAAAUACGACCAGAAUUAAUUAAUAUAAGAAGUUUCAAUGUACUAAGUUGAUCCCCAAAUUCUUCAGGAAUUUCAAUGGGAGACCCCUUGACACAAAGGAUUUGAAGUCUCUUCAACUUUCCAAGGAAAGACGCGUCACUCAUGUUACAUCGAAUCAACUGCAGAACUUGGAGGUUGGUGAGGAAUUGAAGCGAUUUAAGUGAAAUGACUCCUCCUAUUAUAGUAACAACUUUCAAUGCUGGCAUCCCUUCGAAAAAAUGUUCUGGAAUAUGCAAUUGAUAGUCAUAUUCAGUAUUCUCCAGUCGCAAAAUAUGAAGAUUAGGGCAUACCAAACCACUUGGAAGCUCUUCUUUUUCAUUUCCCAUCAAAGAGAUUCCUCUGUAUUGUUCCACUGCCCGUUCUGCCAAUCCAAUGCCAACUUUACUAGUAAAAUAUUUUUUCUCCAUUGAGCCUAUCCAUAAGGCUACGUCACGUACAAUGUCAUGCAUUUUUACAAAUCUGUCAUUACCAGCGUCUAAUAGCAGUGAAGAAGCUUUGAGCUCUUUAAUCGUUCCACUCACUAGGCUCCUGGAAUCUUCGAUUGACUCAGCUUGAUACCAAUCCAACGCCACUGCAUAUCCAACCAAAUCCUCCAAAUCUAUCUCAUAAUCUUCUGGAAACAGCGAACACAACAAGAAGCAUGACCUGGAAUCGUCACCAUUCAAAUAAUCGUAACUAAACUUGAGACAAUGGUAAACGUCUUGGUCUUCCUUGCCAAUACCUUCUAUUGUAUUAAGUUUUGCAUUUUUUAGUUUAUGCAGAGCUACUUUCCAUUCACCAUAUCCUUUACCGCUUAGUGCACUUCCAACAGCUUUAAUAGCCAAAGGCAGCCCCUUACAUUCAUCAGCAACUCGUUCUGAAACACCAAUCAAUGAAUCAGCAUCAAUGCCGGCAUGCUUUCUUAGUAAAGCCAAUCCUUCUUCUCGCUUUAGAACACCUAGUUGAAUCCGCGUGUCACAACCCAUGCGAUCACAAACUGGCUGAAGGCGAGUGGUUAGAAGGAUUUUGCAACAAUUGUCUCUAUCACCAACAGGAAUACCUACUGUCUCCAAGUCGAGUUCAUUCCAGACAUCGUCAAGGAUUAUGAGGAUCUUGCGGCUUUUACUCUUAGAGAACAUCAAGCGCAAUCGGUCUGCUCUAUCAUUUUCAUCUUUCUCCGUUAAUGCCCAACCUAACGACUUUACCAGCUCACUUUGAACAUUUAUUAUAUUUGGAUCCCGAGAUAUAGUGGCUAUCCCUACGUCAUCGAAAAUCUUUUGCUGCCGAAGUUGAUUGCCCGCAAAUUUUGCCAAGGUCGUCUUUCCUACACCACCGAGGCCAUGCAGUCCCACCAUUUUUGUGCUUUCUCUUUUCAGUGAUUCAAUGAUCUGAUUGCAAGCCAGUUCUGUAGUCUCGAAAGACGUAAAAUGUCUUGGUGCGGGUAAUUCUUUGUUUGAUGGUAGAGGUUUAGGACGGGCAACUGUGCUGAAUUUGUCGCAUUUCUUUUAUAGAUCGGACAACUUGCGAGUCUCCUUUGAUGCUUUUCUACCCAGCCAAUAUAGGCAACGCCAAUUAGGACACCAUCCAUUAAGACAACUUUUGUUUUCAUCUAUCUUUGCUUUCAAAUUUUGAACAUUGGCCAUUUCUUUGACUACAUCCGCCAGCCACUUCUCUACAUCUUUCUCGACUACUAUGGCGCGGUGUUUUUGUCGAUAUUGUUCUACUUUUUCAUUGACGCCAUCUUGUGCCUCCUUCAAAUUAGUUUCUUUAUCCCCAAGUUCUUUAAUAAUGCUGUUGAAGCAGAACAGAUAGCGAGCUUGGUUUAUGGUUGCGUCCGCCAAUAAUUCUCCAAGCUUUGAUGAAACACCUGAUAAAAUUUCCAUGCUAUUUAUCUGCAAUUAAUGAAAUUGAUCUCAGUAUGCUAUAAGCAAUUAAAACAACAAGGCUUGAUUGCAAGAUCGAACGUGAACGUUUAAUUACUUUAAUUUUUUUUUGGCUUAUUAACGCCAGCAUUGAAAUUAGAUUACUUUAUCAAAACAAAUUUCAUAUUCACUAAAAUUAAUCAUAUUCAUAUUAUAAAAUAAAUAUAAAAACAAUAUCUGAAAAGUAAUGCUAAAUCCACUCUUAAAUUUUAUGUACCGCAUUAGAAUUGAUGAACAAUCUGACAAAGAUGCUCGACUUAAGUAGGGAUGACAAUUAAAGCCGGAUUUGAAAAAAUUCGUGUCUCCAAAUUAAAAAAUGUGGAUUCGGAUAUGGAAAUUUGGAAUUCACACGCAUCCAUAUAAAUUUUAUUUUAAAUUAAAAAUAUAUAUUAAAAAUUAAAUAAAAAACUAAAAAAUAAAUUUUAUUUGUGAUUUUAUGAUGUUGUUGUAUAUUAUUCAGGUUGAAUUAUUAAUGGUUGGAUUAUGAUUGAAUUUUAUUUGAUAUUAUUAGGUAAAUUAUUAAAUUUUAUUUAAAAUUAAAAAAAUAUAUUAAAAAUUAAAUAAAAAAUAUAUUUUAUUUAUAGAUUUAUGAGAUUAUUUUAUGUUAUUCAUGCUGAAUUAUUAAUUGUUGAAUUAUGAUUGAAUUUUAUUUGAUAUUAUUAGGUAAAUUAUUGAACUUUUAAAUUAUAUAUUAAAUUAAUAUCCAGAAUAUCCUCCAAUAUCCGUUGCGGAUAUUACCCGCUUCUGGAUCCACAUCUUUUUAUACGAAUUCAGAUAUAGAAAUAUGAAUGCGAAUCCGAAUCUAGAUUUUACCAACCUUGAACCUAAGCAUGAAUGGGCCUAAAGUUUUUACAACAAACAUGGAUCAUUCAAUGACACGAGAUGUUUUACAGCUCUCAUUAGUAUAAUUAAAUAAUUAAUUCAUCUCUAUAUUCAACUUACUCCGUCUCAAAUUGCAUGCAAAUACGAAAAUACACUUCUGAAUCGUUCACUUGAGGAAAAUUCCAAAUUCUCCACGUAGAAUUUAGAUUCAAACCAAAGCAAAUUAGACAUAAUUCUAAUUUAUAUGGGAAAUAUAAUUAGCGAAGACACUCUUUAUAUAAACAUUAUUGUCAUAGGAUGCCAAACGUAAUAAGAUUCAAGGUCUUAACAUACUUCAUAUGAAAUUUGAUCUUGGCGCGUACCGACACGCAUAACAUCGAGACUCUACUUCAUAUAAUGUAACUUCAUGGAUUUUUCGCUCUCUUGUGAAAUUGACAAUUAUAGGCGCUGUGUGGCAGUGGUACAUAAUAAAAUAAACGUUUAUUUUUAGAAUAUUAUUAUUUAUCUCAAUUUUUGAUUUAAUAGUUAAUCUUAAUCAAUUCUUAAACUGCCAUAAUCAAUAAAUUUUUUACAUUAUGGCAUCUUAAAUAAAUUUAGGAUAUGUAAUAAAUAAAAACUGGUAACGUUUGUUCUUUUAAAGCAUAAAACAACCGUAACAUUGGUUUUUACAUUUUGAAUUUUUCUUGCAUCACUGUUUAGAAAAAUGAUGUUAAAUCAAUUCACAAAAUAUAUCAAGCCAUCUAAAAUCCAAAUAUUAUUACAUUUGUAUUUGCAUUGUUAAAUUGUUGGAACGACGGCAAAGCAAUUGAAAAGAUAUUAACAAAAAAGUUACCUAUUGUUUGUGGUAGUAAAUAAUAUUAACUUGUUUUACUAUACCCGUGUUUAUGUUGGUCUCCUUUUUGUCCAUUUCUGUGCAACGAAAUAUUUGCAUGUUUUGAUAGAAAUUGGUUUAAAUGACAUUUAAAAUAGUAUAUCCCCAGACAAUUGACGAAAUAUUUGUAUGGUAAGAUGAAGUAAUAAAUAGUUUUACAAAUUACCAUAUUAGAGGUAAAAAAAAAUCGAGAGGUUACUUGACAAUUAUGACAUUACUAACUACAAAUUUAACACAAAAAGUUUAAUUAACUUUUCUUUUUGAGAUGGCAAAAUCUCUGGUGUUGAAAACAAUGAGGUUUGAGGUUCAAGCUUGAAUAUCAAGUUACAAUUAGUAGAUGGCCUUAGGACAUAUCAAAGAUUUCUUUAAAGACAAAAUAAUUAUUAUAAGCAAUAGGAAAUUAUGGUAUUCAGAACAUGUAACCUUCGCACAUGAAGCUUGAGUCCAGCAAAAGAUGCAGCUAGCCAAUCCUUCAACUUCCAAAACCCCACAAAAUCUCUGUCAAUAUGUCUGUUCUACUUCAAUAUUAAGCACAUUCAUAGCGGUAUCAACAGCUUACAGCUCCAAAAUAUUUUCCCCAAAAAGAGUGAGAGAUUUCACUGCCUAAAUGUUCUAUAACACGAUAUGAUUAUUCUAGUAACACAAAUCCAACAGCAUGCAACAUAAUCUACUCUCUAACAUUGUGCAUUAGUAAAAUAAAACAGAGUAAAAGGAGAAACCAUGCCUGUGAAUCUCUUCUCUUACCCCCCCACCACCCCUUUUUUUGGUAAAGUCCAUCAAAUGAAAAUGCAGCAUGACCACAUUGGCCACUGCCACUGCCAUUACUUCUUCAACUGUGCCUUUUGUUGCAGGAAAUAUUCAAGUGAAAGAUUGGAUUAUAUAAUUCAAGAUUCCAAUAAACCUGAGCUGCAAAGGUUGCCUUCCACUAGCCUAUCAGAGACUAUGCUUUCUAUUUUCCUAGUUUUUUAAUCAAAAUUUUGCAAGAUUUAUUUAUGGAAAUCUUGGACAAAAUUUUAUGUAAGAUACCAUAAAGCCAAACACAAUCUUUUUAAUUCUCAGCAGCAACAUUUAAAGUGAAAAACGGGAAGCCAUAUAAAUAUAACUAUGUUUGGUCAAGGAACAAUUAUUUCAAGCUUUCAGAAAUGCUAGCAAGAGAUUGUAAGAGAACUUUACCUAGUCACAGAAUAUGUCAAACAUACUACCACCAACUGUCUUCACCACGAUUGUUAUGAAGUAGCUUUUGAAUCGGAAGAUUCCAGCUUCCACCAGGCACCAUUAUUUUCAUUCUUGAUACAAUCUGCAUCACUGGCAUUAGUUAUAUCAUCAACAUUUGCAUCCUCACUCUCAUCAUCCCAAUCAAGGCUUCUUCUCCAGCUCUGGACUAUAAGUCCACUCCGACAUCUUCAAACAUCUCGGUCCUUCCAUUUGCCAACAACCGAUAUGGCUUCCUUCCUUGCCUUCCCCAUUAAUAUAUCACUCGAAGGAAAAAACGCAUCAGCAAUUCUCUUCAACGCCUCAUCGUUUAUAACCACCCAAAAAAAGGGUCUUCAGACACCUCAACUUUGCUUUCGGCAAAACCUCCACAAAAUCUGAAUUAUCCAACACAACAGCCAGACACUCAAUCCUUCUUUUGUCCAUCAUAUCCACCGUAUGAUUCCUCAACAAAAUAUCUACAGCUUGUGGCUUUUCUAACACUGUCUUGAUCCAAAACCCCGCUCUUUUCAACUCAUCUGCCAAUCCAUAACCCACUUUUGGAGUCAAAAUUGUCCUUGCAGCCCUUUUAUAUUUUUCCAUCUCCAUCGAAUACUUGCCACUCAAAUGGAAUUACCAGACAGGAAUCCCAGUAACAAGUCCACUCAACUUCUUCUCAUCCGAUCCCUCUUUCACUCUGGCGGAAACAUUAAUAACCAUUCACCAGCCACAAAUUACCCAAGUAAGUACUCGUGUCGUCAACACUUACCCUUCACUUCAUCUACGCAAACAAGAAUUCAAAUUGCUUAUUAGCUAGUGCUCGAGCGAAAGCCAAAAUAAAUUAAAUAUGUGUGUGUGUGUGUGUUAAAAGAGAAACGGUAGCGAAGUUAUUAUACAAUAAAGCAAACCAAAAUAAAUUCUACACUCAUGUGGGUGUUUCGGUCGCAAAAUCUGGACAAGAAAAAAUAAUAAUGAUACAAUCUCCAAAUAAAGAGCAUUCCUCUUGGUAAAAUAGACAAAUCCUAUAAAUUUUGAUUAAUGGUGCCAAAUGAAAGAGUUGUAAUUUCAUGUACAUUUUGUUAACAUGAAUAAGGGUACAAAAUAGAUAACAAAGUGAUAAAAACAAAGCUAAUCACAAUGAAUGAUAAGGUUUAGAGUAAACAUAAAGUUAUAAUCUUGAACAUAAGUGGCGCUCAAAGCCAUGAAUUUGAUAUCAUCCAUGAGGGGAGUUCAAACAACACCAUGUAAGAAGCAACAAGUGUUGAGAAAAAAAAAAAGUCAUUCUAACACAACAGAAUAAAUUGUAAAGAAAUCCCAGUUUGUAUAAAAGAAAGAAAACAAAAUUAAGGAAAGCAUAAGCACAACAAAAUUUGACUGAUUAUUAAAAAUGAGAAAUGAGUUAUAAUGAGAAUUUUGGCUUUGUGGUGAAAUAAAUUGGGAAGUAUCCAAAGUUCGCAUGUAAAUAAUGAAAAUGAUAAGAAGACGAAGGGAACAAAAUGAUAAUAAGCAAGCCAAAUAUUAAAAUGCAGAUUCUACGCUUCCGCCCCCCCCCCCCCCCAUACUUCAAGUUAGUGUCUUGCUAAUCAUUUUAGAUGUAUCAAUUACAAAGGGAGGCCAUCUAUUUAUAGUAAGCGUACGCCUCUAAUGCUUUGCCAAGUGUCCGUUGAUAAUGUGCUGAUAAAGUUUGUUGCACGUAUGAGUUGGUUAAGUCUGCUAGAAAUGCAAACGUGUAAAGCUUAGUUAGCAAGUUAGUUAAGGUUGUUACGAAUGCUUAGAUUCAGUUCACGUGUAUUGUAUGUAAUGCUUAGAUUCAGCUCAUGUAGAUUGUGUAUACAACUUUCUAAUAUUCUUUAGAUCUCAAUAUAAAUGCUUGUAAUCAACAAAUACAAUAAUAAGAGUCAUCAUUCUUCAUUUUCUCUCUGUUUCUCUCAUAUUUUCUCUGCAUCCAAACACAAUAAUCUCAGUUCUUGACUUGGUAUCAGAGUUGCAGUUUAAUUGUCAUGGCUUCCUUAAGCAUUCAAACACAAAUCAGUCUCCUUCAUUCUUUACCCUCACAAAUGCGAUCAAACUGGACAGAUCUAACUAUACGAUAUGCAAAUCUCAGAUCCUCUCUUCAGUGCGUGCCAAUGGACUUGAAGGCUUUCUUAAUGGAACUAAAAUUUGUCCAGAUCAGUUACUUACUCAAGAGAUUGAAAGUUAUGGUGUUGAAAAUGCUGUUGGUGAAAGCUCAGCUGCAAGCUCAGCUUAUUAAGUUGGCUCAUGUCCUCCAUCAGUGUUGAGAUACUUAGUCUUGUGGUAAAUUCUGAUUCUUCUCAUAAACUAUGGACUAAUCUUGAAGAAAAUUUUUGGAUUAGAAACAAUGGCUAAGAAAGCACACUUAAAAAUGAUGUUAAGCAAUCUCAAAAAGGGAUCAAUGACAAUAACUGAGUAUUUUGCCAAACUUAGAGCUGUAACUAAUAAACUUGCUCUAACUGGUAGCCCUGUUUCUAGUCUAGACUUUAUUACUCAUCUAAUCUCUAGAUUAGGCCAGCCAUACUACCCUGUUGUUUUGUAUAUUGAAGCUAAUAUGAUGAAAGUAUUUGUCAAUGAAGCAUAUUCUAUGCUUUUAACUCAUGAAGCAAGAAUUAAAGCUAAUCAUCCAAGUGCAAAUAAAGAAGCAAAGUUGAAUUAUGCUGCUAACAUAGCUUAGGCUGGACCUAGUACUAAAUAACAAUAAGAAGUCUAGUAAUCAAGCUAAUUACUAUCAGGGCAACCAAGGUAACUGGAAAACAAAUGCUCAUUGUUGUGGUAACAAUGGAGGAAGAGGUGGCUUUGGCAGAGGUUUUUCAGGGCAAGGAAGGGGUAAUUAGAAUAAUGGUGGUCAUUCGAACAAUGGACCUUGGAGUAGUAGUUGAGGAGGCUAUAAUGGUUCUGAUAUAAACAAUAUGACAUGGUUGCUGGUGAACUUGUAAACAUAACCGAAAAAGUAAGAAGGCAUAAUUUUUUAAUAAGAAACUCAAAAAUGUAUUAAUGAUGAAAAUUUUCAAACAGAUAGUGGACCAGCUGUCCAGUAAGAAAACAAAAAAUUGAAUAUUUGUGCUAUAAAAAGGCACACCCAAUCUCACCCCUUUAAAAGGCUAGAAUCAGCUACAAAUCCCUAUCUCAAAACCCCAUCCCAGUUUAGAUGAAUGAAGAAAAAAGAUGAAUCUUGAAACUCCUUAGAAACUGAAGCCCAAAGUGAAGCAAGAAGAUGAACUCUAUCCCAAGCAAGCAAUAUGGCAUAUUUCUCCAUUAAUGGUUCAAAUAAAGUGAAUGGCUUUCUCUGAUGAAUGGGAGAUUGUCAAGAUCAAUAGUCAAACUCACGCAAAGUAAACGGACUUAGUUCUCAGAGGCUACUCGUUCUAAGUCUGAAAGAAAAAUUUUCUAAUUUCUAAAAAUUAUAUGGGGAAAAAUCAUUAUUUUCUAACAUGGAAAAUUUGAUACGGUGUUUAAUGUCAGAUCACAAUAAUAAUAUGAGUACUAACAAAAACAUCUUUAAUCGGCAUGGUGCAAGUAAAACCCCAUCACUUCAUCUUUGAUGGAAAGAUGAUAAUCUAAGGAGAUGGUGAAAUGGUUUUGGUCCCUGGCAACUUGCAAUCAAAAGAAAACAAAAAACUACACUAUCAUUAAUGAUUACCGAAGCUACUGAAGUAUCAAAAUCGGAAAGUAAACAAUUGCAAAACACAUCAAUGACUGGAGGUUAGAUUCUAAAACUUCCGCAUUUAAUUUUCAGAGCAUGUUAUGUAUUAUUCAAAAAUAUGCUUUCACUUCAGGCAAUUGACCAAGACGCAUUAAACAUAAAACGUGGCGUUUUCAUGGACUAGUACAUUCCAUGCUUCGAAAGUUUAGGGCCCGUUUGGUAGCGUUUUUUACCCAUUGUUUUCAUUUUUGUUUUUAUAAUACAAACAUAAUAUAUGUUUGGUGAGAUGGAUUCAAAAAACAAAUCACAAAAUAACAAAUUCAGAUCCAGUGUUAUAACUACAAACAUGAAAACGUGUUUAACAUGUUUCCUAAAUAUUACAAACUAAACUCAAAAAUAGAUUAAGAAACAAAACUCAUUCUCUUCGGCAGCAACCCUCUCCCCCCUCUCAUCGUUGUCAAUCUGGUCACCCCACCCCCCCCCCCCCCCCCCCGCAAUCGUUAUCGAUCUAGUCACGGCAGCAGUGCUUUCUCCUUUUCUUACUCCAACAACACUUUCUCUCUCCUUAUCUCCUCAUCCUUUUCUUCGGUAGCAGUCUUCUCUCUACCCCUCAUCUUUCUCGAUGUGGUCACGGCAGCAGUUCUCUCUCUCCUUUUCUCCCUCCAACAACACUUUCUCUGCCGCUGCUGCAACUUCGUCUGUACCGCGGCUGUCCUUUGGUGUGCCGUACUCUCUCCGUCGUGGCCGUUGCUGCUCCGUUUGAGCAUAGCCACUGCUGUCCAUCUCCGUGUAGCCACCGUCGCUCCUACUUGAUAGACUGAACUGCUGCAUCUCUCUCGGCUUGCUGGUAAUUUUUUUUAUUUCAAAAAUUUUUUUUUUAUUUCAGUAAUUGUUUGAAUAAUUUUGAGAGAUUUUUUAAAGCAUGUUAAUUGUGUAUUCCCUCUAUUCAUGCCAAAAUAAUUUUGAGUAAUUGUUUUAGAUUAUGAGUAAUUGUGUUGAUUUGAAAACAAAACCGUGUGAAUAUAGUUUUGCUACACUUUGAUUUUGUUUGCGGAAUGGAAAAAAAAGGAAGCGAUGAACUGGAAUUGGGGGAUUUAAUUGUUGUUAUGUUGUUGCUUCGUGUGCUUUGUUAUUAUGAGUUUUAAUAAUUUUGAGUAAUUAUUUUAGAUUAUGAGUAAUUGUGUUGAUUUGAAAGCAAAACCGUGUAAAUAUAUUUUUGGUACACUUUGAUUUUGUUUGCGGAAUGAAAAAAAAAGGUAGCGAUGAACUGGAAUUGGGGGAUUUGUAUUAUGCUGCUGCUUUAAUUGUUGCUAUGUUGUUGCUUUGUGUGCUUGGUCAUUAUGAGUUUUAAUAUUUUCUCUAUGUCAUUGAAUCGAAAUGCAAGCUGGAAAUUGUAAUUUCAGAUAAAUAUAUUUGGGGAAAAGGAUGAUUGCCGAAUAGCAUUGUAUUUGUGUUUUAAGGAUGAAGAAUACAAAUAUCUGUUUUUGUUUAUGCCAUGAAAUUCUUUAUGCCAUUAAUUUGAAUUGGUGAAGUUGUAUUGGAAUAUUUUUUAUUUUGGACUGUUGAAUUUUUAAUUUAUGACAUAUUGGUAAAAUGGCUUUCAUGCUAUGUUGAAUUUGAUUAAUUUCAAAAGUUUGAGCUAUGUAUGUUUAGAAGUAGUUUAUUUAAUUUCAUUAAUAUUUGAUACAUGUUAUUUUUUCUAAUUUUCUAGUAACAAGAUAUGGAUCCACAUGAUGUUGAUGGUGAGGAUAGCAAGAUUUGGUUACCAGCGAAUGUCGCAGAGAUGAAUGCUAUAAGAGAUGGGAUUGCAGCUUCUAUGAGGCACGAUUACACAUAAUGCAUAAUGUGUACCAUAUAAUUUUUUAUAAUUAUUUUGUUGAAAUCAUGUGUUGUAAUAUAUAUCUUAAUUAUAGUGUAAAAACAAUGACAAUGUAAAACUUUUUUUAAUUAAUGGUAAUUAUAAAACUUUAUCAUCAUUUAAUUUUUUAUAAUAAUUUUGCUUAAAUUAUUAUGGUAUAUUUGUGUAUGUAAUAUUGUCACAAUUAUUUUCUAACUAUAAUUAUAACUUAAAAUACUUAGUAAAAACUAUUUUUGAAAAAGGUAUUACCGAACACAUAUUAUCUGUUUUUAUUAUUUUCAACUAUAUCUAUCAAACGCAUAUCACUGUUUUCAGUUUGGAAAUAUAGGAUACAGAAAAUGAUACCAAACGUAUACUUAAAUUCAAAAUACAGCAACUGUAAAACACCAUUUUCAUUUUCAUUUUUAUUCUUAGAAAAUACAAAUUCAGAAACAAUACUAAACGAACCCUUAUGUUUUAGACUGAUUGGUUUGAUACAUUAUUUGUUUAUUGCGUUUUUCUUGCUUUAAAUAUUAUGUUGGAUUGAUAAGCUUUGUACACAUUUAUAUUGCUCGCAGUAAAUAAUUUAUGACAUUUAAAAAACUAUCAACCGUCUGUCAAAAGAUUUCUACUAUAAAUAUAUAUACACAAAAAACUUUUAAUUUGGUCAAUUUGUUCUCUUAUUUAUUUUUGUUCUAUUUCUCUUUUCCUUUCAUUUCAUUUUAUUGUUUUAUGGUACAAAAUAAAAAAAAAAAUAACAUUAAAAUUUAAGGGUAAAAUACUCAUUUUACUAAAAUUCCGUUUAAUAUUAUAAAGCUGUCAAAUGUCAAUGGCAUAGGACACGAGUGAUACAAAUUAAAAACAAUAAAUUGAAAGUUUUUAUGCAUUUUCCUUUUAUUUUUUUUAUAGUCGAUUGAGAUUUCCCUUCAUAUUUUUAAAUUCAAUAGGUUUAGACUGUUUAACAAAUCUUAAAUUAAAAAAACCCGCGGUGUAAUAAUAAACUCACAUCAAACCCUGUACACUGUCAUCCCUAAUUAUAUUUACCACUAAUUAUAUUUACCACUUCAUACUCACAGUGAUAAUAACUGUGUAUCAUAAUUGAUUUUGCAUACGGGUAAAAGUUCCAAGUCCGGAUAUUUAGUUAAUGAAAUUUGAUGAAAAGGGCAUGAAAGAAAAUAAGAAAUUAAAUAAUACAGGUGGUAUUAAUCAUUACAUAUUUAGUUAAUGAAAAUUGAUGAAAAUAUUUCUGCUGACGUGAGCCAUAAUUAUAUUACCGUUAAGAAUGAAGCAGAAGAGUUUCCCCAAACAAGCUAAAACACAGCACUUCAAUUUAAAGAAUUUUUAUAUCACAGUACAGUAAGUUAAUUCCAUAAUCUAUCUCCAAAGAAAGGCAAACACAAGCUUAUAAGAUUAAAACUUUGGAAAACAUUAAAGAGUCAGACAAAAUUGUGUAAUCUUCAGAGUUUGGAGCCUAGUUCAUCCAGGAAAGCAAAAGAAAAUAAUAAUAAUAAUAAUAGUGGUGGUUUGAUCUCAAAAGGUGGCAUCAAAGCGGUAACUUUGGGGUAUUGGAAGCUAUAACAUCUUCAACUUUGUCCUGAUUUCGAAGUCCCUUAACCCAUCCGCCAUCAAUGGAUUGAAAGCUUCCAUUCAACCCAUCAUCCACAAAAUCACCAACCCGUUUCACCUUCAUCUCCUUGGGCUUAACAGGGUACUUUCCAGUGAAGCAAGCAAAACACAAAUUCUGAGAAUCAUCGCCUAACAACUUGUUCAGGCUGUUAAUUGGCAGAAAAGCAAGCGAGUCACACCCAAUAAACUCCCUGAUUUCCUCGACGCUCAUCCUGUUGGAAAUCAACUCCUCACUACUUGGGGUGUCCACUCCAUAGUAACAAGAAGCUAUGAUUGGUGGGCUUGCAAUUCUCCUGUGAACCUCUUUAGCUCCAGCCUCCUUAAGCAACCGAACAAUUUUCGAUGAAGUUGUUCCUCUCACUAUUGAAUCAUCCACAACCACAACUCUCUUUCCCUCCAACACUCCCCUUACAGGAGAGAGCUUAAGCUUGACACCAAAGUCCCUAAUUUUCUGGGAAGGCUCAAUGAAAGUUCUCCCAACAUAAUGUGACCUUAUCAACCCUUGUUGAAAUGGCACCCCGGCUUUCGCAGCGUACUCAAGUGCAGCCACCACUCCAGAAUCUGGUACUGCAAUCACGACAUCACACUCAACAGGAGCCUCGGUAGCAAGUACUUCCCCAAAAUGAUACCUCGACUCAUAAACAGACCUUCCAAAAACAACAGAAUUAGGCAAAGCAAAAUAAAUAUGCUCAAAGAUGCACUGCUUAGGUUCAGGGUGAGGCAUCAAACAAGGUGAUUGAACCCCAUCUUUAUCCACCAUCAAAACUUCACCGGGAUAUACCUCUCUCUCUCUCUCUCUCUCUCGUAUGUGGCCUCAAUCAAAUAGUGCACAAGUUUCUGAUGCAAAAACCACAGCACCGUUACUCCUCCUACCCAUCACCAAUGGCCUAAACCCAUAUGGGUCACGAACCGCAACAAGCUUAUCCUCAGUAACAAACACCAUUGAAUACACACCCUCAAGCUUCUCACAAGCAUCCACAAUCCUCAAAAAGAACGGCCUAGCUUUCGAUAUCGCAAUCAAAUGGAGAACAACCUCAGUAUCAGAACUAUUAUUAAAAAUGGAACCAUUAUCUUCAAGCUUAGCCCUCAAAGUAUUAUAAUUAACUAAAUUCCUAUUAUGUGCAACACCAACAGAACCAAACCUGUACCCAGCAACAAAAGGCUGCACAAUCUUAAGCAUAGAACUACCGCAGUCGAAUAUCUAACAUGACCAAUGGCCAUAUCACUAGGCAAUUGAUCAAGUUUAGACUGAUUAAACACAUCAGAGACUAAACCAACACCAGUAAUAGACUGAAGAACUUUGUUAUUCACAGCAACUAUACAGUGGCGAAGGGUACUUUAAGUAGAGGGGAACUUGUUCUAGGUUUUUUCCUGGAAUUGUGAGGGAAUCUGAUCCUGUGUUUGUGCAUAUGAUUCAAUUACUUAUAGGUGAUACUGUUGUGUCACCACAAAAUCUAAUUGGGAAGCUUCAGCUGUCAAUUUUUUUUCCUUGUGGAACAUGAAAAUUGAUGCAUGUUCCAAUGCAUUGCUCUGUCAGAAUUGGAAUUAAACUUAGUUUGUACUCUCCUAUUCCGAAAGCAAAACUUGUAAGUGAUAUUAUAAGAAGAAGAAAUUAAGAACCAUAACAAAUUUGAUGAUUCUAAUUUGCUAGAAAUAUUGCAAUCCAAAACUAAGAAAGUUAAAACCAAUUAUUAGAAGAAAAAAGUAGGACGGAAGCUCCCAGAAUAUUGUUAUGUGUUGUAUGUUUUCAGUUUGUAUUUCUCAAUCAAUAAGGAAAAGUAAGUACACAUGUUACAAAAAUUUAAUAAAAAAGAUUGGAGGUGACAAAACCGUCAAUCUUCUAAUUAACUUUCUCUCCUUUCGAAUUUCCUGAGUUUGGUAGAGACUGCUUAAGUGGUGUAUCUAUUAUAAACAGGCAAAACUAUGUUGCAACAGUGGUAUGGUACCACUGUUGCAACCAGCCAUUGAAUCGAUAGUUGUAUAGUUAUAUUAGAAAGAUCCAAUGACCGAAAGCAACAGUGAUAUCGUAUCACUGUUGCAACAUAGCUGGACCCAUUAUAAACACAUGAAGUCAAAGUUAAUGUUUUAAUUGUUAAGAAAAGUUAGAAGAAGAAAUUUUUGUAUAAGAGAAUUGUGUUUAAAUUUAGAAUUCUUUGGGAGGAAAUGAGUCUAAAUUCCAAUAAUAUAAUUCAGCACUAUUUAUAUAUAUCAUUAGUUGGGUGAAAAAUUAAUUUCCCUCCUUUGAUGUGAUUUUCAUCAUUAAUUGUUCAUAUGAUGGUAAUUUUUUGUUUAGAGUGAAGUUAUUGGCACCCUUUCAUUAUCCUUAUAAAAUCCUACUUCAAAUAAAAUUACACUUAAAAGACAAUAGAAUUAAAUAACAUAGUUUUUUUUUCAAACAAAUUAUUCACAUUCAUAAUUUUUUUUCUUCUAAUUUUCUACAGGUUGCUUUGUAUCUAACUAAAAUAAAUUGUACAAAUUUAGAAUAAUUUAUUUUUCUUUUUAAAUUUCUUAUUGAUUAAAUAUUUGUGUACUUAAGAUAGCUUUAAAAUUAUAAGAUAAAAUAUAUAUAAUUUAAGCCAAUGAUUAACAUUCAAAAAUUUAUCUCUCAUAAAAGUUUUUAAUUUGUGCGUAGGGUAAUAAUAAAAUUGCAAAAGAAAUGAAAAAUAGCAUAGCACUAUUUUGAGUUUAAACAAUAAAAAAUUAAAUGAAAAAUUAGAAGUGUAUUUAAAAAAAGGAUAUUUUUGAAAAAUAAAAUAAAUAUAAUUUUAAAAAAAGAGUUUCAUGUGGGGUGCAACAGUUCAACUCUUUUGUUUGUAAGUUUUAAGAUGUUGGUAUCCUUAGCUUAGCUUUUCCCUAAUUAUUAUAUUAAAAUGUAACAACAAUGAUGAUCAACCCUAAUUUCAUGGAGGUCAAAGAUUUUGGUCAUGCCGCAUUAAUUAGUUCGGUCAUACUUUCUACAAAUUUAUUUACAUUUAAUAAUUUGACCAAGACUAGGUAAGGUGCCGCCUGGAGUCAUAGAAUUUUAUAUGUCAAAAGUGCGUUUCACUUCAAUUAAGCCAUAAAUGUCGUUUAAUAUGCUCAUUUUGUAUAUUUUUUUAAAAAAGUUUUAUUAAUUUUUUUGUUUUUAAAAAUAUCAAUUAUUUUUUUAUUUUUUAAAAUUUUUUUAAAGGUAAAGAAGUGGGUAAAAUCUAAAUUCAAAUUUUAUCCCUUAUGUCCUGGUCCUAAGAUUUGAACUCAUGUGAAUAGCCAAAUGUAUAAUAACAGGUAUUUCAAUUUUCAUUUUAAAUGAUAUGCUAUUCAUUAAGUGAUUGUUAAUUUUUUAUAAGAUUAAAAUGAAUUAAUUGUAUUAUCUCACUAAUUAAUUGAUGAAUGUCAUAUUAUUUGGGAUAACUUUUGAAUAAAAAAAUUGUGAUGGAUGAAAUAUUCUUUUGAGAAUUUAUUGACUUAUAUCAUUUAUGACUUAUGGUUGCAUUUAAGUGAUAUUGCAAAUAAUUUUUCCGAUAAUAUUAUUGUUUUGAUGAGUAAGUUUGGAGUAAGGAAAAUUCUAUGAUGCCGUAAUUAAAAAUAAGGCAUUAAUGCCGUAAUUAUUAUGAACCAUUAGAUUAAAUCAACGGUUUACAAUAAUUAUAAAAUAAUAAAAUUUUUUAAUUUAAUUACAUCUAACCGGUUAUAAUCCGGUUAAGUACUUUUUAAAAAUAAAAAUUUACCGGUAUAACUUUAAAGGAAAAAAAGAAGAUUUACGUUUUAAAGAAAUAAAAAAAAUAUAAAGGGAAAAUUCGUUCAUAUUGAAAUCCCUAAUUAACGAAUUCCAAAAGAAACCCACUGCCGCGUUAACUUCCGUUCAAGUGCACCGGCGAUACGUCUGCAGAUUGCAGCCAUUGAGCUGAUUUUUUGUCUUGUUCGAAUUGCUGAGUCUUUGCCGUCGCUGCCUCUAUCUUGGUUUGGCCGUCAUCCCUGUGCAAGGUAAGUUUAAUCCUCUGUCUCGCUCGAAUUGCUAAGCAAUUUCGUUUUCUUUCAUGGUCAUAAUUUGUUCACGGAAUUGACUCUAAGAAUUAAGAAGUCGCUGCAAAGUGUUUGGGUUUGCAUAGUUUUCUUUCAUGGUCAUAAUUUUUGCAUUUGUUCACAGAAUUAAGUUCCUGUGCAAAGUGUUUGGGUUUGCUGGCUAACGCGAUUUUGUUUUCCUCCAAUACUCUUUUCCUGCCAAUCAUUGCUUUGGAAGUUGCUUGAAGCAAAAACAGAGGUGAAAAAGAAGCAAAAAAGAAAUAUGGAUAAAUUAAAUUAAGAAAUAUAGAGCAUGCACUAGACUUUGAUAUGAUUUUUUCUUGUUAUUACAAGUAAUAUGGAUAAAUUAGAUUAAUUGAUUUAUUUUGCUGGUAAUAUGGUUGUUUGAAUACACAUUAAUUGUGAAAUAAAACAAAAAAUAUGUAAACCACACAUAAAACUAGUAAAUUAAUGAAAAAAUGAUCAAUUAAUGUUGAAAUUGUAAUUUGUACGAAGAACUUGUAAACAAAACAAAAACUUAUAAAAAUGACAUAGAACUAGUAAAUUGACAUUAAUUGUGAAAUAAAACAAAAAAUGUGUAAAUCACACAUAAAACUAGUAAAUUGAUGGGAAAAUGAGUAAAUUAAUGUUGGAGUUGUAAUUUGUACGAAGAACUUGUAAACAAAACAAAAACUUAGAAAAAUGACAUAGAACUAGUAAAUUCACAUUAAUUGUGAAAUGAAACACAAAAUGUGUAAAUCACACAUAAAACUAGUAAAUUGAUGAAAAAAUGAGUAAAUUAAUGUUGGAGUUGUAAAUUGCAAGAAGAACUUGUAAAUUGACAUUAAGUGUGAAAUAAAACAAAAAAUUUGUAAACCACACAUAAAACUAGUAAAUUAAUCGAAAAAUAGGUAAAUUAAUGUUAGAGUUGUAAAUUGUAAGAAGAACUUGUAAACAAAACAAAAACUUGUAAAUGUUGCAUAAAACUUGUAAAUCAACAUUAACUUGUAAAAGUUUCAUAAAACUUGUAAAUCACACAUAAAAUUGGUAAAUAUAACCUGGAACUUGAACAAAAAAGAGUAAUUACCUGCUACUUAGGUAACAAGUUACCUAUUUAUUUAGAAUUAAUGGUAGAGAUUUUUUAUUCAAAUCUAACGAUUCACGUCCAUUACAGCAUCAAUGUCGUAAAUUUAGUUAUAGAAUGACCCUUGGAGUAAAUAAUACAUAUGGCAAGUGUGAGGUUUGUUAUUGCAUUUAUUUUGUGGAUCUCUUUUAAAGCCAAAAAAAGACAUUUCAAUUCAUUAUGAUUCCAAAUAAUUUCAAGGCAUAUGUCAUUAUUGGGAUAAAAAUAAAGUAAAAUGGUUAAAACUAUUUUUAUUAAUUUAUAAAAAUUAAUGAAGCAACUACAAAAAUUUUUAAACGAAAAACAAUUGAAAUGUGUGUGGAAAAAGAAGAAAAAAAAUAAGGCAUUUAAAUAUCUUCUUAAAAAAUACGAUUGAGUAAAAUCAUUUUAACAGAAUGCUCUUCCAAAUACAAUUCCACAAUAAUCAUUUUAACAAAAUGCUUUUCCAAAGAGAAACACACACACACACAAAGAGAUUAGUGGGGAGAUAUAUGAGUGUGUAAUUUGUAUAUAUAUCCCCAUUAAUUGUUGAUAGUCCAAUGGGUAUAUGCAAAAGGAAAAACUUGGCUGUCCUUUAAGACAAAAUUGACUGUCACGUGAAAAUGUUAGCACACUUGCCACGCAACGAAAAUAAAGAUUCCAAGAACAACUUUAUGGUCCCCUUUCUGUCCAAACAUAUGCGAUGGAAAUUAGUGUAAACGACACUUGAAAUAUAUAUGUAGAUCCUCACACAAUUGAUUAAAUAUUUAUAGUAGGGUGGAGUGAUAAAUAGUUUCACAAAAUUAUUGGAAUUAACUAUUUAAUACAUGAGAUCUAUCCCAUUAAGUAUAAAAGAUUGAGUGCUGCUUCAAAGGCAUGACGUUGAUGGCAACAAAUUUAACACAAAAAUUUAAUUAACUAUCCUAGUUGAGAUAUUAAAAUCUCGUGUUGAAAACAAAAGGUUUGAGGUUCGAACCUUCUGAUUCAAGAAAAUCAAGUCAAAAUAUUACAUCUUCCAGCACAUAUCAAAGAUUUUUGCAAAGGCAGACUGAUAAUUCAGGGUAAAACAAAAAAAAAAAAAAAACAAAAGGACUAUAUGCUAUUCAAGACAGGUAUACCUUGGAUAUGAAGUCUGAAUCCAAAACAAGAAGCACCUAGCUGAUCUUUCACUUUCAAUUUCCAAAACCCAACAAAAUCUUUGUCAAAAUAUAUGAUCUAGUCCCAUAUUAAGCACAUUCAUAGCCGUAUCAACAUGUUCAAAAUAUUUUCCCCAAAAUGAGAUAAAGAUUCCACUGAAGUUGAGUUGUGAAUGUCCCAACAUUCUGUAAUUAUAUGGUUCAGGAUACCAUGCCUAUGAAUCUUUUUUUUUUUUUUCAUGUUUCGAAGUCUAUCAAAUGAAAAUGUAAUUAUAUGGUUCAGGAUAUCAAUAUGCCGGAGCUGCAAAGGUUGACUUCUACUAUCCUAUCAAUGUCUAUACUUUCUAUUGAAUUUCCUUGUUUUUUUUUAAAUUGCGAGAUUUAUUUUUGGAAAUCUUUGACAAAUUUUAUGUAAGAUACCAUAAAGCCAAAUACAACCUUUUUUAUUCUCAGCAGCAACUUUUUUUUUUCCUUUUAAAAAAAGGAAGCCAUAUAAAUAAUGCUUAAAACAUUAUUUGCAACAAGGAACAAUUAUUUCAUGCUUUCAUGUAUUAGAAACUUUCCAAAAAUGCUAGCAAGAAAAUGAAAUGGAACUUUACCUAUUGAUGCGAGAUUCUGAUUUGCUGAUCGUCCACGACAAGGAUCUCUCCUCAACUAACUCGUCCACGAUCAGGAUAUCUCCUUGUAAUCCUUCUUCUCCGCAAGCUCCUGCGUACACAGAUACAGGUCAGAGCACGCCGGGUAUUUUCCCGGCGUAAAUCCUCCGACGCUCAAGUCAGAAAUGUAGGCUUUGCCUUUCUGGGAAAAACAGCCACAAAUCCUAUGGCUCUUUUACGAUUUCUUAAUAGGAGCUCUCUUUUUCUCAGUUAUAAUCUCAAAAAGUCUAACCCUUUUACCUUCGUUGGCUACCUUUUUAUAGGUUCUCUCUGGAUCCCGGCCUUCCACAACCCACGUCCAUUACCUCCCCCCAACUCUCGGAAGUGGACGCUCCGUUAUCGUAGUCGUGGUUGGAUAAACUUUGUGCCUUGAUUCUCGGAUAGGCGUGCACGCACGUCUUGCCAACCGUCGUUGACCGGGUCUCCUCACCUCAACCUCUAGCAGGAAUAGUUUUAUGCUCCUGGUAGGAGGUCAGCUCCCGUUGUGGCCCCGUGGAUGGUACACUCGUGAAUGAGCAGGAACAAUCCUGCUCGUAUUCACCUGCUACCAGACUUCUGCGGAAUAUAUCUAUUCGCGAGAUCCUGCUACCAGGUAUUUGCUCAUCAUGGCCGGUCUUGUCGAGGUAUAUCCCCUAAACAUUACCUAGUCACAGAAUAUGUACUGCUGUUAGCCCAAUUGUUAUGAAGUGGCUUCUGCAUCAGAAGAUUCCCGCUCCUACAAAGCAUUGUUAUCUCUCUUCUGAAUACAAUCUACAUCGCUGGGCAUGAGUUAUAUCAUUAAUGUCUACAUCCUCACUUACAUCAUCCCAAUCAAGUGCUUUUUCUCUACAUCUGGAUUAUAAGCCCACUCCAAUCUCUUCAAAACAUCCCAGUCCUUCCAUCACAACUGAUACGACUUCCUUCCUUACUUCCCCAUUAAUAAAUCGCUCUGAGAAAAAAAAAGCAUUAGCAAUUCUCUUCAACGCCCCAUCAUUCAUAUCCCCUACAACAACCAUCUUCAGACACCUCAACGUUGCCUCUUGAAAGACCUCCACAAAAUCCGAAUCAUCCGACACAAUCAUCAAACACCGUAACCAUCUUUUGUCCACCAUAUCCACCAUAUAAUUCCUCAACAAAACAUUGGCAUCUUGUGGCUUAUCUAACACCAUCCUGACCCAAAACCAUGCUCUUUUUAACUCAUCUGCAAAACCAUAACCCACUUUUGGAGUCAAAAUUGCACUUGCAGCCAUUUUAUAUUUUGCCAUCUUUAUUGAAUAGUUGCCAACCAAAAGCACUCUCACCUUCCCUCUAGCUGAUUCUAUUUGAUUCGACGUUUUCUUUUAUUCGCCCUCAUGAAUUUGCUUAGAAUGAUUAACAAGCUUGUCAUUAUUAUAAAAUCUCCUUCCAUAAUCACCAAUACAUACGGCUUAGCAGGCCUAAUUACACCAUUGAUUUCUAAUUGGUUAAACAAUUCUCUUUCUUUCUUUGCUCUCUUACAACUUGAGGCAUAUAACUAAACCCGUGGCUAUUAGCAUUUGCCACCAUGUAUUUAACAAUCCCGAAUGAAGAUAUUGAUUUUUUUCAGUUUAAUUGCUGCUUCAAAACGGGGUACUGAAUUUGGAUUUUGUUAUCCAAAUACCAAAAAUUUCCCACAUUGUGUUGGACAAUUUUUGGUUCUAAAGUUGAUGACUGGUUUUGCGAAUCAAGCUUCAAAUGAGAACUUCUAAACAAUAAGACAAAUGGGUUUUUGAGUUUCUAAUCUUGUAAACUUUGUUCUAUUGUAUAAGUUGUGAAAUCGCUUAAACAUCACUACAGCUAGAGGUCUUUAUGUCACUACUAGAAAAAUGGGCUUUAUUGACACCAAUUUAGUGUCAGUAAUUACUUUUGCUGACACUUGUUAAUUGUGUCAGUAAUGCUCAAGCCAGAACACACUGACACUAAUCUUUGGUGUCAGUGAUUUUUGCGUCAGUAUUUUGUGUCACUAUAGUAUCACCACCAUAGUGAUACUAUGAUGUUAGUAUCAGUUGAUACUAUUUUUAUGUCAGUAUUUUGUGUCACUAGAGAGUCACAAGGAUAGUGACUCAAUCGCGUUAGCAUUUAAUGAUACUAUUUACAUGUCACUGAUUUAUGUGACUACAGUAUUAGGAAUCCACUGACUCAGUAACAUCAAAAAUUCUUAUCGUCAUUUAAAUAAUUAGUGUCAGUAUUAACGGUGCUAUACCGGUUGUGUUUUAUUUUUUUUAAUGACAUUAUUCAUGUUUAUUUUACAAUUAAAAUAAACCCAAAAUAUAUUAAACAUACCAAAUCUUGUAAUGCAAUUCACAUAAUACACAUUUCAAAUACAUCAGUUAAAUUAAAAUAGUUCAAAUACAUCAUUGUUUGGGGGUAAAAACAUGUUCAAGUACAAAAUUAAGCUUUGAACAAGUAGUAUACACGAUAAAGUACUAAAUUAAUUUCGGAAAAUUUAGCCAAGAAGAAAAAACAAAUAACAAUGUCACUGAUUUUGGAGUCACUGAUUUUGGAGUCCGCAUAUGCCUUCAUUUUUUUUCCACCUACAAGUAUAUAAAAUCAAUUAGCACACCACAAAAAAUAAAUCACAGAUUUGUUUUAAGGAAAAAUAAUCAUAAAUUACUUGUAUGUUACCUCGCGAUUGUAGGCUGUAAUUAACUUGGCAACGUAUGUAGCCCACUGAUCACGAAGUCGCGAGAGGUCCUUGACAGUGUAUUCCUCAACUCCCUUGAACUUUAAUUUUAAAACAACAAGUUAUUCACCGAAAAUCCUUGACUAAACUACUUAAUUAUCAUUCAUUUAAAUACAUUUGUGUGUUAACAAUUAAAGCCAACAAAUAAACUCCAACAAUGUUACUGUUUUAUCCAAAAUUAUAUAGGUAAAUACUGAACAUCCUGAUCAUGGUAAUUCCAAAAAAAAAAAACUUGUGAACCCCAACAACAACAAUAUUUGAUAGCCGAAGCAACUUGUGAACCCCAACAGUACGCGAUUUAAUACAAAUAUGGAUGUACAUACAAAACCUUAAUUAGGAUGACAACUUAUCCUCAUCAAAGUAAAGUACAAGCAAUGACACCAUAGCACAUCCCCACUAACAACUACUUUGCAACCCAAACAAUUGUUUUGUGUUGGGAUAUGCAGUACAUUGUGUAUAUCCCAAAUCCUAAUUCAUGUCUAUAUGGAUAUUCAUAUAAUCUAUUCAACAGUAUGCAACAUAGUCACCAUUAUAAGUACCCUCACAGUUUAUAAAAUGCAUACAAUACGCAAUAAAAAGAUAACUGUAAAGAAGCACACAAGUGUUUGAGCUGAUUCAUUUCACAAUAAAUUAAAACAAUAUGAUACAGUAUUGUAAAAAUCAUUUUCAAUACUUACAUUAUUUUUCAGAACGUUCACAUUUGUGAUGAUAUCUUGCAUGUAUUUCAUCACAUAGUAACCACAUUCAAAGCUGCUCGGCUGCCUCGGACACUACAAGAUCAAAAUUACAUUAAUUUUUUACUGUACGUUAACAAUAAUUAGUUAGGUUUGUCUGAUUUUUACCUUGACAGGUAUCCAUUGAACAUUGGCCUUUGUAUCAGAAUUUAAACUCUGAUGUAUUCGAAUCCCCCUACAAUUAAGAGACAUAGCUAACGUUAGCAAAUAAUUAGCAUAAGACAUAAAAAUAAAAUAGCAUGAUCAAAGAUACAAAUAACAAACUUAACUGAUUGACAAUCUGCAUUAGCUCUUCAUCAGGACUACCUUCCAAAGGAUCAAGGUAAUAGGUUGUACGUCUCACCAUAUCAAUUGCCAAUAACACCCAGUGGGCACUAAACAAAGUAAAAAUUGUUCUCACACAUGAAUUACAAGUAAAAGUGAUUAAUCUACAAAUUAAAGAAUAUUACUAGCAAAUGAAAAAGGUUAUACCCAGGGUUAUACGGGAAUACGAUGACUUGUCCCAAUUCUGCCAAGCCUAACAGUUUUGAAAUGUAUUGAGUCCUGUCUUUGAAACUGACCCUUGGAUAUAGCUUCUCAAAAAGCCCAAACUGAACUGGUUUAGUACUUCCAUUGCUCUCCAUCUCCUCAUACAGGUGUCUAAGAGGAAACAAAUAUAUAUAACGAAGUAAGUUUGAAUAUAGGAAACAAAAUAAUAGGGCCAAGUUUACUAAAACAUAAGUUAUGAUUUACCGUACUUGAUCCAUAUGUUAAUGAUGCAGUUUGAGACCUCUUUAAACUCGAUGAUUUCAGCACAAAUCAUUUUGUCCAAGUGUGUUUCCCAAAUUUCACCAAAGGUUGCUGUGUCAUGCCGAAUCCUGAUCAACCGAGGUAAAGAAUUCUCGAUGAACAUGGUAAACAUGUUCAUAUAUUCACUCCUGUCAUUCUUUCUUGAUCGUGCUGCUGCCCGUGUAUUCUUCACACGUACAUUGAGGUCUUUUGCUGCUGGUCUGAUGACUCGGGGUUCUUUUUUGGCUAUUUCUGCUGGUCUGAUGACUCUGGGUUCUUUUUUGGCUACUUCUGCUGGUAUGAUGACUCUGGGUUCUUUUUUGGCUACUUCUGCUGGUCUGAUGACUGGUGGUUCUUUGUUGGGUACUUUGUCAUGACAGGAGAACUGCCUAUCUAGUACUUUAGGAGUUAGUCGAGGAGAUCUUCUCGGUGUGGGCUUUGAAGUAAUUUCACAAUCUACUUUUUCGGGGGUUUGUUGAGGAGUUGCUUGGGAAAUUGUGGUGGGACUGUCCUUGAUUUUACUCUUCACAGAUUUUGGAGUCGACUUACCCAAUGGGAAAUCAGCCUUUGCAAUAAUCAAAAUACAUACCAUUAGUAGUAAUACAUGCAUAUACAAAUGGAAAUAAAAUAAUGACAUGUAACAGGCCAUAUACCUUUCUUUUUCCAAGAGUUUCAGGGGAUUGUUGAUCAUUGUCAAUCUGAACACCAGUGGAAGUUUUGGGCUUAGGAAAGUUAGAACUUCCAACUUCAGUAUUGCUGUACGCAUUUAACCUUGCAUUCAUGCGUUCUAAUUGAGCAGACAUGAAUUGGAAACUCUCUUGAUACAUCUUUCUUUCUCUUGCUAACUCAGUGGCAUCAGGGACAUGAAAGUACAUAGAUGGGGUGACGAAUUGCCCCACUCCUUGCACCCUACUUCCAUUUGGCUGCUUCUGAAGAGCUUCACCUAGAAUGUCAUGUGACCCUUGUGAUUGGAAUGUUCCUUGUUCAACAUGACUCUUCAGUUCAUUCUACAAAAAAAAAUAUUGUAAAUCCGCAAUUACGAGUACAAGACAUCAGCUAAACUAAACUAAUAUCCUUCUUGAAUCUUUAACAAAGAGCAAAUCCAUAUACAGUUCAAAUUGAAACUACAGAAAAUAUUACAAGACAACACCUCAAACAAGUUUUAACCUUUUAAUAUGCGAAGAAAUAAGUUCUGAUGAAAUCUUACUGAGUUUCUGUCAAUUGUAAAUGUUGCCAUACAAUUAUUACAAAAAGCAGUAUAUAUGUACGUUAAUAUCUACCCCCACACACACAUAUUAUAAAGAAAAUUCAUAAGAAUUAAGUAUACAAGUGGCUUACUAUUUUCUCAGCAAUUGGCGUCACAUCAGAAGCAUAUUUGCCAUCUCGGUCUGCUCGUGCCAUUAACCAAGCUUCACUGCGAUCAAUCUCCCGCUCAGAAACUCCACUCUCCUUUUUCUGUUACAAGGUGACAUAAAACAUAAAUAAUUGAUUCUAUGAUAUUAUACGCAUUAGAUUACUUAUGUUACUGUAAUUACUCCAUAUUACCACACUUACUUUUCUAUACAACAUGCCACCAUAUCCUGUGCUACCCAAGCGAUGGUUGUAGACAUUCUUUGCUCUUUUGUCUUUUGCCUUCUUACUUUUUUCCUGCACAAACAGUUUAUAUGAAGAAUAAAAAGUUACCACUGAUUAUUAGUAACUACCAACAAUUACAUCAGGUAAUAUUAACAAACAACACACCUGAAAUUGUUCAGACAAAACUUUGUCAACAAAAAGUUUCCAAUCUUCUUUUUUAAUGCUUGGAUAUUCAAUAGGAGGCAACCUUAGUGACUUUCGAUCGUCCUUGUUAGGUAGAACGAAUUCAGUUGCCAGUUCACAACGAAAGUUUCUUGAUGCAACCCCCAUCCACUUUAAUACUUGGCUUUUGCAUUUCAAGCUCAAUUUGAAUUUUUUCUGUCAACCAAUAACAUGGAUUAGCAACAACUUUAAAAAAAUCUGGAAGUUAUAUAAAAUCUUUAAACAUACUAUGAAACAAGAAAACAAAACCUGAAAAUGAACCCACAAAGUUUCCUUCAUCUCCAGUGGCACACGCCUCCAAUCAUCAAGUAAAAUUGAAAUUGUUUCACGUACAAUGACUCCAAUGUAACUCCUAAGAUCAUUUCUUCCCUUUCCAACCGGAACACCAUAAGAAUUGUACUCAAUUGCAGCUUCAUGACUAACUUCUUGUUUUUGCAAACCUUUUUUUUUUGUUUGUUUUCUUCUCCUUGGUCUUCCGUCGAGCUCCGGAAGAGUGAACUCAACAUCGUCAGCCAUCUCCUACAAUCCUGAAAAUGAUUAAAAUAAAUAAGUAUAUCAUUUAGAUUAAUAAGUUAAUACAAGAGCAAUAGCAUAUAAUGAAAUAAAUAAAUCACUUACUGGAAAACUUUGAAAAUUGGUGCUGGAAACUAACUACAAUAAUGCAUUCACUGAUUUUCUAAAUCAAUAUCUAUUGGAAUAGCAUCACAAUCUUUUCUGUCAUAAAUUCCUUCAUCAUCUUUCUCAUCCAACUCACAUACUGGAAGUUUGUUAGAUAAUGGAGAAAAUACAUCCACGUCUUCACAUCUUUCCCCAUUUAACUUAUAAGCUUUGUCGGUCACUGAACAAACUAUUGAUUUAUUAUUCUCUAGCUGGUCCUUUACAUAAAAUACUUGCUUUGCAUGACAAGCCAGAAUAAAGCAAUCAGAUUUAUAGCCAAUCCGAUUUAAAUCAACUACAGUGAAACCUAAAUUGUCAGUGCAAACCCCUCUAUCAUCUACCCAAUCACACUUGAAAAGUGUUUUUUUAACCAUUAGAUAAUCAAGCUGCCAAAUCUCAUCAAUGACUCCAUAAAACGUCAUGUCUCCAAAAUGAGGACUUUUAUCUUUUGAGCUUGAAAUCUGUAGAGUGUUAGCAACAACCCUAACACCACUAUUUUGGGUCACACGAUUACAGUCUCGGUCCCUCGUUGUAAAAUUGAAGCCAUUUAUCUCGUAGCCAGAGAAGGUUACCACGCUUGAGCGUGGUUUGUUUGCUAACCAGCACACUAUUUCGUCAAUCGGCACAUUAUUUGCUUUAUCAUGUGCCACCUAUAAAUUAAUUUAACAAGUACAGUAAUUAGUAACAUGUAGAAAAAUCUUGUUAAGUUUAUAUCCUAUAUUGUAUUUAGUUACGUAAUUCUAACCUUUGCUUGUAACCAACCAGAAAAUGUUCGUAUGUGUUCAUUUUGCAACCACAGAUUUGUUUUUGCCUUAUAAGGGUUUCUUGAUGCCAAAUAAUGCAUAUGCUCCCUACAGUGAAACAUAUUAAGAUUUAAAAACUAGUAUAUUAAUCUAAUAAUACAAUAGUAAUAUUUUUUUGAAAAAUUAACAACUUACUCGAUAUAUAUUUGGAUUUCAGGGGUGUUCAUUAGAACACACCGGUGUGCUUGUGCCAACAAAGGAUCAUCAACCACCUUUAUGUUUGCACCUCCCAAAGGCUUUUCGAUAGAUAAAUCAGUUGGACAACCAGUAGGCAGCCCAAUAACAUCACAAUUUGAGAGGUACUCAGCACAAAAUGCAAGUGCUUCUUCUGCAAUAUAACUUUCUACAAUACAACCCUCAGGGCGGUAGCGAUUACGAACAUAAUCCUUGAGAGUUUUCAUUUGUCUCUCAAAAGGAUACAUCCAUCGAAGAUAAACAGGCCCACAUAACCUAACUUGUUCAACUAAGUGGACUGUUAAAUGGAUCAUUAUGUCAAAAAAGCUAGGUGGGAAGUACUGCUGCAGUAAGCAUAAAGUGAUUACAAGUUCCUCUUGCAAUUGGUCAAGAGUAUUAGGAUCUACCACUUUACAGCACAAUGUAUUAAAAAAGAAGCACAUCCUGAUUAUGGCCGUUCUCACAUUUAUAGGCAAACAGUUUCGAAUGGCUAGUGGUAGAAAUUGUUGCAUCAAAGUAUGACAGUCAUGGGACUUAAGGCCUUGAAGCCGACAAUCAUCUAUUGAAACAAGGUUUUGGACAUUGGAAGAAUACCCAUCAGGGACUUUCACACUCAGCAAGGUUUCACAAAACUGUUUUUUUUCUUUUUUACUCGAAGUAUAAGGAGCUGGAGGUAGGACUUUGUUUUUUUUGUUUGUUUCAUCAGGAACUAGUUUUCCCCUGAUCUUCAAAGACUCAAGAUCUUUUCUAGCAUUAAUCCCAUCUUUUGUUUUGCCUGGUUGAUGAAGUAAUGUGCCAUAUAUGUUUUCGCACACAUUUUUUUCAAUGUGCAUGACAUCUAAUUGAUGGCGAACUAAUAAAUGCUUCCAAUAAUCUAACUAAAAAAAGAUUGACUUUUUUUUGUACAAUUUUUCAGUUAUGUUCUCAUCACCACCACCACCACCACCGCCAUCAUGUUUCCGCUUUUUGGCCUUCUUUUUCCCGAACUUAAUAUCUAUAUCUUCCACCAUAUUAAAGAUUUCCUCACCAGACAAAGUUUUAGGAGGCUCAUUCCACUCUUGCUUCCCAUUAAAAACCUUUUUCAGUUUCCGAAAUAAGUGACCGAGUGGUAGAAAGCGGCGAUGGCCCAUAUAUGACAUUUUCCUACUAUGUGGCAGCCAACAUGCACAAGUGUCUAUCCCACAAAUUGGGCAAGCAUAAUAGCCCUUAACAGUACAACCAGAGAGGUUUCCGUAUGCUGGAAAGUCACUAAUUGUCCACAUCAAGACAGCCCGUAAAUUAAAGGUUUCUUUUCUAUAAGAAUCAUAAACAUCAAUACCUACAUCCCAUAGAGUUUUUAAGUCCUCAAUCAAAGGUGCUAGGUAUACAUCUAGAUCAUUUCCAGGUUGUUUAGGGCCAGAUAUCAAAAGUGACAACAUCAAAAACUUUCUCUUCAUACACAACCAUGGAGGAAGAUUAUAUGUUAUUAAUAUAACAGGCCAACAACUAUAAGUAGUGCUAAGUGUACUAUGUGGGUUAACCCCAUCAGUUGAGAGAGCUAAACGGAGAUUUCUAGGUUCUUGUGCAAAUUUUGGCCACUUAUUGUCAAUUAGUUGCCAGGCUGGUGAGUCUGCUGGGUGGCGAAGUUUGCCAUCUCUAAUUCUUUUAUUAGCAUGCCAUGUUAAAUUUUGAGCUGUUUGUGGUGAUUGAAACAAUCUUUUCAACCUAGGAAUAGGUGGAAAAUACCAUAAUACCUUUUUUGGAACCCCUUUCCUAAAUUUUGUUGAGCUAUCUUUUUUUUUUUAUACCUAGAUGCUCCACAAUUUGGGCAUUCAGCAAGAUCAGCAAAUUCAUUCCUAUACAAAAUGCAGUCAUUUGGACAUGCAUGUAUUUUUUCAUACUCUAAGCCUAACACUUUCAUUGUUUUCUUAACCUCGUACAUUGACAUAGGUAGAGUAUUAUUAUUUGGCAAAAUAUCAGCAAGGACUUCUAACAAAGCAGAAAACCCUGUAUCGGACCACCCAUAGUUCCCUUUCACAUUGUAAAGUCUCAUUAAACUAGAUAACUUUGAAUGUUUUGCACCCGGGUACAAAGGCUUUUCAGCAUCUUCAAGCAUAUCCUUAAAAGAACUAGGAUCUCUAUCACAAUGCUCGUAAGCAUCUUCGACCAUGUCAAUUAUAUUACUGUAAUCAUGACAUCUAAAUCUUUGACUAUGUGAAUGGUCUUCACAGUUUGUAAAUGUAGAUUUAGAGUCAGUCUCACCAUGCCAAGUCCAAACAAUAUAUCUUGGGAGAAAACCUUUUUCAAAUAAAUGAUCCUUCACUUGUUGAGGAGUAUGAAACUCCAUGUUACAACAAAAGGUGCAAGGACAUCUAAUUGACAUUCGAUUUUCAGCAUUCAAAAUGGCAAAAUCUAAGAAAUCAGCAACUCCAGAACGAUACUCUACAGACAAUCUAUCACAAGUUAUCCAACUUCUGUCCAUUUCAAAUAUUUUACCUGUUCACAUAUGUAAUGUUAGUUUAAGUUUAAUUAAAUUGCAUGAUUAAUUUAAAGUUCAAUGUUAUUAUGAUUAUAGUUGUAAUAAUAAACUUAUAAUUCUGAAAAAUCAUUAAUAGCCCUAUAAAUCAUUAAUUAUAAUAAUAAUUUAGACAAAAUCCUGAAAUUGAAACAAAAUAAGUUUUGAAACUUAAAUAGGAGAUUAAUAGGUAAGAUGGGUGCUAAUGGCUUUUUAAGUAGUCGAACUAAUUCAUAAGUCAAGUAACUAACAAAAGUUAAGAGUUCAAAUAAAUAAUGUCUUCAUACCACUUUGCAAGCCAUUUUUUAAGAUUCUAUAAAUCAUUUUUUAACUUCAAAUACAACAUGCAGAACUACUUUAAAACAAGCAUUUCUUUAUUGAAUCAAACACAAAUCAUCAACUUUAUACAAUCUCACAAUACUCACAACCACGAACUUAAUUAAUUCAUAUCAUAGUCAUUGUCUCUAUUACAAAUCGUCCAACCAAAACAGAAUAAAUAAACAAGUAGGAUUAUAUAACAAAAUUUGCCUCUCUUUACAUGAAACAGAGAUGUAAAUAGUUUGUAACCACUAAAUACACAGUCAUUCAGCCAAUAUAACACCCAAACAAUCAUCUCCUAAUCACAAAGGCAAAAGCUAAAAUCAAAUUUCAUAUUUUAGUACAUUCAAAAUCAACUAACUUAUUGCUCAAAGUUAAGAAACGGAGCUAACAGUUUAUUUCAGAAACUAAAAAAAAUGCACAUUCUUAGUUUUAAAUAACAAUGACAGUAAAUCACAUGCACAAAAGUUUGAAACUGACCUCAAAUGUGGCAGAAAAAACAGAGUCGCAGCAGCAAGUGUUUUGAGUUUAAGUAAUGCACCACUUAAAAUGCCUGUAUUUUUGGACUGCAUGUGAGUGAAGAUAUAGAAAAAUAAGAACAAAAAUUUCAAGUUACGAAUAAAUAAAUAAAAAAAAAUAUUUGGAAAACAAAACCCACCAGGGUUGCACGACUGUUCAAUUUCUGAAUAUCUGAAACAACCCAAAAAUAAAAAUUCAAAAAUAUUAUUCAUAAGCCAAAUUAAAACAAACCCAAUAAUUAAAUUGCACAAACAAAUAAAACAUUCUGCCAUUACCAGCUGAUAACCUCCUCUACAGUUCUUUCUCUGGACUUAACUUGUCAGGGAGAAUGAGAUUACCUGAAUACCGAACCGAUGGUGCCACUUCACCCCUUGUCGAUGGCUUUUACUUGCUUGCCUAGUAUAGGCACUGGAUGGUUAAGUUGGAGAAAAACCCCUUCGAUAACAAGCGAUUAGGGUUUUGGUUUGUGUUUCAAUUUGGGGAAAAUGGAAAAACGAAUCAGAGUUUUAGGUUUUCAUUAUCUAUCUAAAUUAAUUGAAUUUAAUUUGUAAAUGGAUAGUGCAAAACAGAAGAGAUCGAGAAGAGAAAAACGAAAGCGAAAGUGAACGAUGAAAGCAAGAUAGAGACAGUCGAUAUAGUCUAGAUGGGGAGAACAAGUGUGUUUUAUGUUAUUGUUAUUUAUAUUUUCAUUUUUUAAUAAUUUAAAUAUUAUUAUGACUUUGACUCAUCGAGAUUUGAUGGUCUGUGCUCCAAACAUUAAAGCUUUAAAUCUUAGAGCUCCCAGGUUCGAGUUGGAGCUAAAACAAAAUUUUUAUGAAUUUUUUUUAUCAUUGAUACUUUAGUGUUAGUGAUUUUUGAUGUUUAGUUUACUGACACCCUAGUAUCAUUAAUCUCUGAUUCCUAUUUGUCAAAAGCGGAAAAUGGUGCAUAUGUACAUAAGUACUGAUACUUUUUGCAAAGUGUCAGUAACGAAGUGUCAGUAAAGCCCAUUUUUCUAGUAGUGUCUGUCAAUGAACUGCAGAAGCUGAUGAUCUACCUGUAGUAGACUUCUAUUGCCCCUGUCGUUCUAGGAAGACAAAUAAGUUCAGGAACUACUUCUGGACCAAACUCAUAAUAUUGCCACUGCUUUGUGCCAAUCUACGAGGGAAAGCAUAUUGAAGUUCCUAAAUAAGGCACAUCACGAUUUGACUGAAGUACCAUUAUGAGGAACAAUUGAUUUUAGGAAAGCACUAAAAUAUGACAUAAUCUGCCCCUAAUGGUCUAAAGUAGUCAAGAAAUUAUAUCAACCAAGCAGAAACACAUAAACUAGUUGAGAUACAAAGUUAUUGUAAAAGUCAAUUUUGAUCACAAAUCCAUUAAAAUUAAAAGACAUCAGAAACUUAGAGAACAUUAUAAUUUAGGACUCAGCUAAGUUGCAGAUUCUGUAACUAACAGCUGAGUCCACAUUGGUCUUGCAUCAGCUAAGUUUGGGUUGCUUUCCCUCUCUCCUGCAACGCGUGGAAGCGCCCCAUUUGCUGUGUUAUAUACCGAGUCAGUACCGUAACAAGCUCCUAUAAUUUAAGUUUGAUUAAUGUAGACAAUAGUCUGCCUCUGCUCAAAAGCUAUGCUGCAAGAUAUAACAUCUUUGCAAUGUUAUACUUUCUAAAAGUAAUAAGAAAUGAAACCAAGGGGUAAAUCGAACACCAAAAGAAAUUUAGUCGGCCAACCACAUUAUGUUCCCACACAGUCCACUAAUUAAGUUAAUAAUUAAAGGAAUCAAAAUCUAAGAAAUCUAAGAAAUCGGCCAACCACAUUUUCCUUUUUCUCUCUCCGCUACAGUAGUCGCUAAUUGACCCAAUUGAUGUUCAAGCUUUAGAAUAGCUUGAGUGUUUGACUGAAAAGCUUGUUGGGUUGACUGAAUGAAACUUUGAAGUGUAUCCUCUAAAGAAGGCUUUCUUUGUUGGGGUGCAACAAAUUGAGACAUAGGUUGUUGGGCAGGAGGAUAUACUUGGUUAGGAGGGAUAAAUUGUUGAUUGGGCAUGUUAAAUUGUUGCCCUCCUUGAUUUGACAAAUGUUGAUUUUGUUUCCAAGAAAAAUUAGGGUGAUUCCUCCAAUUAGGAUUAUAUGUGGAUGAAUAUGGACUAUUGGAGGUUUUCUCAUAUGAUUGUAAGGCAUGUACCUGCUUAGAAUAAGCAUCUGGAUAGACUGGUAAUGAUGGACAAUUCUGUGCUGUAUGAGACAAGUUAGAACAAAUAGCACAAACUUCAUUAGCUACACUAGGAUGAUGAUUCAUUGAUUGGUUCAGAGCUAAGGCAUCUACUUUCCUAGAAAGUGUAGCUAGAGUGGAUUUCACAUCAAAAUCAUCCUUAACUUCAUAUAACCCCUUUCUAGAAACUUGAGAUGAUUUUUCCCUUUGAUUUGAAAAAUCCCAUUGUUGAGAGUUUUCAGAAAGUGAAUUAAAGAAAUCCCAUGCGGCCCAUUCAUGUAAGUUCAAAAAUCUCCCACCAUUCAUAGACUCUACCAUAUGACGAUUUGACAUGGUUAAACCGUUAUAAAAGCAUUGUAUAAGUCUCCAUUUUUCAAAACCAUGGUGGGGACACUUGAGGAGUAAAUCAUUGAAUCUUUCCCAACACUCGUAAAAUUGCUCACCCUCUCUUUGAUAAAAAUCACUUAUCUCUGUCCUAAGGGCAUUUGUUUUCGACAUAGGAAAAAACUUGGUGAGAAACUUAUUACUCAAUUCAUCCCAUGUACUAAUAGACCCAGCAGGAAGUGAAUUCAACCAAGCUUUUGCUUUGUCUUUUAAUGAGAAAGGGAACAUACGAAGCCUAAUUGACUCAUCAUUAAAAUUUUGAAAACGAAAUGUAGAGCAUAUGUCAAGAAAUUCCUUAAUGUGCAAAUAUGGAUCCUCUCUCUCUAACCCAUGGAAAGAUGGUAAAAGUUGAAUGACUGAGGGCUUAAGUUCAAAGUGUGUUGCUGUAGUUUGUGGCAACACAAUACAAGAUGGUUGGUUGGCUGCAAGUGGUGAAAAGUAUUCUCUGAGGGUUUUCUCUGCUUGCACUGGUGGAAGUAUUGGCAAUAGUCUAUUUGGGUCAUCCAUCACUUCUAAAGAACUAGUUUGACUACUAUCAAUUUUCGACUCUCUUUUAACCAAACGAUUUGUUGAAUCACGUUCCCAAACACUCAUAAACUAACUAGACAAGAAAAGAAAGAAAAAUAAAAUCAAAUAAACCAACAAUAAUGAGAAUAAAUGAAAUUUAAAAAUAAAAGAAAUCAAACAACCAAACAAUGAAUUUAAAGACAAAUAAAAGUUUUUUUGUGUUUUUUUUUAAUAAAAAAAAUAAAAGACAACCUAAGUUAAAACUAGUGGAAGAAUCAAAUCAACCUAGAUUAAACUGACUUUCUAGCACAAUCCCCGGCAACGGCGCCAAAAACUUGUGUUGAAAAUUUUAAUAUACUCGCAAGCGCACGAAUCUAGAAAUAGAAUAGUGGUAACGAGGUCGAUCCCACAGGGAUUGUUAUAAAUUGAAAAGUCUAAUUUAAAUAUAAAAUUAAUAUUAAUUCUAACCUAGUUGACCAAAUUGAGUUUUAAGAGAAAUUAAACUAAUUAAACUAAGGAAGCAAAAAAUAAAGGAGAAUUCAAUAAGAUAAGAAUUACCAAGGUUUUAGAAUCCACCACUAUUCAACUAGUAAUUAUCUAAUUAUUAAUUAAUCCCCAAUUUAGAGUGACAACUUGAAAUCAAUCUAUGUCAUCUCAUGGAUAUAACAAUUAAGCCCAAAUAAAAUUAAUCUUAUGUAGGUUCUUUUUCUGCUUGAUAAUAUGACAUCUAAGCAUCCCAUGUAAACAUAUUGAAUAACAAAGAAUCAAAGUUUUCCUAAGCACUCUAUGUAAACAAUUUAAUGAAAGACAUAAAAUCAAAGAUAGUCAUGUAUAAACUUUAUAAAUCCAAGCAUAGAUUUAAUCGAAUAUUAAUCCUAACAAUCAAUAAUGCAUGACAGAAUUGAUGAAAAGAUUUUAUUAACAUCCAAUUAAUCAUGUGAGAUAAAAACCAUAAUCAUCAAAGAACAUAUAUAGGGAAUUAAUUAAAUAAAAAGAGAUAAUUAUUUCAUUGAAUAGGGUUUCAUCUUUAACCUCAGUAUAAGAAAAUUAGCUAGACAUACUUGAAUUGAGAGCAACAAGAUAAAUAAAUUCAGCCAUGGGGAAGCCGAAUUGCUGCAGAUUUUCUUCUCUGUCUUGAAUCCUUGCGUCUCCAGUUCUCCCCUUCCUCUGGCGGCUCUCCCCCCUUUAUAUAAUGUUACUGGCUUGCUUAAUCCUUAUCGGAUUCUAAUUGCAUUAACUUAUCAUAAGUCACAAUCAUCCACCGACUUACAAAGCCCACUCACCAAGGCCUUUUUAAAUUAUUUCCUUAUUAAACUUUGAAAACUAGCCACACGUUUGACCACAAAAGCAAAAGACCAAUUAAUGACUUCUUCUUUUAAUGCCCAGCACAUGCACUCCAAAUUGCCAAAUCUUUGCUUUCCAAAUGCAUGCCCACCGUUCAUCUUUUGAAGGGAUUGACUUCCAAUUUUAAUCUUAUUGACUUCCAAAUUUGAACUUCCUCAUGCCCUUUUUAUCCUUAAUCUUCAAUUAAUUCCCUAUUCAACAAAAUAAUUCAAUUAAUUAAAAAUAACAAAUAAAAAUAACUAACAAUUAAAUAAUAAGAGUCAAAUAUGUAUAUAAAUUAUGCUCAUCAAAUACCCCCAAACUUAGAUUUUGCUAGUCCUCGAGCAAAACUAAAACUUAAAACAAAAGUAAAAACAAUGAAAAAAAAAAUAAAUCUUAACUAAACCACUUUCGCAGGUAAUCGCGAUUGCAUUUAGCGUAUGCAACAAGUCUUUAAACCCAUAGGCGGCCCUAGUGGACGAGUUAUAGUCUCGUGAGGGCUUCAGUGAUGUUACCCACAAACAUCAUUUUUCAAAGAAUUAAAAUAAAAAUAAAAUGAAAAGAACAACAAACUUUUAAACAAAACAUGAAGAUAGCCUCAAAGAUUGCAUAAAUUAUAUAGCUCAAAGAAAAUUUCAAAUAUUGGCAAAGUUCUAACUUUAAUUCAAUAGUCAAUCUCAUCUCUCUUUCGAUUCUUGUAGUGUGUGUGUGAAAUCAAUUCAAUCAAAUCCAUUCCCAAAACCCUCAAUAUCAACAGCCUUCGCCUCAAACAAAGAACAGAGUAGGUCAAACUAAUCUUAUCAUCUUGAUCUCCAAUUUUUUUUUUUUCACAGGCUUUUAUGUGCAUUUUCUUUUGAAUUUUUUUUUUCAGCACAUGCACUUGAUUUGAUUUUUUUUUCUUUUUUUUUUUAACCAUAGUCAGGAGCUUUCACUCUACCCCUUAAGGUAGCCUUCUUCUCAUGGUAGAUUAUCCUCUACAUACUUGUGGUACAUAGGCCCAAAUUACUCAAGGAUAGCUUCACUCUUAAGGGUUAUAGGUAGCUAUUUCUGACUCUGGCGCCUGUGUAUGCUAUUUUGUAUUGUGGAGAUAAGAAUCAAGAUAAAUAGUCAUUUACUCUAUCUAAAAUUCUCAAUUCAGGCUGUGUCAAUCUCAAAUUUCAAGUCAAAAUCAUGAAAGAACUGAUAUUAGUGCUCAUGGUUUAAAGAAUCUCAAUCAAGAGGAACUAACACAAGAAUCAAGUAUAAACUAAGACAAUAUUCAAUCCUUUCUAAAAACCAUAUUUAUUGUCAAUCAAAUUCUUAUCAUUGGCUUUUCACAUAAAAACAAAAACAACACAAAUUUUUUUUUUGAAUUUUUGAAUUUUUUUAUUUUUUUAUUAUUUUUUUAAACAAACAAAGCACACACUAUUCCCACCCCCAAACUUAUUUGGAACAUUGUCCUCAAUGUUUCACAAACAAAAGAUAUGCAUGCAAACAAAUGAAAGAGAAAUAAUAAUAAUAAUAAAAACAUAAAUAAUAAAAAGAAAGUUGAAGAUAACACACCUGGAUGGGCUGUGAAAGCUUAAAAGAAAAUGCCAAAUGAAAAGAAAACAUUAGAAAAGAAAAACAAACAAAGAAAAGAAAACCUACUGUUAAAAUAAAACAAGAGUGCAAAGAUGAACUUAAUUAAUCCUGAUAAACAGGAUCAUCUAACAGUAUCUCCUCAACUUCUGGUGUUCUUAACUCUAAAAAUGGUUUUAAUCUUUGACCAUUGACCUUAAAUAAAUCACCAUUUUUAGGAUUUUCAAUCUCAAUUGCCCCAUAAGGGAAGACAGUACGAACUAUAAAAGGACCAGACCAUCGAGAACGUAACUUACCUGGAAAGAGAUGCAAUCGGGAAUUAUAUAAAAGUACUUUCUGACCUGGUGUAAAGACUUUUCUCAAAAUGUAUUUGUCAUGAAAGACUUUCAUUCGCUGUUUAUAAAUCUUGGCAUUCUCAUAUGCAUCAUUCCUGAUCUCUUCAAGUUCUGCUAGUUGUAAUCUUCUCUUAGACCCAGCCUGCUGCAUGUCAAAAUUGAAUUUCUUGAUAGCCCAAUACGCACGAUGCUCCAACUCUACUAGCAGAUGACAUGCUUUUCCAUACACAAGUCGAUAAGGUGACAUCCCAAUUGGUGUUUUAAAAGCAGUCCUAUAUGCCCACAAUGCAUCAUCAAGUCUCAAAGACCAAUCCUUUCUAUCUGGCCUAACUGUUUUCUCUAGAAUCCGCUUGAUGUCUCUAUUAGAAAUCUCUACUUGGCCACUGGUCUGAGGAUGGUAUGGGGUGGUAACCUUAUGUGUAAUGGAAUAUUUGUCCAAAAGAGUUUUGAAAGGUUUAUUGCAAAAAUGGGUGCCACCAUCACUAAUGAUUGUUCUAGGGAAACCAAAAUGAGACAGAAUAUUACUCUUUAAGAAUUUCACUACAACCCUAUGAUCAUUGGUUUUGCAUGGAGUUGCUUCAACCCACUUCGACACAUAGUCCACUGCAACUAAUAUAUACUGAUAACCAAAAGAUGGAGGAAACGGUCCCAUGAAAUCAAUACCCCAUACAUCGAAGAUCUCAACCACAAGAAUAGGAUUGAGUGGCAUCAUGUUCCUCUUUGAAAUGUUACCCAUACGUUGGCACCUAUCACACAAAGAACAGAAAAUAUAAGCGUCAUGAAAAAGAGUAGGUCAAUAAAAACCACACUGUAAAAUUUUUGUUGCUGCCUUUUUAGCACUAAAGUGGCCUCUACAAGCUUGUUCAUGGCAAAAUGAGAUAACACUUUGAAUUUCAUUAUCGGGAACACAUCGCCUAAUAAUCUGAUCAGCACAAUAUUUAAAUAAAUAGGGAUCAUCCCAAAAGAAGUCCUUCACUUUAGUUAAGAACUUUGUUCUAUCUUGCUUAGUCCAGUGCUCUGGGAUUUGACCUGUAGCAAGGUAAUUAACUAUGUCAGCAAACCAUGGUACAACAUUUACACUCAUAAGUUGCUCAUCUGGGAAAGACUCAUUCAAAGGUAAAGAUUCUGGAAUAAAUUUAAGAUCAAGGCGAGAUAAAUGAUCUGCCAUAACAUUUUCAGAACCUUUUUUAUCUAUAAAUUCAAUGUAAAAUUCUUGUAAAAGCAACACCCAACGAAUCAAUCUUGCCUUAGCAUCUUUCUUAGUAAGCAAAUAUUUUAAAGCAGCAUGAUCAGUAAAAAUAAUCACUUUACAACCUAUAAGAUAAGAUCUGAAUUUAUCAAGUGCAAACACCACAGCUAGCAUUUCUUUUUCUGUAGUUGAAUAGUUCAAUUGUGCAUCAUUGAGUGUCAUACUAGCAUAAUAAAUCACAUAAGGCAUACGAUCUAAUCUUUGUCCUAAAACUGCUCCUACAGCAUAAUCAGAUGCAUCACACAUAAUUUCAAAAGGCAAAUCCCAAUUAGGUGGCUGAAUGAUAGGUGAAGAAGUCAACAAUUUCUUAAGCUUUGCAAAAGCAUCAAGACAAGAUUCAUCAAAGAUAAAAGGUGCAUCCUUAACAAGUAAAUUGCAUAAAGGUCUAGAAAUUUUACUAAAAUCUUUAAUGAAUCUUUUAUAAAAACCAGCACGUCCAAGGAAAGAUCUUACUUCUUUUACGGAUUUGGGAUAUGGAAGAUUAGAAAUUAAAUCCACCUUAGCUUUGUCGACUUCUAUACCUUUGCUGGAAAUUAUAUGACCAAGAACAAUACCUUGUUUUACCAUGAAGUGACACUUUUCCCAAUUUAGAACCAAGAUCUUUUCUUUACAUCUCUGCAAAACUAAUGUUAGGUGCUGCAAACAUUCAUCAAAAGAAUCUCCAUAAACAGAAAAAUCAUCCAUGAAUACUUCAAGAAAUCUCUCAACCAUAUCAGAAAAAAUACUAAGCAUGCAUCUUUGAAAGGUAGCAGGUGCAUUGCAUAAACCAAAUGGCAUUCUCCUAUAUGCAAAAGUUCCAAAUGGACAAGUAAAAGUAGUUUUCUCCUGGUCCUCUGGAGAUAUAGGGAUCUGAUUAUAACCUGAAUAUCCAUCUAGAAAACAAUAAAAAUCAUGACCUGCAAGUCUAUCAAGCAUUUGAUCAAUAAAUGGAAGAGGAAAAUGAUCUUUUCUUGUGAAUGAAUUCAAUUUUCUAUAAUCAAUGCAAACACGCCACCCUGUAGUUACUCUAGUGGGAAUUAAUUCAUUAUUAGCAUUAGUAACUACUGUAACACCAGAUUUCUUAGGAACAACUUGCACAGGGCUAACCCAAGAGCUAUCUGAAAUAGGAUAAAUAAUUCCUGCAUCUAAUAAUUUGAUUACUUCAGCUCUUACCACUUCUUUCAUGUUAGGAUUUAACCUACGUUGCAUCUCCCUAAUAGGUUUAGUAUUUUCUUCAAGAUGAAUACGAUGCAUGCAAUCUACUGGAUUAAUACCUUUAAUAUCAGCGAUGGUCCAUUCUAUUGCCUCCUUAUGCUCUUUUAGAAUGCCUAACAACUUACCUUUUUGCUCAAGAUCGAGGGAAGAAGAAAUAAUAACAGGUAGUUGUCAGAUUCUCCCAAGAAUGCAUAUUCCAGAGUGUCAGGCAGUGCUUUGAGUUCCAAUUUUGGUGGUGCCUCUGCAGAUGGGCCAAUUUUCUUCUCAGAAUGAGGCAGUAGUUCUGACUUUGUCUUCCAUUUAAUUGUGUCCGUAAUUAGAGGUGCAUCAAGUAAAGCGCUGACUUCUGCAAUUGCACUGUCAUUAUUAAAAGAUAAAUCAGAAUGAGUUAGACAUGCCUCUAAUGGAUCGUCAGUAUAGUUAGAAAUAAAUGAAUCUUCUACUAAUUCCUCUAUCAUAUUUGCUUCAACAAAUUCAUCUUCUUCUUGUGGCUGCUUGGUAACAUUAAAAAUAUUCAAUUCCAUGGUCAUAUUACCAAAAGAUAGCUGCAUGUUUCCAUUCCUGCAAUUAAUAAGAGCAUCAGCUGUAGCUAAGAAAGGACGACCUAGAAUAACUGGAGUGUGUUUCUUAGGAUCCUGUACAUGCUGAGUAUCAAUAACGAUAAAAUCAACAGGAUAAUAAAAUUUAUCAAUCUGUAUCAACACAUCCUCUAUAAUACCACGAGGUAUUUUCAUAGACCUAUCAGCGAGUUGCAAAAUAAUAUAAGUUGAUUUUAACUCACCUAGUCCAAGCUGCAUGUAAACAGAAUAAGGCAAGAGAUUAACACUAGCGCCUAAAUCCAAUAAUGCUUUAUCAAAACAUUGGUUCCCUAUAACACAUGAGAUAGUAGGAGAACCUGAAUCCUUAAAUUUUGGUGGCAUUUUACAUUGGAGUAAAUUGCUAGUUUGUUCAGUUAAAAAUGCCUUUUUGGUGACAUGCAAAUUUCUCUUUUUAGUGCAUAAAUCUUUCAAAAACUUGGCAUAGGAAGGAACUUGCUUAAUAGCAUCGAGUAAAGGGAUGUUUAUACUUACCUGUUUGAAGAUUUCCAUAAUCUCACCUGUUGAAGUCCCUUUCUUUACCUUUGUUAACCUUUGAGGAAAAGGAGCCUUGGGAAUGUAAGCUGGCAGACCACUCUCUUCUGGAUCAUUUGGUGAUGAGUCUUGUGAUGGAAUUGGAUCUGAAGAAGUAGGCUCAGAUGUCUUCCUUGUUUGAACCUCUACUUUGUUGUCAAAUAAUUUUCCUCUUCUCAAGGUCAUAACAGAUUUUGCUUGUUCAUGCUGAUGACUUGAACUCAAUCCAGCUUCGUGCACUCCUUUGGGAUUAGGAACUGGUUGACUUGGAAAUUUUCCUUUUUCUCUCUCCGCUACAGUAGUCGCUAAUUGACCCAAUUGAUGUUCAAGCUUUAGAAUAGCUUGAGUGUUUGACUGAAAAGCUUGUUGGGUUGACUGAAUGAAACUUUGAAGUGUAUCCUCUAAAGAAGGCUUUCUUUGUUGGGGUGCAACAAAUUGAGACAUAGGUUGUUGGGCAGGAGGAUAUACUUGGUUAGGAGGGAUAAAUUGUUGAUUGGGCAUGUUAAAUUGUUGCCCUCCUUGAUUUGACAAAUGUUGAUUUUGUUUCCAAGAAAAAUUAGGGUGAUUCCUCCAAUUAGGAUUAUAUGUGGAUGAAUAUGGACUAUUGGAGGUUUUCUCAUAUGAUUGUAAGGCAUGUACCUGCUUAGAAUAAGCAUCUGGAUAGACUGGUAAUGAUGGACAAUUCUGUGCUGUAUGAGACAAGUUAGAACAAAUAGCACAAACUUCAUUAGCUACACUAGGAUGAUGAUUCAUUGAUUGGUUCAGAGCUAAGGCAUCUACUUUCCUAGAAAGUGUAGCUAGAGUGGAUUUCACAUCAAAAUCAUCCUUAACUUCAUAUAACCCCUUUCUAGAAACUUGAGAUGAUUUUUCCCUUUGAUUUGAAAAAUCCCAUUGUUGAGAGUUUUCAGAAAGUGAAUUAAAGAAAUCCCAUGCGGUCCAUUCAUGUAAGUUCAAAAAUCUCCCACCAUUCAUAGACUCUACCAUAUGACGAUUUGACAUGGUUAAACCGUUAUAAAAGCAUUGUAUAAGUCUCCAUUUUUCAAAACCAUGGUGGGGACACUUGAGGAGUAAAUCAUUGAAUCUUUCCCAACACUCGUAAAAUUACUCACCCUCUCUUUGAUAAAAAUCACUUAUCUCUGUCCUAAGGGCAUUUGUUUUCGACAUAGGAAAAAACUUGGUGAGAAACUUAUUACUCAAUUCAUCCCAUGUACUAAUAGACCCAGCAGGAAGUGAAUUCAACCAAGCUUUUGCUUUGUCUUUUAAUGAGAAAGGGAACAUACGAAGCCUAAUUGACUCAUCAUUAAAAUUUUGAAAACGAAAUGUAGAGCAUAUGUCAAGAAAUUCCUUAAUGUGCAAAUAUGGAUCCUCUCUCUCUAACCCAUGGAAAGAUGGUAAAAGUUGAAUGACUGAGGGCUUAAGUUCAAAGUGUGUUGCUGUAGUUUGUGGCAACACAAUACAAGAUGGUUGGUUGGCUGCAAGUGGUGAAAAGUAUUCUCUGAGGGUUUUCUCUGCUUGCACUGGUGGAAGUAUUGGCAAUAGUCUAUUUGGGUCAUCCAUCACUUCUAAAGAACUAGUUUGACUACUAUCAAUUUUCGACUCUCUUUUAACCAAACGAUUUGUUGAAUCACGUUCCCAAACACUCAUAAACUAACUAGACAAGAAAAGAAAGAAAAAUAAAAUCAAAUAAACCAACAAUAAUGAGAAUAAAUGAAAUUUAAAAAUAAAAGAAAUCAAACAACCAAACAAUGAAUUUAAAGACAAAUAAAAGUUUUUUUGUGUUUUUUUUUAAUAAAAAAAAUAAAAGACAACCUAAGUUAAAACUAGUGGAAGAAUCAAAUCAACCUAGAUUAAACUGACUUUCUAGCACAAUCCCCGGCAACGGCGCCAAAAACUUGUGUUGAAAAUUUUAAUAUACUCGCAAGCGCACGAAUCUAGAAAUAGAAUAGUGGUAACGAGGUCGAUCCCACAGGGAUUGUUAUAAAUUGAAAAGUCUAAUUUAAAUAUAAAAUUAAUAUUAAUUCUAACCUAGUUGACCAAAUUGAGUUUUAAGAGAAAUUAAACUAAUUAAACUAAGGAAGCAAAAAAUAAAGGAGAAUUCAAUAAGAUAAGAAUUACCAAGGUUUUAGAAUCCACCACUAUUCAACUAGUAAUUAUCUAAUUAUUAAUUAAUCCCCAAUUUAGAGUGACAACUUGAAAUCAAUCUAUGUCAUCUCAUGGAUAUAACAAUUAAGCCCAAAUAAAAUUAAUCUUAUGUAGGUUCUUUUUCUGCUUGAUAAUAUGACAUCUAAGCAUCCCAUGUAAACAUAUUGAAUAACAAAGAAUCAAAGUUUUCCUAAGCACUCUAUGUAAACAAUUUAAUGAAAGACAUAAAAUCAAAGAUAGUCAUGUAUAAACUUUAUAAAUCCAAGCAUAGAUUUAAUCGAAUAUUAAUCCUAACAAUCAAUAAUGCAUGACAGAAUUGAUGAAAAGAUUUUAUUAACAUCCAAUUAAUCAUGUGAGAUAAAAACCAUAAUCAUCAAAGAACAUAUAUAGGGAAUUAAUUAAAUAAAAAGAGAUAAUUAUUUCAUUGAAUAGGGUUUCAUCUUUAACCUCAGUAUAAGAAAAUUAGCUAGACAUACUUGAAUUGAGAGCAACAAGAUAAAUAAAUUCAGCCAUGGGGAAGCCGAAUUGCUGCAGAUUUUCUUCUCUGUCUUGAAUCCUUGCGUCUCCAGUUCUCCCCUUCCUCUGGCGGCUCUCCCCCCUUUAUAUAAUGUUACUGGCUUGCUUAAUCCUUAUCGGAUUCUAAUUGCAUUAACUUAUCAUAAGUCACAAUCAUCCACCGACUUACAAAGCCCACUCACCAAGGCCUUUUUAAAUUAUUUCCUUAUUAAACUUUGAAAACUAGCCACACGUUUGACCACAAAAGCAAAAGACCAAUUAAUGACUUCUUCUUUUAAUGCCCAGCACAUGCACUCCAAAUUGCCAAAUCUUUGCUUUCCAAAUGCAUGCCCACCGUUCAUCUUUUGAAGGGAUUGACUUCCAAUUUUAAUCUUAUUGACUUCCAAAUUUGAACUUCCUCAUGCCCUUUUUAUCCUUAAUCUUCAAUUAAUUCCCUAUUCAACAAAAUAAUUCAAUUAAUUAAAAAUAACAAAUAAAAAUAACUAACAAUUAAAUAAUAAGAGUCAAAUAUGUAUAUAAAUUAUGCUCAUCAAAUACCCCCAAACUUAGAUUUUGCUAGUCCUCGAGCAAAACUAAAACUUAAAACAAAAGUAAAAACAAUGAAAAAAAAAAUAAAUCUUAACUAAACCACUUUCGCAGGUAAUCGCGAUUGCAUUUAGCGUAUGCAACAAGUCUUUAAACCCAUAGGCGGCCCUAGUGGACGAGUUAUAGUCUCGUGAGGGCUUCAGUGAUGUUACCCACAAACAUCAUUUUUCAAAGAAUUAAAAUAAAAAUAAAAUGAAAAGAACAACAAACUUUUAAACAAAACAUGAAGAUAGCCUCAAAGAUUGCAUAAAUUAUAUAGCUCAAAGAAAAUUUCAAAUAUUGGCAAAGUUCUAACUUUAAUUCAAUAGUCAAUCUCAUCUCUCUUUCGAUUCUUGUAGUGUGUGUGUGAAAUCAAUUCAAUCAAAUCCAUUCCCAAAACCCUCAAUAUCAACAGCCUUCGCCUCAAACAAAGAACAGAGUAGGUCAAACUAAUCUUAUCAUCUUGAUCUCCAAUUUUUUUUUUUUCACAGGCUUUUAUGUGCAUUUUCUUUUGAAUUUUUUUUUUCAGCACAUGCACUUGAUUUGAUUUUUUUUUCUUUUUUUUUUUAACCAUAGUCAGGAGCUUUCACUCUACCCCUUAAGGUAGCCUUCUUCUCAUGGUAGAUUAUCCUCUACAUACUUGUGGUACAUAGGCCCAAAUUACUCAAGGAUAGCUUCACUCUUAAGGGUUAUAGGUAGCUAUUUCUGACUCUGGCGCCUGUGUAUGCUAUUUUGUAUUGUGGAGAUAAGAAUCAAGAUAAAUAGUCAUUUACUCUAUCUAAAAUUCUCAAUUCAGGCUGUGUCAAUCUCAAAUUUCAAGUCAAAAUCAUGAAAGAACUGAUAUUAGUGCUCAUGGUUUAAAGAAUCUCAAUCAAGAGGAACUAACACAAGAAUCAAGUAUAAACUAAGACAAUAUUCAAUCCUUUCUAAAAACCAUAUUUAUUGUCAAUCAAAUUCUUAUCAUUGGCUUUUCACAUAAAAACAAAAACAACACAAAUUUUUUUUUUGAAUUUUUGAAUUUUUUUAUUUUUUUAUUAUUUUUUUAAACAAACAAAGCACACACUAUUCCCACCCCCAAACUUAUUUGGAACAUUGUCCUCAAUGUUUCACAAACAAAAGAUAUGCAUGCAAACAAAUGAAAGAGAAAUAAUAAUAAUAAUAAAAACAUAAAUAAUAAAAAGAAAGUUGAAGAUAACACACCUGGAUGGGCUGUGAAAGCUUAAAAGAAAAUGCCAAAUGAAAAGAAAACAUUAGAAAAGAAAAACAAACAAAGAAAAGAAAACCUACUGUUAAAAUAAAACAAGAGUGCAAAGAUGAACUUAAUUAAUCCUGAUAAACAGGAUCAUCUAACAGUAUCUCCUCAACUUCUGGUGUUCUUAACUCUAAAAAUGGUUUUAAUCUUUGACCAUUGACCUUAAAUAAAUCACCAUUUUUAGGAUUUUCAAUCUCAAUUGCCCCAUAAGGGAAGACAAUACGAACUAUAAAAGGACCAGACCAUCGAGAACGUAACUUACCUGGAAAGAGAUGCAAUCGGGAAUUAUAUAAAAGUACUUUCUGACCUGGUGUAAAGACUUUUCUCAAAAUGUAUUUGUCAUGAAAGACUUUCAUUCGCUGUUUAUAAAUCUUGGCAUUCUCAUAUGCAUCAUUCCUGAUCUCUUCAAGUUCUGCUAGUUGUAAUCUUCUCUUAGACCCAGCCUGCUGCAUGUCAAAAUUGAAUUUCUUGAUAGCCCAAUACGCACGAUGCUCCAACUCUACUAGCAGAUGACAUGCUUUUCCAUACACAAGUCGAUAAGGUGACAUCCCAAUUGGUGUUUUAAAAGCAGUCCUAUAUGCCCACAAUGCAUCAUCAAGUCUCAAAGACCAAUCCUUUCUAUCUGGCCUAACUGUUUUCUCUAGAAUCCGCUUGAUGUCUCUAUUAGAAAUCUCUACUUGGCCACUGGUCUGAGGAUGGUAUGGGGUGGUAACCUUAUGUGUAAUGGAAUAUUUGUCCAAAAGAGUUUUGAAAGGUUUAUUGCAAAAAUGGGUGCCACCAUCACUAAUGAUUGUUCUAGGGAAACCAAAAAUGAGACAGAAUAUUACUCUUUAAGAAUUUCACUACAACCCUAUGAUCAUUGGUUUUGCAUGGAGUUGCUUCAACCCACUUCGACACAUAGUCCACUGCAACUAAUAUAUACUGAUAACCAAAAGAUGGAGGAAACGGUCCCAUGAAAUCAAUACCCCAUACAUCGAAGAUCUCAACCACAAGAAUAGGAUUGAGUGGCAUCAUGUUCCUCUUUGAAAUGCUACCCAUACGUUGGCACCUAUCACACAAAGAACAGAAAAUAUAAGCGUCAUGAAAAAGAGUAGGUCAAUAAAAACCACACUGUAAAAUUUUUGUUGCUGCCUUUUUAGCACUAAAGUGGCCUCUACAAGCUUGUUCAUGGCAAAAUGAGAUAACACUUUGAAUUUCAUUAUCGGGAACACAUCGCCUAAUAAUCUGAUCAGCACAAUAUUUAAAUAAAUAGGGAUCAUCCCAAAAGAAGUCCUUCACUUUAGUUAAGAACUUUGUUCUAUCUUGCUUAGUCCAGUGCUCUGGGAUUUGACCUGUAGCAAGGUAAUUAACUAUGUCAGCAAACCAUGGUACAACAUUUACACUCAUAAGUUGCUCAUCUGGGAAAGACUCAUUCAAAGGUAAAGAUUCUGGAAUAAAUUUAAGAUCAAGGCGAGAUAAAUGAUCUGCCAUAACAUUUUCAGAACCUUUUUUAUCUAUAAAUUCAAUGUAAAAUUCUUGUAAAAGCAACACCCAACGAAUCAAUCUUGCCUUAGCAUCUUUCUUAGUAAGCAAAUAUUUUAAAGCAGCAUGAUCAGUAAAAAUAAUCACUUUACAACCUAUAAGAUAAGAUCUGAAUUUAUCAAGUGCAAACACCACAGCUAGCAUUUCUUUUUCUGUAGUUGAAUAGUUCAAUUGUGCAUCAUUGAGUGUCAUACUAGCAUAAUAAAUCACAUAAGGCAUACGAUCUAAUCUUUGUCCUAAAACUGCUCCUACAGCAUAAUCAGAUGCAUCACACAUAAUUUCAAAAGGCAAAUCCCAAUUAGGUGGCUGAAUGAUAGGUGAAGAAGUCAACAAUUUCUUAAGCUUUGCAAAAGCAUCAAGACAAGAUUCAUCAAAGAUAAAAGGUGCAUCCUUAACAAGUAAAUUGCAUAAAGGUCUAGAAAUUUUACUAAAAUCUUUAAUGAAUCUUUUAUAAAAACCAGCACGUCCAAGGAAAGAUCUUACUUCUUUUACGGAUUUGGGAUAUGGAAGAUUAGAAAUUAAAUCCACCUUAGCUUUGUCGACUUCUAUACCUUUGCUGGAAAUUAUAUGACCAAGAACAAUACCUUGUUUUACCAUGAAGUGACACUUUUCCCAAUUUAGAACCAAGAUCUUUUCUUUACAUCUCUGCAAAACUAAUGUUAGGUGCUGCAAACAUUCAUCAAAAGAAUCUCCAUAAACAGAAAAAUCAUCCAUGAAUACUUCAAGAAAUCUCUCAACCAUAUCAGAAAAAAUACUAAGCAUGCAUCUUUGAAAGGUAGCAGGUGCAUUGCAUAAACCAAAUGGCAUUCUCCUAUAUGCAAAAGUUCCAAAUGGACAAGUAAAAGUAGUUUUCUCCUGGUCCUCUGGAGAUAUAGGGAUCUGAUUAUAACCUGAAUAUCCAUCUAGAAAACAAUAAAAAUCAUGACCUGCAAGUCUAUCAAGCAUUUGAUCAAUAAAUGGAAGAGGAAAAUGAUCUUUUCUUGUGAAUGAAUUCAAUUUUCUAUAAUCAAUGCAAACACGCCACCCUGUAGUUACUCUAGUGGGAAUUAAUUCAUUAUUAGCAUUAGUAACUACUGUAACACCAGAUUUCUUAGGAACAACUUGCACAGGGCUAACCCAAGAGCUAUCUGAAAUAGGAUAAAUAAUUCCUGCAUCUAAUAAUUUGAUUACUUCAGCUCUUACCACUUCUUUCAUGUUAGGAUUUAACCUACGUUGCAUCUCCCUAAUAGGUUUAGUAUUUUCUUCAAGAUGAAUACGAUGCAUGCAAUCUACUGGAUUAAUACCUUUAAUAUCAGCGAUGGUCCAUUCUAUUGCCUCCUUAUGCUCUUUUAGAAUGCCUAACAACUUACCUUUUUGCUCAAGAUCGAGGGAAGAAGAAAUAAUAACAGGUAGUUGUCAGAUUCUCCCAAGAAUGCAUAUUCCAGAGUGUCAGGCAGUGCUUUGAGUUCCAAUUUUGGUGGUGCCUCUGCAGAUGGGCCAAUUUUCUUCUCAGAAUGAGGCAGUAGUUCUGACUUUGUCUUCCAUUUAAUUGUGUCCGUAAUUAGAGGUGCAUCAAGUAAAGCGCUGACUUCUGCAAUUGCACUGUCAUUAUUAAAAGAUAAAUCAGAAUGAGUUAGACAUGCCUCUAAUGGAUCGUCAGUAUAGUUAGAAAUAAAUGAAUCUUCUACUAAUUCCUCUAUCAUAUUUGCUUCAACAAAUUCAUCUUCUUCUUGUGGCUGCUUGGUAACAUUAAAAAUAUUCAAUUCCAUGGUCAUAUUACCAAAAGAUAGCUGCAUGUUUCCAUUCCUGCAAUUAAUAAGAGCAUCAGCUGUAGCUAAGAAAGGACGACCUAGAAUAACUGGAGUGUGUUUCUUAGGAUCCUGUACAUGCUGAGUAUCAAUAACGAUAAAAUCAACAGGAUAAUAAAAUUUAUCAAUCUGUAUCAACACAUCCUCUAUAAUACCACGAGGUAUUUUCAUAGACCUAUCAGCGAGUUGCAAAAUAAUAUAAGUUGAUUUUAACUCACCUAGUCCAAGCUGCAUGUAAACAGAAUAAGGCAAGAGAUUAACACUAGCGCCUAAAUCCAAUAAUGCUUUAUCAAAACAUUGGUUCCCUAUAACACAUGAGAUAGUAGGAGAACCUGAAUCCUUAAAUUUUGGUGGCAUUUUACAUUGGAGUAAAUUGCUAGUUUGUUCAGUUAAAAAUGCCUUUUUGGUGACAUGCAAAUUUCUCUUUUUAGUGCAUAAAUCUUUCAAAAACUUGGCAUAGGAAGGAACUUGCUUAAUAGCAUCGAGUAAAGGGAUGUUUAUACUUACCUGUUUGAAGAUUUCCAUAAUCUCACCUGUUGAAGUCCCUUUCUUUACCUUUGUUAACCUUUGAGGAAAAGGAGCCUUGGGAAUGUAAGCUGGCAGACCACUCUCUUCUGGAUCAUUUGGUGAUGAGUCUUGUGAUGGAAUUGGAUCUGAAGAAGUAGGCUCAGAUGUCUUCCUUGUUUGAACCUCUACUUUGUUGUCAAAUAAUUUUCCUCUUCUCAAGGUCAUAACAGAUUUUGCUUGUUCAUGCUGAUGACUUGAACUCAAUCCAACUUCGUGCACUCCUUUGGGAUUAGGAACUGGUUGACUUGGAAAUUUUCCUUUUUCUCUCUCCGCUACAGUAGUCGCUAAUUGACCCAAUUGAUGUUCAAGCUUUAGAAUAGCUUGAGUGUUUGACUGAAAAGCUUGUUGGGUUGACUGAAUGAAACUUUGAAGUGUAUCCUCUAAAGAAGGCUUUCUUUGUUGGGGUGCAACAAAUUGAGACAUAGGUUGUUGGGCAGGAGGAUAUACUUGGUUAGGAGGGAUAAAUUGUUGAUUGGGCAUGUUAAAUUGUUGCCCUCCUUGAUUUGACAAAUGUUGAUUUUGUUUCCAAGAAAAAUUAGGGUGAUUCCUCCAAUUAGGAUUAUAUGUGGAUGAAUAUGGACUAUUGGAGGUUUUCUCAUAUGAUUGUAAGGCAUGUACCUGCUUAGAAUAAGCAUCUGGAUAGACUGGUAAUGAUGGACAAUUCUGUGCUGUAUGAGACAAGUUAGAACAAAUAGCACAAACUUCAUUAGCUACACUAGGAUGAUGAUUCAUUGAUUGGUUCAGAGCUAAGGCAUCUACUUUCCUAGAAAGUGUAGCUAGAGUGGAUUUCACAUCAAAAUCAUCCUUAACUUCAUAUAACCCCUUUCUAGAAACUUGAGAUGAUUUUUCCCUUUGAUUUGAAAAAUCCCAUUGUUGAGAGUUUUCAGAAAGUGAAUUAAAGAAAUCCCAUGCGGUCCAUUCAUGUAAGUUCAAAAAUCUCCCACCAUUCAUAGACUCUACCAUAUGACGAUUUGACAUGGUUAAACCGUUAUAAAAGCAUUGUAUAAGUCUCCAUUUUUCAAAACCAUGGUGGGGACACUUGAGGAGUAAAUCAUUGAAUCUUUCCCAACACUCGUAAAAUUGCUCACCCUCUCUUUGAUAAAAAUCACUUAUCUCUGUCCUAAGGGCAUUUGUUUUCGACAUAGGAAAAAACUUGGUGAGAAACUUAUUACUCAAUUCAUCCCAUGUACUAAUAGACCCAGCAGGAAGUGAAUUCAACCAAGCUUUUGCUUUGUCUUUUAAUGAGAAAGGGAACAUACGAAGCCUAAUUGACUCAUCAUUAAAAUUUUGAAAACGAAAUGUAGAGCAUAUGUCAAGAAAUUCCUUAAUGUGCAAAUAUGGAUCCUCUCUCUCUAACCCAUGGAAAGAUGGUAAAAGUUGAAUGACUGAGGGCUUAAGUUCAAAGUGUGUUGCUGUAGUUUGUGGCAACACAAUACAAGAUGGUUGGUUGGCUGCAAGUGGUGAAAAGUAUUCUCUGAGGGUUUUCUCUGCUUGCACUGGUGGAAGUAUUGGCAAUAGUCUAUUUGGGUCAUCCAUCACUUCUAAAGAACUAGUUUGACUACUAUCAAUUUUCGACUCUCUUUUAACCAAACGAUUUGUUGAAUCACGUUCCCAAACACUCAUAAACUAACUAGACAAGAAAAGAAAGAAAAAUAAAAUCAAAUAAACCAACAAUAAUGAGAAUAAAUGAAAUUUAAAAAUAAAAGAAAUCAAACAACCAAACAAUGAAUUUAAAGACAAAUAAAAGUUUUUUUGUGUUUUUUUUUAAUAAAAAAAAUAAAAGACAACCUAAGUUAAAACUAGUGGAAGAAUCAAAUCAACCUAGAUUAAACUGACUUUCUAGCACAAUCCCCGGCAACGGCGCCAAAAACUUGUGUUGAAAAUUUUAAUAUACUCGCAAGCGCACGAAUCUAGAAAUAGAAUAGUGGUAACGAGGUCGAUCCCACAGGGAUUGUUAUAAAUUGAAAAGUCUAAUUUAAAUAUAAAAUUAAUAUUAAUUCUAACCUAGUUGACCAAAUUGAGUUUUAAGAGAAAUUAAACUAAUUAAACUAAGGAAGCAAAAAAUAAAGGAGAAUUCAAUAAGAUAAGAAUUACCAAGGUUUUAGAAUCCACCACUAUUCAACUAGUAAUUAUCUAAUUAUUAAUUAAUCCCCAAUUUAGAGUGACAACUUGAAAUCAAUCUAUGUCAUCUCAUGGAUAUAACAAUUAAGCCCAAAUAAAAUUAAUCUUAUGUAGGUUCUUUUUCUGCUUGAUAAUAUGACAUCUAAGCAUCCCAUGUAAACAUAUUGAAUAACAAAGAAUCAAAGUUUUCCUAAGCACUCUAUGUAAACAAUUUAAUGAAAGACAUAAAAUCAAAGAUAGUCAUGUAUAAACUUUAUAAAUCCAAGCAUAGAUUUAAUCGAAUAUUAAUCCUAACAAUCAAUAAUGCAUGACAGAAUUGAUGAAAAGAUUUUAUUAACAUCCAAUUAAUCAUGUGAGAUAAAAACCAUAAUCAUCAAAGAACAUAUAUAGGGAAUUAAUUAAAUAAAAAGAGAUAAUUAUUUCAUUGAAUAGGGUUUCAUCUUUAACCUCAGUAUAAGAAAAUUAGCUAGACAUACUUGAAUUGAGAGCAACAAGAUAAAUAAAUUCAGCCAUGGGGAAGCCGAAUUGCUGCAGAUUUUCUUCUCUGUCUUGAAUCCUUGCGUCUCCAGUUCUCCCCUUCCUCUGGCGGCUCUCCCCCCUUUAUAUAAUGUUACUGGCUUGCUUAAUCCUUAUCGGAUUCUAAUUGCAUUAACUUAUCAUAAGUCACAAUCAUCCACCGACUUACAAAGCCCACUCACCAAGGCCUUUUUAAAUUAUUUCCUUAUUAAACUUUGAAAACUAGCCACACGUUUGACCACAAAAGCAAAAGACCAAUUAAUGACUUCUUCUUUUAAUGCCCAGCACAUGCACUCCAAAUUGCCAAAUCUUUGCUUUCCAAAUGCAUGCCCACCGUUCAUCUUUUGAAGGGAUUGACUUCCAAUUUUAAUCUUAUUGACUUCCAAAUUUGAACUUCCUCAUGCCCUUUUUAUCCUUAAUCUUCAAUUAAUUCCCUAUUCAACAAAAUAAUUCAAUUAAUUAAAAAUAACAAAUAAAAAUAACUAACAAUUAAAUAAUAAGAGUCAAAUAUGUAUAUAAAUUAUGCUCAUCAAAUACCCCCAAACUUAGAUUUUGCUAGUCCUCGAGCAAAACUAAAACUUAAAACAAAAGUAAAAACAAUGAAAAAAAAAAUAAAUCUUAACUAAACCACUUUCGCAGGUAAUCGCGAUUGCAUUUAGCGUAUGCAACAAGUCUUUAAACCCAUAGGCGGCCCUAGUGGACGAGUUAUAGUCUCGUGAGGGCUUCAGUGAUGUUACCCACAAACAUCAUUUUUCAAAGAAUUAAAAUAAAAAUAAAAUGAAAAGAACAACAAACUUUUAAACAAAACAUGAAGAUAGCCUCAAAGAUUGCAUAAAUUAUAUAGCUCAAAGAAAAUUUCAAAUAUUGGCAAAGUUCUAACUUUAAUUCAAUAGUCAAUCUCAUCUCUCUUUCGAUUCUUGUAGUGUGUGUGUGAAAUCAAUUCAAUCAAAUCCAUUCCCAAAACCCUCAAUAUCAACAGCCUUCGCCUCAAACAAAGAACAGAGUAGGUCAAACUAAUCUUAUCAUCUUGAUCUCCAAUUUUUUUUUUUCACAGGCUUUUAUGUGCAUUUUCUUUUGAAUUUUUUUUUUCAGCACAUGCACUUGAUUUGAUUUUUUUUUCUUUUUUUUUUUAACCAUAGUCAGGAGCUUUCACUCUACCCCUUAAGGUAGCCUUCUUCUCAUGGUAGAUUAUCCUCUACAUACUUGUGGUACAUAGGCCCAAAUUACUCAAGGAUAGCUUCACUCUUAAGGGUUAUAGGUAGCUAUUUCUGACUCUGGCGCCUGUGUAUGCUAUUUUGUAUUGUGGAGAUAAGAAUCAAGAUAAAUAGUCAUUUACUCUAUCUAAAAUUCUCAAUUCAGGCUGUGUCAAUCUCAAAUUUCAAGUCAAAAUCAUGAAAGAACUGAUAUUAGUGCUCAUGGUUUAAAGAAUCUCAAUCAAGAGGAACUAACACAAGAAUCAAGUAUAAACUAAGACAAUAUUCAAUCCUUUCUAAAAACCAUAUUUAUUGUCAAUCAAAUUCUUAUCAUUGGCUUUUCACAUAAAAACAAAAACAACACAAAUUUUUUUUUUGAAUUUUUGAAUUUUUUUAUUUUUUUAUUAUUUUUUUAAACAAACAAAGCACACACUAUUCCCACCCCCAAACUUAUUUGGAACAUUGUCCUCAAUGUUUCACAAACAAAAGAUAUGCAUGCAAACAAAUGAAAGAGAAAUAAUAAUAAUAAUAAAAACAUAAAUAAUAAAAAGAAAGUUGAAGAUAACACACCUGGAUGGGCUGUGAAAGCUUAAAAGAAAAUGCCAAAUGAAAAGAAAACAUUAGAAAAGAAAAACAAACAAAGAAAAGAAAACCUACUGUUAAAAUAAAACAAGAGUGCAAAGAUGAACUUAAUUAAUCCUGAUAAACAGGAUCAUCUAACAGUAUCUCCUCAACUUCUGGUGUUCUUAACUCUAAAAAUGGUUUUAAUCUUUGACCAUUGACCUUAAAUAAAUCACCAUUUUUAGGAUUUUCAAUCUCAAUUGCCCCAUAAGGGAAGACAGUACGAACUAUAAAAGGACCAGACCAUCGAGAACGUAACUUACCUGGAAAGAGAUGCAAUCGGGAAUUAUAUAAAAGUACUUUCUGACCUGGUGUAAAGACUUUUCUCAAAAUGUAUUUGUCAUGAAAGACUUUCAUUCGCUGUUUAUAAAUCUUGGCAUUCUCAUAUGCAUCAUUCCUGAUCUCUUCAAGUUCUGCUAGUUGUAAUCUUCUCUUAGACCCAGCCUGCUGCAUGUCAAAAUUGAAUUUCUUGAUAGCCCAAUACGCACGAUGCUCCAACUCUACUAGCAGAUGACAUGCUUUUCCAUACACAAGUCGAUAAGGUGACAUCCCAAUUGGUGUUUUAAAAGCCUUAAAAAAUGAAAAUUACAAUUUCACCUUAAAAAAUGCCAUUUUACCAUUUUAAGGUAAUUUUUAAGGUGAAAUUGUAAUUUUCGUUUUGGGGGUAAAAUGGUAAUUUUUUUAUGUUUCCGUUAGUUUUCUUAACGGAUUUCAAACGGAAGUGGAAAAGUGAAAUAAAAUGUAACUUUAGGUGGAUUCCAGCCAAAAAAUGAAGGAAUUGUGUAUUUUUGAAAAAUGUGUAAAAAACGGGUGGACGGUGGAUAUUUUCCCUUAAAAAUAUUCUAAUUUAUUUUCUCAAUUUAUCAUCAUAAAUUUACAUUAAUAAACUAAAUCCACAAAUUACCCUAAACCCUAAUUCAUAAAUGCCCAAUCAAUCUAAUAGUUUAAUUCGAUUUCAUAAUUAAAAAAAGCUAAAUUUAUUAUAUUAGUUAUGGUGCAAAGUCAAAAAUGCCCUUAAAGUCAAGGGUAAAAUAACAUUUUAUUUACAUUCUAUAAAUUAUUCUAACAAUGUUAACAUAUUGGUGGACGGUUAAUAUAAGUUACAAACUUAAAAUAGGAAAUCAAAUAAAUUUAAAAUUUCAAACUAUUUAGGGGAAAUUUAGGAUAUAUGGUUAAUAAUUUUCCCACGUCUUUUUACAUUGUUGAUAUAAGUUACAAACUUAAAAUAGAAAAUCAAAUAAAUUUAUAUUUUCAAACUAUUUAGGGCAAACUUAGGGUAUAUGGUUAAUAAUUUUCCUUUAUCUUUUUACGUUAAAUUGAGUUUUAAAGGUAAAAUGGUCAAUUUAUUAUAAUUCUGUUAAUUUUUUAGUGGAAGCAAACGAUAUAAUGGAUGAAUGAUAUAAAUUGUAAAAUUAAGGUGCACAAAUGCUACAACUUUAAAGUAUUAUAGUAAUUUUAAUAAUAGAACAAUUUAAGGGUAGAUUGGCAAUAAUUUAAACUUUAAUGAAGCAACUAAAUUUUUUUUUUUUACAAAAGAAAAAUAAUUGAAAUGCUUUAAGAAAAAUAAAGGCAAUUAAAUAUUUUUAUAAAAAAAAUAAUUGAGUAAAAUCAUUUUACAAAAUGCUCUUUCAAAUGCACAUUCCACAAGCCAGGGAGAACGGGUGGCUAACAAAAAUCUCACUUUUUAUGAGUUUAUAAAAUCUCACUUUUGCAGAAUCCAAAAAUAACCAAUACUAAUCGCACAAAAAAUAAAAAUUAUUGCUGUCACGACAUUACACGCUUUCUUCGCCGUCUAGAAAUGUAGAACAUUUUGAAGUUCCUCAAUACAAAAUGCCUGCUACUACUAAAUUGGCCCAAUUAAUGCCUAUCGAAAAGGCCAUCAAUUAAGCCAUCAAUUUUGUCAAAUUUUCAACAAUUGAAGAAACAACGAUCACAAACGGAACAGGUGAAUUUUGAAGUUGAAUAAAUCUUGAGAUACAUACAACAAAGCCUUGAAACUUUAUUCUUCACAAUUUGAGCACGCACUAAAUAUUAAACAAGUAUAGAACAAAGCUUAUUAUCUUCUUGUGCGAACUGAACACGCUGAAAUGUUUUUUUUUCCUUGGAUUUUUGGAAUUUUUUAAAAUCAUUUAUGUUCGCUGCCAUCUUUUUCUUCGCUGGCGUCUUCAUUGGCAUCCCUCUCUUGGCUGGCAUCUGCCUCGUCUGUAGUUUGCUGUGCCUAUAUAUCCAACCAAUAAAUUGGGCAUUAAAUACGAAUGAUGAAUAAAGUUAUUAAAAAAAAAACAAACAGAGAAAAUUAUAAUAUAACACAUAUAUAUUGAAAGAGAAAUUUUGAUUUUAGGAUAGAUCAAUUAGCUAUCAGAAACGAAAACAUGAACCAACUAUGUAGAGUCAAUUAACUAAAGUUCUCAAGACUUGACCUGUGCUCCAGAAUUCUUGGAAUCAUCUAUCUCCUUCUGAAUUUCCACGAAGCUUGGGACAAUUACGAACAUCUUCAUCGGAUGCAGAUGGAAAUGGGAUCUGAUAACCCGCAGGCCAAAAGUUGGUGAGGUUUGGUAAGUUUAUCAGUUCCAACUUCCGAAGUUCAUUCAUAACAAUUUCAUUGUAAUCCGUGACGUCUGCUCCAUCUUUAUGCCAGAAUACUUCUUCUAAUUCAUCAUUAGCUUCUAUGAAUAGGUACUUCAGUUUUUGAAGACUUGGAGCUACGCUGAUAUGAAAUAGAUGCUUUAGUUUGGGGCAAUAACUGACAGAGAUCUCUGUGAGUUUUGGGAAACAUAGGGGUUGGAGAUGAUCCUUAUCAAUGAUUUGCUCUAAUUCCAAGCAGUUAUCAAUAACCAGCUUCUCCAAUUGCAACAAAUUUCGAGCAAGUGUUGAUGAGAAGAGACGUCUCAGCAUAGUGCACCCGUCCACUCUUAAAUAGGUAAGAUUUUGCAGGCUAAAAUUAUGCGUGGGACCUACAGGUUGGAGAUGCUCCUCAUCCUCAUCCUCAGUAAUGAUUUGCUCUAAUUCCCGGCAAUUAUAAAUUUCCAACUUCUCCAAUUGCAACAGAUUUCGAGCAAGUGUUGAUGAGAAGAGACGUCUCAGCAUAGUGCACCCGUGCACUCUUAAACAGGUAAGACUUUGCAGGCUAAAAUUAUGCGUGGGACCUACAGGUUGGAGAUGCUCCUCAUCCUCAUCCUCAGCAAUGAUUUGCUCUAAUUCCCAGCAAUUAUAAAUUUCUAACUUCUCUAAUUGCAACAGAUUUCGAGCAAGCAUUGAUGAGAGGAGACGUCUCAGCAUAGUGCACCCGUCCACUCUUAAAUAGGUAAGACUUUGCAGGCUAAAAUUAUGCGUAGGACCUUCGUGAUAUAAUACUUGCAGUUCUCGAAGGUUUUCCAACCACAACGACUUCAAACAUGGGAAUAGUUUGUUUUCUUGUCCCUCAACGAUAAUAGCUUCCACUUGAAAUACCACUUGUACUCCAAGUUCUCUAAUAUACAAUGUUUCCAAAUUUUUAAAGCCAUGCUUCAAUAGAGCGUCAAUUGUGUCACGCAAAUGGAAGCAUUCGCCUAUUUUUAGAAUUCGUAAUUUCUGAGACAAAUAAAUAAAUAACUUGGUGUAAUUAAAAUUAGUUAGCAGCUAGGAUUAUCACAUGAUAAGUGAUGCAAAAAACAAAAACAGAAAACAAAAUCAAUACAAAAAUGUAAUAAUACAUAUGUAAACUAAUAAAAUAAUUAAAAAGUAAUGGAAUUUUUUUUAAAUGAAAUUAGUUAGAAGAGAUCAUGUGAAGUGAUAUAAAGGUGACAUUAGAUUGUUUGAGAAAAAUUAGUAUUCUAUUAAUUUCUAUGGCUUGAUCGGCUAAUUAAUUGAAUUUGAGUAAUAUUAUAUACACUUCAAAAGUGUUUGCAUCAAUUCUUUCUAUACCAAAAUGAGAUAUGACUUUCAUUUGAAAAAUAAUUUUAGGCUCUAAAAUAAAGAUAUUUGAGCAUUAUGAUUAUCAUCACCACAUGCACCAUCAUCAUCAUCUCAAUAGGAGUAAAUAAUUAAUGGCUGGUAUAAAAUUUAUUGCUAAAUUAUCAUUUUGACCAAAAAUUGAAGGAAAAUAAAAAAAACAUAAAAACAAACAAACAUACCUCUUCAAGAUACUGCAAAUUGGCUUCAAGUUCAAUACUGUUGAUGGUCAAGUUGGGACAGUGCUCAAGACGUAACUUUUCCAAUGCUGGCCAAAUUGAACAAUAAUUUUCUGAACAGAAGCUGAUGAGUUCUGGGAGAUCAUCAAGUUUUAAUUUUCUCAACAAAGGGAGGGCGAGCAUCGUAUUUCCAUCUCCGACACUUAUUCCCCCUUCAUUAUGAUCAAACGUUGCUUCGACAAUAUAUUCCAGUCUCUCGCAUCCACUUACAUCGAGACUUUUAAGCUGCUUCAAACUUCGAGCUUGUGACAACGUGAAGAUAUAUGUCAACUUGUUGCACCUAUGCACAUUCAAUUCUGUAAGAGUUUGGAGACUGAUCACAUGUUGGGCGGGCGCCUUCCAUAUCCACUUCAGUUCUGGUAAUUGCCACAUAAUUAACUUUGCUAAUCUUGAGAGACUCUUUCCAUGCAGCGACUUAGAGGCAUCCAUUAUGCAUUCUAAAUCUUCGCAAUCGCCGACAUCAAGACAAGUCAACUCAUUUAAGCCCCUUUCAUCUAUGCUUGGCACAAUAUUGUAACAACCUAUUAACCUACUCAAACGAAGAAAUUUCAGAUUUUGAUACAAUGCUGAAAAAAUAACGAGCGAGGUCGCCGCUUCAUGAGGGCAAUUCUCAAUGAUUAAGCUCCUUGUUUCAUCACCAUCUUCCAUUUCAUCAUCAACUCCUUCACCUUUACGGAUGAUGUAUCUUUGCAAUUUCGGGAAUGUAAAGUCUUUUGGAAGACAUACAACAGAUCUGUCGGCUUGGGAGUUCAACUCAGCAAGCCUAGCAUUGCUUUCUUCUGAACUCAUCCCUUCAACCUCCCAAUUUUUUAUCCGACCAUAAAAUUCUUCCAAUUGAGGAAAUUUUUUUAUCGCAAUGGGAGAAAUGGAGCCAGUAGCAAUAUACAGAAGUUUCAAUCUACGAAGUUCAUCCGACAAUUCUUCAAGAAUUUUAAUGGGAGACGUCACGAGAAAAAGAAGUUCAAGCCUCUUCAACUUUCCAAGGAAAGACGCGUCACUCACCUCACAUCGAAUCAACUGCAGAACCUGGAGGUUGGUGAGGAUCUGAAGCGAUUUAAGUGAAAGAACUCCACCUAUUAUAGUGACAACUUUCAAUGCUGGCAUCCCUUCAAAAAAAUGUUCUGGAACUUGCAAUCGGUGGUCGUAUUCAGGAUUCUCCAAUCGCAAAAUAUGAAGGUUAGGGCAUACCAAACCACUAGGAAGCUCUUCUUUUUUAUUUCCCACCAAAGAGAUUCCUCUGUAUUGUUCCAGGCCUUCUUUCAUUGCCCGUUCUGCCAAUCCAAUGCCAACUUUACUAAAAAAUUUCUUCUCCUCUAGAACUAUUGAGCCUAUCCAUAUGGCUACAUCACGAACUAUGUCAUGCAUUUUCACAGAUCUGUCAUUACCAGUGUCUAACAGCAGUGACGCAGCUUUGAGCGCGUUAAUCGUUCCAUGCAGUCGGCUUCUGGCGUUUUCUAUUGACGGAUCACAUUGAUACCAAAUAACCCCCAAUGCGUAUCCAACCAAAUCCUCCAAAUAAAUCUCAUAAUCUUCUGGAAACAGAGAACACAGCAAGAAGCAUAACUUGGACUCCUCACUAUUUAAAUUAUCGUAACUGAAUUUGAGACAACCGUAAACGUCUUGGUCAUCCUUGUCAAUACCUUCUAUUGCAUAGAGUUUUGCUUCCCUUAGGUUAUAUAGUGCUAGAUUCCAAUCAUCAGAUCCUUUUUCUCUUAGUGCACUUCCAACAGCUUCAAUAGCUAAAGGCAGCCCCUUACAUUCGUCAGCAACUUUUUUUGAAACACCAUCCAAGGAGGAGUCGUUUACAUUAAUACCGGCAUUCAUUUUUAGUAGAGUCAAUCCUUCUUCUGGUGUUAGUAUACCAAGUUCAAUCUGUGGGUAACAACUGAAAAAACUACAAAUUGACUUUUUGCGAGUGGUUAGAAGGAUUUUGCAACAAUUGUCUCUAUCCCCAACGGGAAUACCUAAUUUUUUCUCCAAGUCGAGUUGUUUCCAAACAUCAUCAAGGAUUAUGAGGAUUUUGCUGCUUUUACUCUCAGAAAACAUCAACCGCAAUCGAUCUGCUCUCUCUUUUUCAUCUGUCUCAUUAAACGCCCAGCCUAACGACUUUACCAGCUCACCUUGAACCUUUAUUAUAUCUGGAUCCUGAGACACAGUGACUAUCCCAACUUCAUCGAAAAUCUUUUGUUGCCGAAGUUGAUUGCCCACAAAAUUUGCCAAGGUCGUCUUCCCUACACCACCGAGACCGUGCAAUCCCACCAUCUUUGUGCUCUCUUUUUUCAGUGCUUCAGUGAUCUGAAUGCAAGCCAACUCUGUAGCCUUGAAAGGAGAAAAACAUCUCGGUAUAGGCAAUUCUUUGUCUGAUGGUAGAGGUUUAGGACGGGCAACUGUGCUGAAUUUGCUGCGGUCUUGUAGCAGAUCGGACAACUUGCUAGUCUUCUUUGAUGCUUUUCUACCCAGCCAGUAUCGCCAACCCCAAUUAGGACACCAUCCAUUAAGACAACUCUUCUUUUCAUCUAUCUUUGCUUGCAAAUUUCGAACGUCGGCCAUUUCUUUGUCCACAUCCUCCAACCACUUCUCCACAUCUUUCUCGAUUACAAUGGCGCGGUGUUUUUGUCGUUCUUCUUCUACUUUUUCAUUGAUGCCAUCUUGUGCAUUCUUCAAAUUGGUUUCUUUAACCUUAAGUUCUUUAUCUAUGCUGUUGAAACAGAGCAGAUAGCGAGCUUGGUUUAUGGUUGCAUCCGCCAAUAAUUCUGCAAGCUUUGAUCCAAUACAUGAUAAAAUUUCCAUGCUAUUUAUCUGCAAUUAACAAGUUGAUGUCAGUAUGCUAUAAGCAAAACAUCAAGGCUUGAUCACAAGAUCGAACGAGAACGUUUAAUUGCUUUAAUUUUUUUUUUUUUUUGGGCUUAUUAACGCCAUCUUUGAUCAAUAAGAGCAAAAUGCAAAACAGAAGAGAAUGAAAUAAGGUUAACGUUAUAUAUGAUGGAUUACAUUGAAAUUAUAUUACUUUAGAAAUUUUUAAAUAAAAAUAUCAAACAACAAAUUUAAUAGAAUCCGGAUAAACCUAAGAGUUUGUUGUGCAUUGCGAGUGAAGACGGGCAGUUGCAUGGGGAAUAUGAUAAAAGUGAUGAAUAACUGAAAAGCCACCCAUAAUAACAAUUAAAAAGAAUAUUAGAGAUUAGAGGAGUUCAACAUCCCAUGCAAGCCCACUCAUGAAAAAAUAUGAAUGGUUUCAAGAUGAUUACUCCUUUUUUUUUUACCUUUAAUAAAUAUUCUAAUAAAAUAAUACCAUAAUUUUAAAUAAUAUCUUAAUUUCUUUUUCCUUUAAAUGUUCAUUGAACUCACAUAUUGGAUAAUUAAUUUAAUCACUUGUUAAAUUAUUUAUUACCCUAUGUCAUUAUUCGAUAGAUAUAAAUGACACCUUAUUUGGUAUGAUAAAAAUUGGGGUAAAUUUUCUUUUAUUCUCAUAAGUUUGGACUUAUUACUAGUUACAAUAUUUGUAAUUUUUGAAAUUUUACCUAAACGGUCCAUGUCAUUACUUUUAUAGCCAUCGAACAUGACUUUUCAAGUGUAAGAUAAUAUUUUUGUCUGUUAUAAAUUAAAAUUCAAAUGAAUCUAUCACGCAACAAAUAUAAAAAAUUGAUUUUUUAUUAAUUUUUGUGAAUUCUUUUAAUGUUCGAAUUAGAAUUGAAUAAUUUGUAUAAGGAUAAUUUAUAGGAAGAUAAUCUGCAAAAUAAGCUUAUAUGUUGAAUUUAAAAGAGUUAUAUUAGUAAUCAUAUAUUUAUCAAAUUUUUUUAAUAAAAAUUUUGUUUAAAAAUUGGCCAAAUGGGUUUCAUGAAGAAAAUAGAAGAGCAUGAACAGCGCCACUUUCAAUUUUUAUUGUGGUUGUACAAUUGAAAAGACGCAUUAAAUGGACCAAUUUGAAAUGGCAAGAGAGCAUAAUGGACUCAUGUUGGGACUUGGAUAGGAAAAUUAAUUUUAUUUUUGAAAGUAUGGUCAACAGUACUGACUUGGAGGUGAUUGACGUUAAGUUAAAUUAAUGGAAACAAAUGGCAAAAAUAAUUUAAUGAAAAAAAGCAUUAAAAAAUUAGAACUUAAGUUCUUGAUCAUUUUGUCCGUAUGUUUUUAAGCCAACGCCCAGAAUUGGCAUAAAACUAGCCAUUGGAAUUAGGUAAAACAAAAAUCAAAUUAAGGGCUUAUAAAACAAUAAGAUCUCAUACCUUCUUCGUUAUAAAUCCUCAAUUACUGCUGAAAGCUCUAGUUAAGAGAGUCGCACAAGUUCGGAGAAAAUUAAAAAGCUGCAUAUGGCAAUAUAAAUAAACAUCAGAUCAAAACGACAUAGGAUAUAUCUGGCUAAUUAACAUCUUAUAUAAGUCCUUGUUCUCAAUCAAAUCUUUCGUACUUAGAAAAAAAAAAGAUUGAAAUAAUAAUUGUACGUUUUUAAUCCAACGUGCAAAAUUGGCAUAAACAAACUAAUAUAGCAUAAAACAAAGAUCAAAUUAAUAGCCUAUGAAAUAAUAAUAUCUCAUACCUUCUUCCUUAUAUAUCCUCAAUUACUACUGACAGCUCCAGUUAGAGUGGCAUGAUUUCCGAGAAAAUUAAAAGCUGCAUCUAGCAAUAUAAAUAAACAUCAGGUCAAAACAAAAUAGGAUAUAUCUAGCUAAUGAACAUCAUAUAUAAGUCCUUGUUCUCUAUCAAAAUCUUUCCUUCUUAAAAAAAAAAAUAAUAAUAACAAUAAUAAUUGAAAUAAUAACUGUGGGUGACACAGGAAGCAAAAGUAACAUACCGAAAUGAGAGCAGCUCACAUAUCUGGUGACUUCCAAGAGAAUGAAAAAUGAUUGACCUUUGGCAGCAAGAUCCAAAUCAUGUAUCACAAAUUGCUACUGACUUCGUGGCUUCACUUUCCUUUUCUUUUUCUUUUUCUUUUUUAAUUAAAUUUUAUAUCACAGUGUGAAUUGAAAGGUGAAAAGUGAAAUGGUACACAUGCGUAUGAUGAGGAGGUAAUUUUUAGGCACCUCCCCGAGGUUUAAGGUCUUCUGAAUUAGAUGGAUUGUAUUUUCGUAUUAUCAAAUACCUCCCCUGCCCGUUUUUAUUCCAUUUAGUAUUUUCUAUAUGGCUGAAGGUAAAUUGGUAAAAACUCAUUUAAAAUAAAAAAAAAUCAAAGAAAUUCAAGAAGAAGCUUUGUAUCUGCCAUUUGUAUUUGGGGUAUCUUUUUGGUUGUUGAGUGAAUGAGCUUAAAUCUUAAAUAUUUAUUUUCUUAUUAUAUAUUUCUCAUUGGAAAGAAUUUGAAUCUUAUUCUUAUUAAACUUAUUCUCUUUAAAUAAAAAUAGAUUUCUCUCCAUGUAUUUAGCGUGUAUUUUGAAAUUAAUGUUCAACAUAUCUUUAGAUCCUAUUAUAAAUAUUCAUAUCUAAAAUCUCAAUAGAUUCCAACAUAUAAAUAUAUAUAAAGAGAGAGAGUAACGUUCUAAUAAGAAAUUUCUUAAAUUAUCAAAUUAAAGGAUAAUUCAAAAGAUAAAAAAAUACAUAAUCUAAUAUAUUAUAUAACAAAAUAUACUAUAUUAAAAUAUAUAUUUUGCUUAAUUUUUUAAUAUAUCCCAUAAUAACUUAAGAAACCCUUUAUUUACCUGAUAUAUAUAUGUGUGUGUGUGUGUGUGUAAUUUUUUACAAAAUAAACAAUUUAGAGUAAAACAAAGGACAUUCUGGGGGCCUUUUGCUAGACUACCAAUCUACCAUUUUGGAUUGCAAUAAAGUGAAAAUACUGGACUACCAGUCUACUAUUUUGGAUUGCAAUAAAGUUAAAAUGGGUUACACCAAAAAAAGAAAAAAAAAAAGUGACAAUCAAUCUUGUCGGCCAAUACAUCGACUUUUUUGCCGGAUUAGUAUCACCGUCGAAAACAAAUUAUUGCAAGCACUGGCAAAAAGCAAUCGAUGAUUUCGCAAUUUGGUUGUCAAAAAGCAAAUUAGAUCACGAUUCCUCAAUUCAAAAUGGCUAAAGCUACAAUGCCGGGACACAAGUACCCGGUACCAUGCCGGAGUAAUUAAUUUACCGUUGGAUUUAAGUUCAAGGAAUCCAACGGCUCAAAUAUAAUAAUUUUUGAAAUUAGAAAAUAAUUGGCUACCUUUGCAACCGGUUACACACACUCUAUUUUCCUCCUUUUUUUUUUCAAAUUCGUCUCUCAAAUCCCUAAUAAAUUUUUCAUUCUCAAAAUUGGCCUAUCUAUGUUCAAGCCCUAAUUUUUUCAUUCUCAAAUUUGAUAUCUCUCUUCAAGCCCUACAUUGCUCAGUGGGAGGCAGGAAUCAGAAUGAAUAAAGGUAUCCUUUUUUAUUAAAUUUCUAAUUUUUCAAAUUUGGCUUUCUCCUUCAAAGCCCUAACUUUUCAAACUUGAUCUUUCUCUCCUGAAGUCGUACAUUAGCUCGCUGGGGAGCAACGCCGAAUGAAUAAAAGGUAUUUUUUUAUAUUUUAUUUUGUCUUAUUUCUUAUUUUUGGAAUUUGCAUUUCUCUCUAAAAGCACUAAUUUUUCAAAUUUGGUCUCUCUCUCUCAAAAUCCUACAUGAGCUCAAUGGGAAGAUGACUCGUAAUGAACAAAAGAUAUUUUUCUUUCUAAAUCUUUUUUAUUUUGGUUAAAUUUCUAAUUUUUAAGAAUAUGGGUUUUUGCUUUCCAUAUUGAAUAUCUAAGAAUUUGGAUUUUUGGUUAAAUUCUUAUGAAACAGAUCUUGAAUUUAAUUUUAUAUAUUUUUUUUCUAUGGCUUUAAGUGUUCUUGAGCAUUUUGUUAGAUUCUCGUCAGGAAACUCAAGAUUUCAUGAUGGGUGUGUGUGAUUAUUAGGCUUUCCCCCUCCCCUCUCUUUAAAUGGCUAAGUGUUUUGGGUAGACUAUGGUCUUGGAGCUUGGAUUAGUUGCUUAUUUAUUGUGAUAGGUUUUGCUCUAAAAAUUUUCAUUUUUGAUUGCAGUUCAUAUAAUCAAUAUUUCUUUAUUAGGCAGUGAUAUAAUAAAUUCCGGACUUAUUUUUUUUAAAGAUGGAUCUUACUAUUUAUUUCUCGUACAAACUCUGGUUAGGUGUUGACUCAACACUUGGGGCUGGAGCAUAUAUUCUUGUUGGAACAGUUGCUAGAGAGCAUUCAGGACUGGCACUCACCCUUUCGUUUCCUUAUAGCUGGAAUAGCUUCUGCUUUUUCAGCCUUUUGCUAUGCUGAGCUUGUAAGUCGUUGGCCAUCUGCUGGGAGUGCCUAUCAUUAUUCAUACAUAUUUGUUAGAGAAGGGUAAGUCCUUGUUACCUUUAAUAUUGGUAUAACUCGUAAUAGUCAUUUCUUAGAGAUGUAGUUUAUUGAUUCAUAUAAUUGGAUCUUGUUUCUAAAGUGGGAUAAACUAGUGAUUAGCUGGGGCAUAGUAAUCGUUAUUAAUGUUUUGGUCUAAUAAAUUGAUUUAACUUAGUUGAUGUUGUAUUUUGGCAGUGUUAGGUGGUUGAUUGGCUAGCUCUGAUACUUGAGUACACAAUUGGCGGGUCUGCUGUUCCUCGUGGCAUAUACCCGAAUCUGGUCUGGUGAAUUUUAUCGAGCUUUGAUUGUAUAUUUAUUUACUUUAGUUGUUACUAUUGAGUCAUAUGUGUUUUGCACUAUCAACUAAAUUGGAAUGGUUUAAUUGUAUUAUUUGUUCAUUUAGCUUGUUUACUUUUUCCUUUCCCUUAUUUUCUGUGAGUUACCUUUUUGACAACUAAUCAUCUUUGUAUUGAUUUGAAUUCAUAUAUUUUAUGAGGGAGGUCUACAAUUGCCUAUGCAAUUUAAACAUUUCUGUUCUUAUGUUGUUGUUAUUAAUGAUUACAGGCUGUGCAUUCUUCCUUUCUUUUUGGCUCAUCAAGAAAUUCCUAGACUUGACAUUAUUGUUGAUCCCUGUGCUGCAAUUAUUGUGCUUUUUGUUAUUGGACUCCUGUGUGUGGGAAUCAAGGAGGUAUCCAUUUGUUCCUUUCAAUUGUAUUUAUAUUUCUCUUAUCACUUUUUUCUAUAUAUAUUUCUGUAUUGAUUCUCAAAUAUGUCACACCUGAUGAGGUGCCAGUUCUAUCCACACUUCAGUCAUUAAUUAAUUAUGUAUCAUUGCAAUUUAGUCAGAGUUCUCUGGCUAUUAGUGGGGAAAACCUUGUUGAUGUUGGCACUUUGAAAUAAACUCAGCCUUGCCAAAAAGGGUGGAGCAGCCAAUUAUCCUUUUAUAAAAUGAGUUCAAGGUAUUGUGCAACCUUUGUAUUUGGUCAUCUAGACCUUUAAAAUAUGCAAUUCUUGUAAAUUUUCAAAUAAUGAGGUGCAAUUUAUUAUUGCUUGAUCAAUAGCUGCUCUAAUUGGUGUGCCUGAAUUCACUGUGUGGUAAUUUUCCUAAUUUCAAAAGUAAAUAUAUUCUUAACUUGCCAUGUGCUUAAUCCGAAUAUGAAAAGCUGUGUUAUCUAAUGUAAAUUACAUCUCUUUGGAGUGUGUUUGAAUUAUGAUCCUUUCACCAUCAUAUUUAAACUUAUAGAGGUUGGAUUGAGCUGGACUCUUUGAUAUAUUACUCUCUCGAUUCCGCUGCGACAUUUAUUUCUUUUACCAUGCUUUUUGUACUUUAUCUUCUGGGUUCUGCUUAAGUGUUUAAUUAUGUUUUAUAUGACUAUUGCAUACAUUUAUAAUGAAACAAGCAAACAGUUGCUGGAUGGACUGUAAUUGUAAUUAUGUUUUAUAUGACUAUUACAUGCAUAGGGGUGUUUGUAUAGGGAUGUUUGCUCUUACAUAUGGAGCUUCAGAUUUGAGCCUUCAUUAUGUUACCUUUAACUCUUUAUGCGUUUUAUUUCUUUUCUUUCAUAGCUUUCUUUAGCAGUGGAAGAUUUUGCUACUAUCUUAGAUUUUUUCUACUGGUUUUAGGUAGUCUUCCAACUUUUGUUUAUGUUGUUUUUAGGCAUUUUUCACUGUUGUUUUAGGGUAAUUUUUAUUGCUGUUUUGGGCAUCUUUUUCUGCUGUUUUUGGGAAUUUUUUAUUGUUGUUUCUUGGUUAUAUUUGUUGUUUUGGUGCUUUUUUCCUGCUAUUUUUUAGUGUAAUUUGUUGUUGCUUCUUAUUGUGAUUUGUUGUUGCUUCUUAUUAUGAUUAACGGCUAUUUUUAUCUUAUCGAUUAACUUGAAAAUUUUAAUUAUUUGCAGGGGAGAAUUCAACCGGAUAUUGCUUGGUUCUAUAAAUUAUCUGGCAUAAGUGUUUUACUGGAAACUUUUUGAUGUUGCGUAACCUCUUGGUUUACAAAUACGAAUGAAAUUGUAAUUAGUUUGUAACUCAAUUUGACGAUGCUUUUAUUUUUUGGGAGAUUAUGCUUAUAAUAUUUUUUUUUCUUUUUAUAGCCUACUCUUAUAAAUGAGUGCUCUUGAUUUUCAUUAUUUUGUUUUUCAUUAACAAAUUUCUUUUGAAAUAAGUGUACUGUAGUUUGUUUUCACACAAUUAAAAAAAAAUGAAAAAAUUGUGAUAUAAUUUAAUCCAAAAUGAUUUAAGAUAUACUAGGUUCUAAGCCCUCAAAUGUGCCAUCAAUUUGUUGCAAUCUUUAGGUUUGGGGGGUGUUAUUGGUGAUAUUGAAAUUCUACGUCGUCAAUUUUGGAUGUUUAGUAUAUGGAUUUACCCUGGGAAGAUUUUCGCUUCAUUUUUCUUAUAACAAUGAUCAUAGUGAUGUUGCCUUUUUCUUUCUACCAUAUUUUCUUUUUAUCCCUCAAUAUUUUUUUGUUUUGCUAGCAUAUUUUCAUUCAUAAACGAUUGUAAAUUUCAAUUGAGCUUAGAAUUUUUGUGACUCAGUAAUUUAAAAUAUCCACCAUGAUUAGUUUGUUUAAAAAAAAAUCAAACAAAAUACACCUAAAAAAUAUUAUUAUGCAACAAAUAAGAAUAGUGAUUUUCACUUGAAUUAUCAAAUUCUUUUUCAAACUAUUAUUAGACUAAAGUAAGGGAAAAAAUUGGAUAGAUAUGUAAUUUUAUUAUAAUUAAUUGGAUUUUUUUUUCAAAUUACAAGUUCUUUUUAAAGCCAACAUUUUUAUCAAUCAUGUAAAAAAUAGUUAGACAAUUAAAUUUAUAUGUGUAAUGUAAUGAACACAUUUAUAAUUUGUGUAUGAGUUAAAUAAAAAUUAGUAAGUUAGAUAAAUUCCCAAAUAUAAUUAUUGGGUAUAAGUUGAAUUUAAUUCAAUUUAAUGUAUCUUUAUUAAUAAAAUCUAGUUUAGUAAAAUAACAUGAAUCUAAUGAGUAAUUAAUGGGGUUUCACCACAAACAUAAGAUCAAAAUAUUCAUGUGUAUGUAUGCGCGCACUCAUGUCUCUAUAUAUAUAACUCUAUAAUAUUACAAGAGCUUUGAAUAUUUUAAAACGCAAGAGAUUUGAUAAUUCCAAUUCCAUAGCAAAUUAUUUGUUUAUUUUCUAUUAUGUUUUACAAAUUUAUAAUUUAUAAAAUUCUAUUUUUGUUACUAUUAAUUGUAUUUUUUUCAUAAUUUUUUAAUUAAUAUAUUAUCUUAAUUAAUAUUUAAAUAGUACACCGUUUUAAAGUGUUUAAAAUUCUGGACAGUGACAUGAACCAUUAUUGAGCUAACAGUUAACCGACAGUUUCCAAAAACAUGUUAAUUUAAUUCUACAAGAUAACAAUGAAUCGUUUAUUUGAUAACGGUUAGCCGAUAUCUUCCAGAAAGAAGUGUAUUUGGUUAUUUGAUUCUGGAAGAGAACGGUGAACCUUUUUUUAGAUAAUGGUGAACCGAUAUCAUCCAGAAAGGUAUAUGAUUGCAGAUAAAGAUCCGUUAAGGGCAAAGGGUAGCUAAUAGCAAUUGCAAAGUUACUGGACAAACACAGCGAACCGACAUCCAGGUAAUGGUGAACCGCCAUUUUAAAUUUUAAAAUUUUAGGAAAGGUGUGUGUGAAUGAAACGGGGGGGAAAUUUUUAAAAUUUUUACUUUAUUUAAGACAUGUGACAUUAGACGUCAAACAUACAACUCUGACGUCCAACAUGCAACAACUGACGUUAAACAUGAAACCUACAAUAUUUUGCGUCAAACAUGCAACAUAUCACGUAAAGUAUGCAACUUUGAUGUCAAACAUAAAACAAGCGAGAAUAUUCGGGAAUAUUCUUUAUUUUGGCUUUAUUCAAGACAUACAACAUCUAACGCCAAACAUGCAACCCUGACGUCCAACAAGCAACAAUAGACGUAAAACAUAAAACCCGCAAGAAGUCAUGUUAAAUAUGCAAUUUAUCACGUAAAGUAUGCAACUUUGAUGUCAAACAUGAAACGGACAAGAAUAUUCUUUAUUUUGGCUUUAUGUAAAACAAGCAACAUCUAACGUCAAACAUGCAAGCUGGACGUCAGACAUGCAAUAACGGACGUUAAACAUGCAACCUGCAACACCGCACGUGAAAUAUACAACUUAUCACGUAAAGUUUGUAACUUCGACGUAAAACAUGAAACAGACGAGAAUAUUCGAGAAUAUUCUUUAUUUUGGCUUUAUCCCAAAUAUGCAACAGCGAAGGUCAAACAUGCAAGUUGGACGUCAGACAUGCAAUAACGGACGUUAAACAUGCAACCUACAACACUGCACGUGAAAUAUACAACUUAUCACGUAAAGUUUGCAACUUCGACGUCAAACAUGAAACGAACGAGAAUAUUCGAGAAUAUUCUUUAUUUUUGCUUUAUCCAAAACAUGCAACAUCGAACGUCAAACAUGAAACCGGGACGGCCGACAUGUAACAACAGACGUUAAACAUGCAACCUGCAACACUGCAUGUGAAAUAUACAACUUAUCACGUAAAGUUUGCAACUUCGACGUCAAACAUGAAACAGACGAGAAUAUUCGAGAAUAUUCUUUAUUUUGGCUUUAUCCAAAACAUGCAACAUCGAACGUCAAACAUGAAACCGGGACGGCCGACAUACAACAACGGAUGUUAAACAUGCAACCUGCAACACUGCACGUGAAAUAUACAGCUUAUCACGUAAAGUUUGCAACUUCGACGUCAAACAUGAAACGAACGAGAAUAUUCGAGAAUAUUCUUUAUUUUGGCUUUAUCCAAAACAUGCAACAUCGAACGUCAAACAUGAAACCGGGACGGCCGACAUGUAACAACGGAUGUUAAACAUGCAACCUGCAACACUGCACGUGAAAUAUACAACUUAUCACGUAAAGUUUGCAACUUCGACGUCAAACAUGAAACAGACGAGAAUAUUCGAGAAUAUUCUUUAUUUUGGCUUUAUCCAAAACAUGCAACAUCGAGCGUCAAACAUGAAACCGGGACGGCCGACAUGCAACAACGGACGUUAAACAUGCAACCUGCAACCUGCAACACUGCACGUGAAAUAUACAACUUAUCACGUAAAGUUUGCAACUUCAACGUCAAACAUCAAACAGAUGAGAAUAUUCGAGAAUAUUUUUUAUAUUGGCUUUAUCCAAAACAUGCAAUAUCUAACGUCAAACAUGCAAGCGGGACGUCGGACAUGCAACUACGGACGUUAAACAUGCAACCUGCAACACUGCACGUGAAAUAUACAACUUAUCACGUAAAGUUUGCAACUUCGAUAUCAAACAUGAAACGAACGAGAAUAUUCGAGAAUAUUCUUUAUUUUGGCUUUAUUCAAAACAUGCAAUAUCGUACGUCAAACAUGAAAUCCAACCGUCGAACAUGCAACAACUGCUGUUAAACAUGAAACUUGCAGCACUUCACGCGAAAUAUGCAAUUUAUCACGUAAAGUUCGCAACUUCGACGUCAAACAUGAAACGGACGAGAAUAUUUGGGAAUAUUCUUUAUUCUGGCUUUAUUCAAGACAUGCAACAUAUUACGUCAAACAUGCAAGACGUCCGACUUGCAACAACAGACGUUAAACAUGAAACUUGCAACACUUCACGCGAAUUAUACAACUUAUCACGUAAAGUUGCAACUUCGACGUCAAACAUGAAACAGACGAGAAUAUUCGGGAAUAUUCUUUAUUUUGGCUUUAUUCAACACAUGCAACAUCUUACGUCAAACAUGCAAUCGAGACGUCGAACAUGCAAUAACUGACGUUAAACCUGAAAUACUAUUUUUUUCAUUUUCAAUUUCUUUAUUUUUUUUCAUUUUAUUUAAUUAUAUUAUAUUGUAUUAUAGGGUUUGUAUUAUAUUAUUUAAUUUCUUUAUCUUUUGCUAUUAAUUAUAUUAUAAAAAACUAUUUUUGACAUUUUAUUUAAUUUUUUCAUUUUUAUAUUGUAUUUUUAAUAUAUAUUUUUUAAAAAAUAUGGUGCAACCGGUUUGUCAACCGGCUGCAUCAAGUCUUUGGCUGCCAAAUGGCAGCCAAAGACAGUCGGGCUCUCUUUUUGAGAGCCCGGCAUUGUAGCCAAACCCAUUCAAAAUGGGGCAAAAUUAUGGUAUCACAAUGGUACCGUAUUAUGGCCGGAUCCAGCCUACAGUUAUCAUCAUAAUUGGAUUCAACGGUUGGAUCCAUUUGUAGUAUAGUAUCACUGUGGUAUCAUAAAUGGACCCUUUAAAAUAAUACUUUUUUUAAUUAAAUAAGUGAAAAUUAAACCUACAAUUUAAAAUAGAGGACUGUAGAUGCGUAUAAAUUGAAAAAGGUAAAUUUUGUGUAUGCGCAAAUAUUUUAGUUAACAACAAAAAAUUCUAACAAGUUAAUAUAAGAGUAUCAUAGCACAAGAGAAUUUUUUUUUUUUUUAAUGUUAAGAGUUAUCGAGAUACCCAAUAUAUAUGUGUGUGUGAGAGAGUGGAGGAAGAAAAAAAAAUUAAGAAUAGUUUUGGCAUUUUGAUGGGUUUUAUACAGUAAAAUCUAUAUUUUCAAAUAUGAUAAUUCUUUAAUUUAAUUUGGUGUUAUGAAAAAAAGGGCAUUUUAAAUAUGUUUUAAGUUAUAAAUAACACCAUCCAAAAUUUAAAAAUGAAAUCUUAGGGGGGAAAAAAUUUCACCCGAACUAAGGCCCAAAGUAGCCACGGCAUUUUUCACCAAUUCUCCAAUUCCCAAUGUGGUCUAAUUAUUUAUAAGGAAUAUGAGUAGGGGUGGGCACGGUUCGGUCUGGUUCGGUUUGGAUCGAAAUUAAGCAGAACCGAUUAAAAUCGGUUAUUUUAUAAAAAGAACUAAAUAAGAACCAAACUCAAUAAAAACCGAACUCAAUAAAAACCAAACAUAAACGGAUCUUUUCGGAUCGGUUCGGUUUAGUUUUUUUCGAUUUUGGGCCUAUUUUGAAUUUCUAAAUUGUUAGCCCAUUAGGCCUCAUGAAUGUAAUAAUUUUAUUCAACAAUUAAUUUAUCCUAAUUUCAUUACAAAUAUUAACAAUAAAUACAAAGUAUUCAAAACACAUUUUAUCACUAAUAUCUUACUAACUACUAAUAAGGUACUUACAAAAUAUGAAAUAUUAAGAUUUGAAAAUACAUAAUCAAACUACAAUACUCCAUCUACAUAAACAUAAUGUUGUAAAGACAAAUAAAAAUAACAACAAUUAAAACUUACAACACAAAAUAAAAAGAAAAUUUGGAAACAAACACGAACAACAAUUUUUAAAUAUAUAUAUAUAUAUAUAUAUAUACCCGUAAUCGUGUGUGUGCAUGCCUAUUUUAGUUAUCUCACGCAAUCAAUUAAAAUUUAACAUGUGUCUAUUUAAAUAAAAUUCUAAAAAUAACUCGAUUUUUUUGUUCGGUUUUUUGGUUCAGUUGAGUGAACCGAAUACCAAACCUGUAUUUCAAUUUUUUUUACAAACCAUAUAUUUCAGUUAUUUUUUAAAAUUAAAACCAGUCCGAACGGAAUGGAACGGUUCGGAUCGAUUUUCUCUAGUGCACGGUUUUUUUUACCCACCCCUAAAUAUGAGAUUCUCUACCACCCCAAUUUAUCCCAUUGUUAGCAAUCCUAUUAGCUGUUUUAUAUCCUAUUUUUAUUAUGCUCCCCAAACAAAUAUGUUUCACCUAAAGGUGCCCAACGGGCUGCACCGUCCGUCUGAAUGAGCCCACGAGAGGCUCCCCAUGACACGGCAAUCUUUUCUUUUUAACGAGGGCGUGCCUGAUAUGCUUUUUCAAGUCUACAUAUGUAACGUUCUUUUUUUAAAUCCAUAUAUUUUUUUAAGCUCAUGUCAAAUUCAGUAGUAAGAGAAUGCAAUGCUAGUUAAUAAGCUAAAGUGCACCCGUGCCACUUUUUUUUCUAGUUGUUUUAUUUGUAUGAUAAUUAUCAUGGACCCACGUAACUUUCUUUUGCAUUUAAAAUUUCAUAAUAAAUUAAAUUAGACAAAAGAAAUGAGUCCCACAAAUAAUUUAUUUUAUAAUUUUGUAAAUAAUACUAUUUUAAAAUAAAUUAUCAAAACAAAUUUCAUAUUCACUAAAAUUAAUCAUCUUCAUAUUAUAAAAUAAAUAAAAAAAACAACAUUUUAAAAAUAAUGCCAACUACACCCUUAAAUUUUAUGUACGGCACUAGAAUUAAUGAACAAUUUUUGACAAAGAUGCUGCGACCUAAGUAGGGAUGGCAAUUAAAUUCAGAGCCGGCUCGGAUCUGUAAGGAUCCGAAAGAUCCAGAUCUUGAAAAAUCCGUAUCUGCAUAUUAAAAAAUGUGGAUCCGGAUAUAGAAAUUUGGGAUCCGCACGAAUCUAGAUGCAAGUGCAUUCGGAAAACCGGAUAUCGAGAUCCGGAUAAAUUUUAUUUCCAAUUAAAAAUUAAAUGAUACAUUUAAUUUAGAUUAUCAAUCCUAUCUGAAACUUAUUGAAUGAUACAUUUCAUUUCUAUAAAAUUGAGUUACUAUUACCACCUCACAUCUUAUAAAUUCUAGAAAAUAAUCAAGGCUUGACAUACUUUUAUUUAUGCAAAAGCAUAAGAAAAUAAUUUAAAGUACUAAUUAGUGUACUAUUCCUCAAAAUUCUAGAAUAAAUUUGCUAGUUCUCUUUAGUCAUAGAUUGAUCCAUGAUUGGCACCGCAAUAGCUCAGAAUCACCUCAACGAUUGUUCCACACGGCCCAACAUGACACACUGUAAACUAGUCUAAGAUGAACUUUCUGAGUGGCUUUUUAGCAAUAGUCUUAGAGAAAGUGUUUAGUAGUAUGAAGUCUUCUUUUUUAACACAAAUGUUGGCAUGAUAUUCUUAAUAUAUUUCUAAAAUUAAAAUAAGAUGCAUAGAGGACAACAAUAAUUUUAUUUCAUAAUUGAAUUUUUUGCAAAAAAAGUUUGAACAUGAGAGUGAUGAGAGAUGAGAAUAUUGAUGAUGGUGUGUACUUUGGAUGGAAAAGUAGAUUGGAAAUAUAUAUAGACAUAUUAAAAGAAAAAAAUUUGGUCUAUUUCUUAAGAGAAACAAAAAAUUAUAAACGUGGGUGUUAAAAUGUAUUCAGAAUUUAUAAAUUUUUAUAAAUAUGAUAAUCAUCAGACCCUUAUAAAAGUAUAACAAAAAAGUUUAAAAUUUUUUAAUAAAUGUAGAAGAGAUGAACGAAGAAAUCAUCCACCAGUUCAGAAUUAACAAUCAAAGAUAUGAGGACUUGAAUGAAAAAAUGGUGAAAAAUAAAAGGACACUGGGUUGGUUAGCGGGACCCUAAUAUUAAUGGUGAAAAAUAAAAGGACACUAGGUUGCUAUCAAUUUCUACCGUGUGGGUUCAUAGCCGGGGAAGUAAUUGGGCACAAAUAUCUCGGAUGAGAAAUAACCAUUUUAUCCCGCAACCAUAUGUUUAUGGCCUCUAAAAAUUUUCACCUCUUUCACUUCUGGAACCCGUGCUUUCUGGCACAUGCACAAUACUUGGUUGCUACUUAUAGAGCGUUUUUAGAAUUGCAACGACAUGGUGCUCUUUGAUAAUUCAAAAAUCCAAUAUAAUUUAUAGAGAAUUACAGAAUUGUGGUACGUGAUAAUUUUCUGAUGCAAUGAGGCGCCGAAAUUCUUAUACAUGUGAUCUAGGUUAUAUAUGUAUAAUUAAGUAAUUAGAAAAUACUAGUUGGGGGUAUUUAUGUCCAUGAAAAUUUACAGCUGGUUGUUGACAUUACACUGCGGGUGUGUAAGUGUAAUCUUGGAUCCGACCAUUCAAAUUAAAAAAAUGGGGGUCCCGCUAGCUUGCGGAGUUAGUAAUUAUUACAUAUGCAGAUAUGCUCCCGUACGAUAAUUUUAUCAUAAAUUUAAAGGAUACGAGGACUAGCUUGAAGAAAUGAACGAAUAUUUGAAUCAAAACAAAUUUUAGAAUAAAGACAAGUAUUAAUUUACUAUGAAUGUAACUUACAUAUGCUGUAAGUUAGCGUGACACUAUUGAAUCACAAGCAAAAAACAAUCUGUCUUCUUCUUGAUUCCGUAAUUUGGCUGUCAAAAUGCAAUCUAUAAAGAUUACGAUACCUCGAUUCAAAAUAUGUUGUUUUUGAUGAAAUAAAUGAAAAUUGAACGUACAAUCUGUCACGACCACCCUGGAUUCAAAAAAAUAUUAUUUCUAAUGAAAUAAAUGAAAAUUGAACGUACAAUCUGCCACGAACACUAUUCAAUUAACCGUUUAUUUCUCCUUAAAUUUUUAAUCUCAAAGAAACAUAGAUUUAAUGGGAACUACACAUAUAUAAAAAUACUAUAGAUUGAAGAAGUUGAAUUUUUCUUGUGUGUUAAGUAUUUUUGUUAAUACGAAAGGAUUCUAGCAAGUUAAUACAAAAGUAUCAUAAAUUCAUUGUAGUACAAGAGAUUUUUUUUUUCCUUUGAUGUUAAGAGUUUUGGAGAUAAAAAAAAAAAAAAGGUGAAAGAAGAAGAUGAGAGAAGAAAAAAUAUUAAGAAUAGUUUUAGCAUUUUGAUGCGUUUUAUAGAGUAAAAUCUAUAUUUUAUAGUAUAAAAUGGUACACCCAUAAUUUAAUGAUAAAAUUUUAGGAAAAAAUUGCACUCGUCAAAAAAAGAAAAAAGAAAAAAGGCUCAGCUUAGCCCAAAAUUUUUUUAUUAACCUUCUAGUCACUAAUGUAAUCUCUUUUUUAUGAGAUUCUUUGGCGUUUUAAUUCAGUCCAUUGUUAGCAAUCUAAUAGCUUUUAUGUGCAUCUAUUUUUUAUUGAAAUAUGUUUCAAACUUGAAUAAAAUCUGCGGGACAACUGGUAAGUAAUAAAGCUCAUCAUUUUUUUUUAUUUUGAAAAUAAAGGGAAUCACUUACACUUAGCAUGAUAUUAUUUUUGAUAAGUCAUUUUUUUGGUAGAUUAUUUUUUCUGACACGCUCUUAGAUUUAGUGAAAAUAAAUUGUAUACUUUUAAUGAAGAAAAGUAAAGAUCAACAAAAUAUUUUGUUGUUUUCGACAACUUUUGCGUUGUCAAGUGCGCCUGAUACCCUUUUUGUUUUUUUGAACAUGGGCCCACGUGCCAUUGUUUUCAUUUCAAGUUCAUAAUUUAACAGUAGAAAUGGGUUCCACAGAUAAUUUAUUUUAUAAUUUUUUAAAAAAUUACCAAAAUAUAAUAAAUAAGGUAAUAAUAAUUAAUAAAAUAGUAGAUUUUAAGAUGGAAAAAUAUUUUUGUGUACUUAAUAAAGAGAUGAUAAGAAUGGGAUGCUUUUGGUUUACAUUCUCAUAGCUAUUCAUACUGAAAAAUUACAUCAAAAUUUAAUUAAUAAAUCAGUGAACUGCAGACUUAUUAAAUUUAAGCUAUUUUACUUCUCAAAAAAAAAAAUUAAGCUAUUUUAAUAAGUCAUAAAUAUACUAAGUUAAAAUUGUAGUAAACCCAUUGUUACAGAAUACUCUCCAUUGAGUGUUCACCAUUUUAAGAUAAUCAUAAAAUGACACCGGAGGUGCUAUUAUAGCUGCCUCAUGGAAAGCCUUCACCAAUAAAAAUCCGGUGAGCAAAGUUGGUCAUAAGAAAAAGGAGUAUAGAGCACAUACAUCCAGUUUUUAUACCCUUUGAUGCUCAGUCGACACGUGCCAAUGCUAUAGACUAUCUGAUAAUCUACUAAGGUAACGCAUGCCAAUGCCAUAGACUAGCUUUUCAAAGGUUGAAGUGGGUAUACUUUUAGUAAAAAGACCUGCAAAAUUAGGCAAAUGCUAAGUUACAAUAAUUGUAACAUACAUUCCUCAUGUGAACCACAUAAAUUGUGGGUCCUAUAAUUUUGUGUGGUUCACAUGAGGGAUGUAUGUUACAAUUAUUGUAACUUAGAGGCUCCCGCAAAAUUAUAGUGUACCUAUUUGACAUCAACUUUUUUUAUCUGGUUUCGUAUUAUCAAAUACCUUCCCUACCCAUUUGUAUUCCAUUUGAUAUUUUCUAAAUGGUUGAAGGUAAAUUAGUAAAAAUUCAUUUUAAAAAAAAUUCAAAGAAAUUCAAGAAGAAGUUUUGUAUCUGCCAUUUGUAUUUGGGGUAUCUUUUUUUGGUUGUUGAGAGAAUGAGUUUAAAUCUAAAAUAUUUAUUUUCUUAUUAUAUAUUUUUCGUUGGAAAGAAUUUAAAUCUUAUUCUUAUUAGAUUUAUUCUCUUUAAACAAAGGUAGGUUUUUCUACAUGUAUUUAGCGUGUAUUUUAAAACUAUUGUUCAACAUAUCUUUAGAUUCUAUUAUAAAUAUUCAUAUCUAACAUCUCAAUAAUUUCCAACAUAUAAAUAUAUAUAAAGGGAGAUAGUAACGUUCUAAUAAGAAAUUUCUUAAGUUAUCAAGUUAAAAAAUAAUUUAAAAGAUAAAAAAAUACACAUUCUAAUAUAUUAUAUAACAAAAUAUAUUGUAUCAAAAUAUAUAUUUUGCUUACUUUUUUAAUAUAUCCCAUAUUAACUUAACAAAUCCUUUAUUUAACUAAUUAUUAUUAUUAUAUAUAUAUAUAAUAAUAAUAAUAUAUUAUAGUAGUUUUCUGAUAAGGAAUUUUAAAAUGUGAGAAAGUUCGGAAAAAUUUUAAAACCGCACGGCUUUACAAAUUUACAGUUUUAAGUUUGCUUUUAAAAUCAUACAGCUUUAAAAUUUUAUUAUACUUUUUCGUACUUUAAAAAUUUCGACUGAAAUAUAUAUAUAUAUAUAUAUAUAUAUAUAUAUAAUUUUUUAAAAAUAAACAAUUUAGAGUAAAACAAAGGACAUUCUCCGGGCCUUUUACCUGACUAGCAAUCUACCGUUUUGGAAUGCAAUAAAGUGAAAAUACUAGACUACCAGUCUACUAUUUUGGAUUGCAAUAAAGUUAAAAUGGGUUACAGCAAAAAAGUUAGAAAAAGAAAAAAGUGACAAUCAAUCUUGCCGGCAAUAUAUCAACUUUUUUGCUGGAUUAGUAUCACGGUCAAACACAAAUUAUUGCAAGCACUAGCAAAAAGCAAUCUAUGAUUUCGCAAUUUGGCUGUCAAAUUGAAUAACAAUAUGAAACAUAACUAGAAAUAUAAGCAAGACAGGAUUUCGAAAUCACCCAAAACUUUUUUCCUAUUUAUUUUGUUAAAUUUUUAUGGGGAAUUUUGAGAUGUUGCACAUUAACAUAUAUCUCUUACAACUUCAUUUGAACGCGUCAUCACCGAUCACUCAAUCAUAAUUUGCAUCGAAUUCAAUUAUAUGCGUGAAAAUGAAAAGAUCUUUGAGUGGUCAAAAAAUACACCGGUCCGUGUUACCAAUUUCUUAAGAAAUUAUAUGUUAUUCUGGAUUAUUAAUUUUAUUUUUAAGUAUUUCAGGAUUAUUAUAGUUUUUUAACUGUUUUACAAAUAUAAAAAAAUUAUAAGUAUGGGUCAGUUGAAAUUUAAUGGAAAAGUUUACGACAUAGUCAAUGUUCGAGAGCUAUUUUCAAUUUGAGGAUAAAACAAUGUUGCAAUUGUUGGCUUGUUGCAACAUUCCAUAACUUUUUUGUAUUUGUGGCUUUAGUAUAUGGCAGUCCUUGAUAUUGUAUAUUACAUAUAUCCUGCCUUCAACUCACUGAGAGUAAGAGUGCCACUGUUGUCAGUGUCCAUCUCUCUAAAUUUUUCCAUUAGCUUUUGCUUUUCUCCUGUUGGAAGAUUUUCCACAAUGACCUGAAAAUCCACUCAGUUUUAUCAGUAGAGGAAGCACAAUUAAAUGCAUAAAUUUAAUGGCUUGCACAUAUAUAGUGUUGUGGAAUUCCUUCAAGAUCCACUCUAAUUAAUCAAAUAACCUAAGCUUAUAGAACCCAAAUGAUUCAAGAUCAACAAUCUUUAAUCAAGAAAGCUAACCAGAUCAAACACAAGAAAUAACCAGAGAACAACAACAAGAAGAAGAUGAACCAGAAACAAUGAACACAAUAUAACGUGGUUCAGUACCAAAGUACCUACAUCCACGACCAAAUAAACCCCUCUGGGCUUGAAGCUUUUAUUGAACAAAGUGUUUACAAUGAGAGUAUUGAUGACAAAGAUUAAAUCUCUCCUACAGAGAAUUUUCUAUCUCUCAUCCUAGGCUUCUCAAAAUCGUGACUUUUUCUCUCUGUUGAUCAGCCCUGAGCCUAUGUAUAUAUAGCUCUGUUGUCCAGCUGUUAGCAGUAACGAAUUAACUAACUCUGGCCCCACAUAUAAGCUGACUCAGCACGCCACUUAGUCACAUAACAGAAUUAACUAAUCAGGCUUCACAAAUCUCCACCUUAGUUGAUUCUGUACCAGCUUCACUCAGACCUGGUUUAGAUAGUUAAUAUGCUUGACUUACAAGCUUGUAACUCCAAUCAAGUUCAGAGAGUUUCUGAACUUGACUGUUGGUAUUGGUUUUGUCAGUGCAUCUGCUGGAUUGACUUCAGUAGAGAUCUUUACAACAUCCACUACCCCUCUUUCAAUUUCUUCUCUUAUGAAAUGUAACCUCACAUCUACAUGCUUUGUCCUCUCAUGGUAUUUGGAGUUUUUGCUUAACUGAAUUGCACUUGAGCUGUCACAACAGAUUGGAAUUGUAUCCUGAGUCAACCCCAUUUCAGAUAUAAUCCCUCCAUUAUAACCAUGCCAUUUUUUGUAACUUGGAGUUCACCAUUCUCUGCCUUAAUGCUACAGCCUGACUGGUCAACUGUUCCUAAGGAUAUUAGAUUCCUUCUAAGCUCUGGAACAUAUCUUACAUUCUUUAGCUCUCUAUCUACUCCAUCAUGCAUAGUUAUGGUAACAGUUCCAAUUCCAGCAACCUUACAGGCCAAGUUAUUUCCCAAUAAAACCUUACCUGUAUCAACUUUCUCAAAAGUCUUGAAGAGUUGCUUGUUUGGGCUCAUGUGGAAGGAGCAACCUGAGUCCAAGAUCCAUUCUUCAGUGGGUUGUUUUUCUGCAGCUAUGAGAACAUCUGCCCCUUCUGAAUCCCCUUCAUCUUCUGAUGCAAUGGCUGCCUUCCCUGAUGAAUCUUUCUGGAUCUUUUCAAGUUUCUUCUUCUCGAAACAAUCCUUUAUGUAAUGCCCUUCCUUCUGACAGAAAUAGCACUUCCUCUUCUUCUUUUUCUUGUCAGCUUUAUCCUUCUGAUUGUUACUUUUCUUGUCAUGAUUCUUCUUCUUUUCAGGUUUUGAUUUGGCCAUCAGACCUUCACCAAGGCCCUGAUCUUUUCCCUCAGCUCUUUUCUUUAAUUCUUUUGAUUCCAGAGCAUUCUUCACAUCUUUUAAUGUAAGGGUCUGUCUCCCAUACAGUAAUGUGUCAACAAAGUGCUCAUAUGAAUCUGGCAGUGAGCUUAACAAGAUAAGAGCUCUGUCUUCAUCUUCAAGGUUCACAUUAACAUUCUCAAGAUCCAGGAUUAGCUUGUUGAAUUCGUCGAGAUGGUCUUUCAUGGCUGUUCCCUCCUUCAUUGAGAAUGUAUACAGCUUCCUUUUCAUAUAGAGUCUCUUGGCCAAAGACUUCUUCAAGAAUAGUUCUUCAAGUUUCGACCAGAGUCCAGAUGCAGAUUUUUCUUUAGCAACCUCUCUCAGCACUUCAUCAGACAGAUGCAAGAUUAUGGUGCUGUGAUCUUUGUUGUUAAUAGACCUUAUGUCUCCACCCAAGCUUGAGGAGCCUUCUGAUCUCUCCUUUUUGCCAAUCUGAUCUUCUUCAUUAUCAAGAGCACUGUCAAGCCCCUGUUGGAUCAAGAUUGCACGCAUCUUGAGACUCCAUAGGUAGAAGUCAUUUUCUCCAUUAAAUUUUUCUACAUCGAAUCUUGUACUAGCCAUUUGUGAACAAGAGCUGAGAUCUUUUAAUGCUCUGAUACCAGUUUGUUGUGGAAUUCCUUCAAGAUCCACUCUAAUUAAUCAAAUAACCUAAGCUUAUAGAACCCAAAUGAUUCAAGAUCAACAAUCUUUAAUCAAGAAAGCUAACCAGAUCAAACACAAGAAAUAACCAGAGAACAACAACAAGAAGAAGAUGAACCAGAAACAAUGAACACAAUAUAACGUGGUUCAGUACCAAAGUACCUACAUCCACGACCAAAUAAACCCCUCUGGGCUUGAAGCUUUUAUUGAACAAAGUGUUUACAAUGAGAGUAUUGAUGACAAAGAUUAAAUCUCUCCUACAGAGAAUUUUCUAUCUCUCAUCCUAGGCUUCUCAAAAUCGUGACUUUUUCUCUCUGUUGAUCAGCCCUGAGCCUAUGUAUAUAUAGCUCUGUUGUCCAGCUGUUAGCAGUAACGAAUUAACUAACUCUGGCCCCACAUAUAAGCUGACUCAGCACGCCACUUAGUCACAUAACAGAAUUAACUAAUCAGGCUUCACAUAUAGCUUACUGAAUAUAAUAACAAGUACUUCGCAAUAAAACAUUGUUGGUGAGGAAGUGCAGAUGCAGAAAUUCGAUCAAGCAUUUAACUAAUGAUUGUCGCUGUUGUAUCCAAUUCUCAUACUUAGCCCUAAUAUGAGCUAGCUCCUAAAUGGGAAGAAUCUUUUUAAUUACAUGCGUAUGUAUAUAAUUAUUAGUUAGCUAGGUGUGGUCAAUGUCAUCUGUAUUUUAUCAAUGGAAUUUUAAUUAGGUGUGCGCGACAUCACACAUUGUGCACUAGAUCAAUCCUCUUGUCAAUUAAUAUAUAUUAUAUAUAUAUAUAUAGACACGUAUGUGAGUGGAGGAAGAAAAAAAAAUUAAGAAUAAUUUUGGCAUUUUGAUGGGUUUUAUAGAGUAAAAUCUAUAUUUUCAAAUAUGAUGAUUCUUUAAUUUAAUUUGGUGUUAUGAAAAAAAGGGCAUUUUAAAUAUGUUUUAAGUUAUAAAUAACUCCAUCCAAAAUUUAAAAAUGAAAUCUUGAGAAGGGGGGGGGGGGGGGGGGGGGGGCGGAAUUUCACCCGAACUAACAAAGGCCCAGAGUAGCCGCGGCUUUUUUCACCAAUUCUCUAAUUCCCAAUGUGGUCUAAUUAUUUACAACGAAUAUGAGAUUCUCUACCACUCCAAUUUAUCCCAUUGUUAGCAAUCUUAUUAGCUGUUUUAUAUCCUAUUUUUAUUAUGCUCCCCAAACAAAUAUGUUUCACCUAAAGGUGCCCAACGGACUGCACCGUCCGUCUGAAUGAGCGCACGAGAGGCUCCACAUGACACGGCAAUCUUUUUCUUUUUAAUGAGGGCGUGUCUGAUAUGCUCUUUCAAGUCUACAUACCUAACGUUCUUUUUUUAAGUGCAUAUAUUUUUUUUAAAGCUCAUGUGAAAUUCAGUAGUAAGAGAAUGCAAUACUAGUUAAUAAGUUAGAGCCUACAAAAUAAUAAUAAUAAUAAUAAUGGUUAACAUUUUAUUGUUAAUUUGAAUUUACAUACAGAUUAUAGUCCAUAAUAAUAUUAAUACUUACAAGUUUCAAAUUAAAAUUUAAUAAUUAACAUUUCAUAAACACAACUAUAUUAUCUAAUUUUGCAAUAACAAAUUAUAAUACAACAAUACAUAAUUCUAAUUUCAUAGACCAUAGUAAUAAAAUCUCUACGUUAAUGAAAAUUUUAUUUUGAUAUAUGUCGGUCUGCUUGCUAUUGAUGGUCGAUGGUUGUAUGCUAGCUUGCUAAUGAAGCGUGUUUAUUAUUGGUUUUUUCACGUGUCUUGCUUUACCACAUCUCUAAUCAAAUUGUGCUCUUAAAAUCCACAGCCUAACCUAGCCUCUGUGUGUGUCCUGUCGUGCCAUACUAUACAAACACGUAUCCGGUACCAUGCCACGUACCGGUCGGCCGGUCAGCCCUUAGCCAUCUCUAGUUUCACGUUCACACUUUCACUUUCACCCCUAAAUGAAAUCUAAACGGCUACUGGCAAGUAAGAAAACCUGUUAUUCUUUAUUUUGAAAAUAAAGGGAAUUGCUCAGUUUGAUAUUGUUUUUCGUAAGUCAUUUUUUGUUUUGAAACAUUUUUCUGAGAUGUUGUUGUAUUUGGUGAAAAAUAAAUUAUUUUAUUUUAUACUUUUAAUGAAGAAAAGUAGAGAAAAACAUUUUGUUGUUUUCGACAACAUUUGCCUUAUAAGUGCACCCGUGCCACUUUUUUCUUGUUUUAUUUGUAUGAUAAUUAUCAUGGACCCACGUAACUUUCUUUUGCAUUUAAAAUUUCAUAAUAAAUUAAAUUAGACAAAAGAAAUGAGUCCCACAAAUAAUUUAUUUUAUAAUUUUUAAAUAAUACCAUUUUAAAAUAAAUUAUCAAAACAAAUUUCAUAUUCACUAAAAUUAAUCAUAUUCAUAUUAUAAAAUAAAUAUAAAAACAAUAUCUGAAAAGUAAUGCUAAAUACACUCUUAAAUUUUAUGUACGUCAUUAGAAUUGAUGAACAAUCUGACAAAGAUAUUACGACUUAAGUAGGGAUGACAAUUAAAGUCGGAUUUGGAAAAAUUCAUGUCUGCAAAUUAAAAAAUGUGGAUUCAGAUAUGGAAAUUUUGAAUUCACACGGAUCCAGAUAAAUUUUAUUUUAAAUUAAAAAUAUAUAUUAAAAAAUAAAUGAAAAAAAUAAAAAAAUAAAUUUUAUUUGUGGUUUUAUGAUGUUGUUGUAUAUUAUUCAUGUUGAAUUAUUAAUGGUUGGAUUAUGAUUGAAUUUUAUUUGAUAUUAUUAGGUAAAUUAUUGAAUUUUAUUUAAAAUUAAAAAUAUAUAUUAAAAUUAAAUAAAAAAUUAUAUUUUAUUUGUAGAUUUAUGAGAUUAUUGUAUGUUAUUCAUGUUGAAUUAUUAAUUGUUGAAUUAUGAUUGAAUUUUAUUUGAUAUUAUUAGGUAAAUUAUUGAACUUUUAAAUUAUAUAUUAAAUUAUUUAAUUUUAAUUUUUACAGAUCUGGAUAUCCAAAAUAUCCUCCAGUAUCCGUUGCGGAUAUUACCCGCUUCUGGAUCCGCAUCUUUUUAUAUGAAUUCAGAUAUAGAAAUAUGAAUGCGAAUCCGAAUCUGGAUUUUACCAACCCUGAACCUAAGCAUGAAUGGGCCUAAAGUUUUUACAACAAACGUGGAUCAUUCAAUGACACGAGAUGUUUUACAGCUCUCAUUAGUAUAAUUAAAUAAUUAAUUCAUCUCUAUAUUCAACUUACUCCGUCUCAAAUUGCAUGCAAAUACGAAAAUUCACUUCUGAAUCGUUCACUUGAGGACAAUUCCAAAUUCUCCACGUAGAAUUUAGAUUCAAACCAUAGUAAAUUAGACAUAAUUCUAAUUUAUAUGGGAAAUAUAAUUAGCGAAGACACUCUUUAUAUAAAACAUUAUUGUCAUAGGAUGCCAAACCUAAUAAGAUUCAAGGUCUUAACAUAAUUCAUAUGAAAUUUGAUCUUGGAGCGUACCGACACGCAUAACAUCAAGACUCUACUUCAUAUAUUAUAAUGUAACUUCAUGGAUUUUUCGCUCUCUUGUGAAAUUGACAAAUUAUAGGUACUGUGUGGCAGUGGUACAUAAUAAAAUAAACGUUUAUUUUUAGAAUAUUAUUAUUUUAUCUCAAUUUUUUAUUUAAUAGUUAAUUUUAAUGAAUUCUUAAACUGUCAUAAUCAAUUAAUUUUUUACAUUAUCGCAUCUUAAAUAAAUUUUGGAUCUGUAAUAAAUAAAAACUGGUAACGUUUGUUCUUUUAAAACAUAAAACAACCGUAACAUUGGUUUUUACAUUUUGAAUUUUUCUUGCAUCACUAUUUAGAAAAAUGAUGUUAAAUCAACUCACAAAAUAUAUCAAGCCAUCUAAAAUCCAAAUAUUAUUACAUUUGUAUUUGCAUUGUUAAAUUGUUGGAAUGACGGCAAAGCAAUUGAAAAGAUAUUAGAAAAAAAAAAUAAAGAUUGGCCAAGGAUUAUUCAUGUUUAGGAAAUGAAUUAACUUUUGAAAUAAUCAUUGUUAUAAUUGUAUUGUAGAAAUAAUCAAUUACCUAAUGUUUGUCGUGGUAAAUAUUAUUAACUUGUUUUCCUACAUCCGUGUUUAUGGUGGUCUCCUUUUUGUCCAAUUCUGUACAACAAAAUAUUUGCAUGUUUUUGAUAGAAAUUGGUUUAAAUGACAUUUGAAAUAGUAUAUCCCCAGACAAUUAACGAAAUAUUUGGAUGGUAGGAUGAAGUAAUAUAGUUUUACAAAUUACCAUAUUAGAGGUAAAAAAAAUCAAGAGGUUACUUCAGGUUAUUUCAGGCUAUAUCCAAAUAUUUCGUUAGUCUCAGUUGUGGGUUGGGCACUCAAUGAAAAGGAUUACAAAUUACCUAUAAAAGGCUAGAAUAAGCUACAAAACCCUAUCUCAAAACCCCAUCCCAGUUUAGAUGAAUGAAGAAAAAAGGUAAAUCUUGAAACUCCUUAGAAACUGAAGCCCAAAGUGAAGCAAGAAGAUGAACUCUAUCCCAAGCAAGCAAUAUGGCAUAUUUCUCCAUUAAUGGUUCAAAUAAAGUGAAUGGCUUUCUCUGAUGAAUGGGAAAUUGUCAAGAUCAAUAGUCAAACUCAUGCAAAGUAAACGGACUUAAUUCUUAGAGGCUACUCAUUCUAAGUCUUAAAGAAAAUUUUUCUAAUUUCUAAAGAUUAUAUGGGGAAAAAUCAUUAUUUUCUAACAUGGGAAAUUUGAUACGGUGUUUAAUGUCUGAUCACAAUCAUAAUAUGAGUACUAACAAAAACAUCUUUAAUCGGCAUGGUGCGAGUAAAACACCAUCACUUCAUCUUUGAUGGAAAGAUGAUAAUAUAAGGAGAUGGUGAAAUGGAUUUGGUCCCCGGCAGCUUGUAAUCAAAAGAAAAUAAAAAACUACACUAUCAUUAAUGAUUACCGAAGCUACAUAAGUAUCAAAAUCGGAAAGUAAACAAUUGCAAAACACAUCAAUGACUGGAGGUUAGGUUCUAAAACUUCCGCAUUUAAUUUUCAGAGCAUGUUAUGUAUUAUUCAGAAAUAUGCUUUCACUUCAGGCACUUGACCAAGACGCAUUAAACAUAAAAUGCGGCGUUUUCAUGGACUAGUACAUUCCAUGCUUCGAAAGUUUAUAUUUUAGACUGAUUGGUUUGAUACAUUAUUUGUUUAUUGCGUUUUUCUUGCUUUAAAUAUUAUGUUGGAUUGAUAAGUUUUGUACACAUUUAUAUUGCUCGCAGUAAAUAAUUUAUGACAUUUAAAAAACUAUCAACCGUCUAUCAAAAGAUUUCUACUAUAAAUAUAUAUACACAAAAAACUUUUAAUUUGGUCAAUUUGUUCUCUUAUUUAUUUUUGUUCUAUUUCUCUUUUCCUUUCCUUUCAUUUUACUGUUUUAUGGUACAAAAUAAAAAAAAUAACCUUGAAAUUUAAGGGUAAAAUACUCAUUUUACUAAAAUUCCGUUUACUAUGAUAAAGCUGUCAAAUGUCAAUGGCAUAGUACACGAGUGAUACAAAUUAAAAACAAUAAAUUGAAAGUUUUUAUGCGUUUUCAUUUUAUUUUUUUUUAUAGCCGAUUGAGAUUCCCCUUCAUUUUUUUAAAUUCAAUAGGUUUAGACCGUUUAACAAAUCUUAAAUUAAAAAAACCUGUGGUGUAAUAACAAACUCACAUCAAACCCUGUCCACUUUCAUCCCUAAUUAUAUUUACCACUUCAUACUCACAGUGAUAAUAACUGUGUAUCACAAUUGAUUUUGCAUACGGGUAAAAGUUCCAAGUCCGGAUAUUUAGUUAAUGAAAUUUGAUGAAAAGGGCAUGGAAGAAAAUAAGAAAUUAAAUAAUACAGGAGGUAUUAAUCAUUACAUCUUUAGUUAAUGAAAAUUGAUGAAAAUAUUUCUGCAGACGUGAGCCGUAAUUAUAUUACCGUUUAGAAUGAAGCAGAAGAGUUUACCCAAACUUCAAUUUAAAGAAUUUUUAUAUGAGAGUACCGGGACAAAAAGUUUAAUGCAACAACAUACAUUAAGUUAAUUCCAUAAUCUAUCCCCAAAGAAAGACAAACACAAGCUUAUAAGAUUAAAACUUUGGAAAACAUUAAAGAGUCAGACAAAAUUGUGUAAUCUUCAGAGUUUGGAGCAUAGUUCAUCCAGGAAAGCAAAAGAAAUAAUAAUAAUAAUAAUAAUAAUAAUAGUGGUGGUUUGAUCUCAAAAGGUGGCAUCAAAGUGGUAACUUUGAGGUAUUGGAAGCAAUAACAUCUUCAACUUUGUCCUGAUUUCGAAGUCCUUUAACCCAUCCGCCAUCAAUGGAUUGAAUGCUUCCAUUCAACCCAUCAUCCACAAAAUCACCAAUCCGUUUCACCUUCAUCUCCUUGGGCUUAACAGGGUACUUUCCAGAGAAGCAAGCAAAAAAAAAAUAUUCUGAGAAUCAUCGCCUAACACCUUGUUCAAGCUGUCAAUCGGGCAGAAAAGCAAGCGAAUCACACCCAACAAACUCCCUGAUUUCCUCAACGCUGAUCCUGUUGGAAAUCAACUCCUCAGUACUUGGAGUGUCUACUCCGUAGUAACAAGAAGCUAUGAUUGGUGGGCUUGCAAUUCUCAUGUGAACCUCAUUAGCUCCAGCCUCCUUAAGCAACCUAACAAUUUUUGAUGAAGUUCUUUCUCACACUAUCGAAUCAUCCACAACCACAACUCUCUUUCCCUCCAACCACAACCUUACAGGAGAGACUCGAGAGAGCUUAAGCUUGACACCAAAGUCCCUAAUUUUCUGGGAAGGCUCAAUGAAAGUUCUCCCAACAUAAUGUGACCUUAUCAACCCUUGUUGAAAUGGCACCCUGGCUUUCGCAGCGUACUCAAGUGCAGCCACCACUCCAGAAUCUGGUACUGCAAUCACAACUUCACACUCAACAGGAGCCUCGGUAGCAAGUACUUCCCCAAAAUGAUACCUCGACUCAUAAACAGACCUACCAAAAACAACAGAAUUGGGCAAAGCAAAAUAAAUAUGCUCAAAGAUGCACUGCUUAGGUUCAGGGUGAGGCAUCAAACAAAGUGAUUGAACCCCAUCUUUAUCCACCAUCAAAACUUCACCGGGAUAUACCUCUCUCUCUCUCUCUCUCUCGUAAGUGGCCUCAAUCAAAUAGUGCACAAGUCUCUGACGCAAAAACCAGAGCACUAUUACUCCUCCUACCCAUCACCAACGGCAUAAACCCAUACGGGUCACGGACUGCAACAAACUUAUCCUCAGUAACAAACACCAUUGAAUAAGCACCCUCAAGCUUCUCACAAACAUCCACAAUCCUCAAAAAGAACGGCCUAGCUUUCGAUAUCGGAAUCAAAUGGAGAACAACCACAGUAUCAGAACUAGUAUUAAAAAUGGACCCAUUAUCUUCAAGCUUAGCCCUCAAAGUGUUAUAAUUAACUAAUGUGGAACACCAACAGAACCAAACCUGUACCCAGCAACAAAAGGCUGCACAUUCUUAAGCAUAGAACUACCCGCAGUCGAAUAUCUAACAUGACCAAUGGCCAUAUCACCCGGCAAUUGAUCAAGUUUAGACUGAUUAAACACAUCAGGGACUAAACCAACACCAGUAAUAGACUGAAGAACUUUCACAGCAACUAUACCUGCACCUUCUUGGCCGCGAUGCUGCAUCGCGUGUAGCACCAAAUAGCACAAACGGGAGGCCUCUGGGUCACCAUAGAUGCCCACAACACCACACUCCUCACGGGGCUUAUCGUCGUCGUCAUCAUCAAAACUGCCAAAACCGUCAUCUGGGUAUUCUUUAUUUGUGGUGAAAAACUCAGAGAUGGGGUUUUUUGAUAGAACAGUGAAGUUAUUUUUGUGGAUUAAAGAUUGUUGUUUCUGAGGGAAAAAAGGGUUUUUUUGCAGGGUUUUGGAGAAAAGAGAAACAUGGGUUUUUUGCGACGGCUUAGGGUUAGCAGAGGGAGAUGGGUUUGAGAGAGGGCAGAUAUUGGCGGUGCCUGUGGUUGUGGCUGCCAUUAAUGGCUGAAUUUAUUCUAUUUUAUUUUAUUUUUUGGGUUGCCUUGCUCAAAGAAAAAACAGAGGUGGUGUGUGGAGGGAGACAGUGACGAAGGGUACUUUAAGUCGAGGGGAACUUGUUCUAGGUUUUUUUCUGGAAUUGUGAGGGAAUCUGAUCCUGUGUUUGUGCAUAUGAUUCAAUUACUUAUAGCUGAUACUGUUGUGUCACCACAAAAUCUAAUUGGGAAGCUUCAGCUGUCAAUUUUUUUCCAAGGGUUAAUUAGGUAGAACUUUCAUGUCGUCGAUUUUAUUUGGAGAUUCUAAAAGUAGUUUCCAAAUAAAGAGAUGGACCAAAAUCAACAAUGUGACAAAGAUACUUUAGAUUUUUUUUACUUGUGGGACAUGAAAAUUGAUGCAUGUUCCAAUGCAUUGCUCUAUCAGAAUUGGAAUUAAACUUAGUUUGUAUUCUCCUAUUCCGAAAGCAAAACUUAUAAGUGAUAUUCUAAGAAGAAGAAAUUAAGAACCAUAACAAAUUUGAAGAUUCUAAUUUGCUAGAAAUAUUGCAAUCCAAAACUAAGAAAGUUAAAACCAAUUAUUAGAAGAAAAAAGCAAGACGGAAGCUCCCAGAAUAUUGUUAUGUGUUGUGUGUUUCAGUUUGUAUUUCCCAAUCAAUAAGAAAAAGUAAGUACACAUGUUACAAAACUUUAAUAAAAAAGAUUGGAGGUGACAAAAUCGUCAAUCUUCUAAUUAACUUUCUCUCCUUUCAAAUUUCCUGAGUUUGGUAGAGACUGCUUAAGUGGUGUAUCUGUUAUAAACAGGCAAAACUAUGUUGCAACAGUGGUAUGGUACCACUGUUGCAACCAGCCAUUGGAUGCAUAGUUGUACAGUUACAUUAGCAAGAUCUAAUGGUUGAAAGCAACAAUGGUACUGUACUACUGUUGCAACAUAGCUGGACCCAUUAUAAACACCUGAAGUCAAAGUUAAUGUUUUAAUUGUUAAGAAAAGUUAGAAGAAGAAAUUUUUGUAUAAGAGAAUUGGGUUUAAAUUUUAGAAUUCUUUGGGAGGAAAUGAGUCUAAAUUCCAAUAAUAUAAUUCAGCACUAUUUAUAUAUAUCAUUAGUUGGGUGAAAAAUUAAUUUCCCUCCUUUGAUGUGAUUUUCAUCAUUUAUUUUCAUAUGAUGGUAAUUUUUUGUUUAGAGUGAAGUUAUUGGCACCCUUUCAUUAUCCUUAUAAAAUCCUACUUCAAAUAAAAUUACACUUAAAGACAAUAGAAUUAAAUAAAAUAGUUUUUUUUUCAAACAAAUUACUCACAUUCAUAAUUUUUUUUCUUCUAAUUUUCUACAGGUUGCUUUGUAUCUAACUAAAAUCAAUUGUACAAAUUUAGAAUAAUUUAUUAUUCUUUUUAAAUUUCUUAUUGAUUAAAUAUUUGUGUGCUUAAGAUAGUUUUAAAAUUAUAAGAUAAUAUAUAUAUAAUUUAAGCCAAUGAUUAACAUUAAAAAAUUUAUCUCUCAUAAAAGUUUUUAAUUUGUGCGUAGGGUAAUAAUAAAAUUGCAAAAGAAAUGAAAAAUAGCAUAGCACUAUUUUGAGUUUAAACAAUAAAAAAUUAAAUGAAAAAUUAGAAGUGUAUUUAAAAAAAGGAUAUUUUUGAAAAUAAAUAUAAUUUAAAACAAAAAAAAAAAAGAGUUUCAUGAGGGGUGCAAUAGUUCAACUCUUUUGUUUAUAAGUUUUAAGAUGUUGGUAUCCGUAGCUUAGCUUUUCCCUAAUUAUUAUAUUAAAAUGUAACAACAAUGAUGAUAAACCCUAAUUUCAUGGAGGUCAAAGAUUUUGGUCAUGCCGCAUUAAUUAGUUCGGUCAUACUUUCUACAAAUUUAUUUACAUUUAAUAAUUUGACCAAGACUAGGUAAGGCGCCGCUUGGAGUCAUAGAAUUUUAUAUGUCAAAAGUGCGUUUCACUUCAAUUAAGCCAUAAAUGUCGUUUAAUAUGCUCAUUUUGUAUUUUUUUUUUAAAAAGUUUUAUUAGUUUUUUGGUUUUUAAAAAUAUCAUUUAUUGGAGUUGCUAAAGUUGGUGGCGAAAUUGAUGGAAUUCUAGUAUCUCAUAAGGUAUCUCAUGAUUUAGUGCUAGCUUCCAAUCAACGUAAGAACAAAGGCAAAAACGAAAGUAAUGUUGGGCUUACAAAUGAGGACGAGGAGGAAAUAGAAAUGGGCUUGGUUAUUUCCGAUGCUAAAAGGCGAAGGUCUGAAAUUGGGCUGGAGGAAAAUGUGGAUCCUCAAAGUGGCACAUCUACUAUUAUGGAAAUGGUUAUGGUACCAAAAAAGGGGUUAGCGGUGGGUCCUGUCGAUCAGGCCCACUGCUCCCAAUGAGUACCCUUAGCUGGAACUGUCGUGGGCUAGGCCACCCACGGACAGUUCAGGUUCUGACAGAGUUGGUCAAAUCUAGAAAACCUUCUUUUAUUUUUUUAAUGGAAAUUCUUUGUUACAGACAUCAAUUGGAGCAUCUUAAACAAAAAUUAGGCUUUGAAAAUUUAUUUGUGGUGGAUCGAUUGGGCCGUAGUUGUGGGUUGGCAUUACUUUGGAAAGCCAAGUUUAAUGUUAGACUUUUAAAGUUUGCAAAAAAUUUCAUUGAUAUAGCUGUGAGUGAAACGGGUUCGGAUAUGGGUGAAUGACGGUUGACUGGUUAUUAUGGGUAUCCGGAAUUUGCUCGAAGACGAGAAUCUUGGAAUCUCCUCCGCCAUCUUGCUAACAGCUCCUCUCUUCCUUGGGUUUGCUUAGGGGACUUCAAUGAUCUUCUCUCCAGUGCUGAGAAACGAGGGAAGCGAGCUCACCCCAGUUGGAAGUUUAAUGGGUUUCGUGAGGCUGUGUCUGAUGCUGGUUUGGUGGACUUGGGAAUGGAGGGAUACCAAUUCACUUGGGAGAGGUCCCGGGGUACAAAUGCGUGGGUUGAUGAGUGAUGGGUGUCGAAGCCAGCAAAAAUAAAUACCUACUCUAAAUAAAUUGUGUAUAGUAAUUGAGCAGGGUCGUGUUCACAGAGAUCGGUAAUUAUUUAAAUCCUUUUGAAACGUAAAACGUAAAAUGGGGGAAUUGUUGAUAAUAAUAAAAAUCAAAUUAAAAUAACAAGAAUGCAAAUUAAAGUUGUAAUUCAAAUUAGAGAAAGCUCUGGUUGAAGGAAUUAACUCAGCUUGAUUCGACUACUGAUCAUUGAUUCAAAUAUAGAUUAUUAUUACUUAAAAAUAGACUGGUUAUAGCUAUUGAGACCCUCUAAUAGCCAAUCUCUCCUUAACUAGUCGAUAACCAAGGUACAAUCGUUGGUUAUUUCCCUAAUCAAUAGACAACCCUAGAUACGAUCAUAGGAUUUAAUCAAUUGACAGCCUGAAAAACCAGAGAGACCCAAAUCCUAAUAAACACAUCUGAUGAUUCAUUUAAAUUAGAUUGUUUAUUCUCACAACACAACUCUCUGCUAUGUUAUUUGUCACAAACAUUAAAUUCUUCAUACGAUGAAUCCUUUAAUUGACAAUAGAUUAAGUUGAUAAUUAAAUAGUGGCCAAUUACCUAAUUAACAAACUUGAUCAUGAAAAUAAUACAGAGAAUAAACAAAUACCCAAAAAGCAAUAAAACAAUUAAAGCACAAGAAAGAUCUCACAGUAGUGAUGAAUCAAAGCUUCAUUAUCCUUCAACCAGAAAAAUAAGUUUAGUUCUUCAUAGAGAGAAGAGAAAAAUUAAAAUCUAGGGUUUCUUUCUUUUCCUCCAAUCUAAAAUCCCCUAUUUUUCACAAUAGAUUCCUCCCUUAAAUACUCUCUCUCUCUUCUCCUCUAGAAUUCUAUUUAAAAUAAAAUACUAAUAUCUGAAAUAUUAAAUUCGUAAUUACAAAAAUAACCAAAAAUACAAAACACGUUAAACUAAAAACUGCAGGUCCGCAGUUAACAGCACGCACCCACGCCUUAUCAAUAAAGUUCUUCUGAUGCUCAUAAUUUCUCUAAGAGAACAAUCAUCCUUAAACAUCAUCUUAUAGCUCAAUUUUAUCACCAAUCAAUAGAAUUGCACCUACAAAAGUAAAACACAAGUAAAUUACUAUUAUUAAGUGCAAAACAUCGAUAUUAAGGGAAGUAAACAAUGCAAAACUAGUGCAUAAAUUGCACUCUAACAAAUUCCCCCACACCAAGAUGAUGCUUGUCCUCAAGCAUAUAACUCAAGAUUAUUCCCAAAUCUCCACUCAAUUCUCAUCUCAACUCAUCCAAAAAUAAUUUUAAGCAAGCAUACCUCAAGAAAUUAAGUCGAUCAACAUUCGAGAGACAAGGAUUUUAAAGCAUAGAAUUUCAUAAGAUAGAAUAAGAACAUUCAACCACCAAGAAGAUCCAUUCAAAAUUCAAGUGCAACAAGAUUUAAUAGCCCUCUCAAUAACUUCACUCCAUGCACUCAAAGUGUUUAGAGUGUCAUUUAUCCACUCAAAUCAAAUCAAAGAAUGCUAUUACCAUAAGCUUGCUCAUAUAUCACAUCUCAAUCCACAAAACAUGAAUAAAAUGCAAAAAUCUAAGGGUCUUAAAAGGGUUGUAAUGAGGUUAAAUGGGUGAAAUGAAAAAGAAAGGUCUACGAAGGAAAAAGAGAUCAAAACGAGAAGAAUGAACUCAUUGAAUGAACUUAUGAUAUCAAAAUGCUUAUUUCUACUCAAGUCACCAAGAAUGUAAACAUUUUUUUUCUUUUUUUUAAUUUUUCUUUUUCUUCUUUUUCUUCUUUUUUUUUCUUUUUUUUCUUUUUUUUUUGUUUUUGAAUCAAACAAAAGAAACAAACCUUGCACAAUUUAAUUCAAGCAUAAUGCUUGUUGAUCUAAUUGAGAAACUUUAAUACAAGGUAGAAAAAGCAACAAAAUAUAUUCACACAAUGAGUCCAAAAAUCUCCUUAAAUCGAGGCUCAAAAGAAGAAAAAUGGUUAAGUCGACGGAGAGAAUUAGAUGGGUAAUGGUUAAGGCUCAAACAAAGGUAGCAAAUAAAGGUCUUCGGGUAGAGAAAAAAAAAUGCAAGAAUAGAGAAAUGGAAUAUGGUUUGCCCUUAUCAUUUUAAUGCAUAAAAUCCCGUAAUGUGGCUUCAACAUGCAUAACAAAGCAAGUUCUAGAAUAAACAAACUAGGAUUGAUAUUCACAUAACAAAAAAAUAAUUAGAGCAAAGUGGUUGCUCAUAGGCUCAAAUCCUUACAAAGUUGAUAAAUUUGCCAUCAAAUCAUGUACACUCUUCAAAUGAAUCAACCAUCAAUAGUGGUGUAGAAUGAGAAGAAGGUAUGAGUGAGAUAUAAAAGGAAAGGUAAAAAAAAAAAUGUGAGUAAUGAAAGAGUAUGAUAGAAAGAAAAAAAAAUAGAUGUAAAUAAUUUGAGAUAGAUGGGAAAAGAGUAGUGAGAAAGAAAAGAAAAGAAAAUAAUAAUAUAUGAAGCAUACUAACUCCAAAAUCAUUUAAGGAUGAGUAGAGUGAAAAUACUACUUCCAGACAUCAAUAAUGCAAAAAUCCCUCCCCCACACCAAGAACUUACAUUGUCCCCAAUUUAAGAUAAUCAAAGCUCACAUAAAAAUUAAAACGUAAGGAUAAAAGUUUAAGGGCAAAAAGAAACUUCCCUGAAUUGUGAGCUUUGAUCCACAUAACGUUUAUGGGCUUGGCGGAAAUGGUGGGGUAAAUCCCACACUCUUAAAGUAUGCGGCCAAAUUCUGCUCCAUCUUGUUCAGCUUGUGCUCCAUUUUCUCUAACUGAAUGCUCAAAGUGAAAUAUAAGUGUGCAACCCAAGAGGGGGGGUGAAUUGGAAAUUUAAAAAUUAACCUAGCAAAUCCACACAACAAGCAAUCUAAUGCCUUAAUAAAAAUUGAAAGCAAUAAGUUUAAUAAAGGCACAAUAAUUAAAGAGUAAGGAAGAAGAGAAAUAAACACACGAAUUUUUACGUGGUUCGGCAAUCCCCGCCUACGUCCACGCCUCCAAGCGAUCCAAGCUUGAGGAUUCCACUAUCCAAGCCUUUCCAAGGCUUCAACGAUUACAAUUGACUUCGAGGUGUCAAUAAACCUUUACAACAAAGAGAUUAUCUCCCAAUCUCUUCACUCAAGUGUCUCACACACUCAAACUCUUACAAUUGAGAUGAAUAAAUGAAGGUUACAAUGAAACUCACUCAAUGAGUAGAUAUUCAAAAAUGAAGAACAAUUAAAGACUCAAUGUUUGUAUUUCACAAGUUUGAAGGCUCAAGAUAUCACGUGUGCUUUUUGUUCUUGCUUGUUGGAGAGCUUGAAAAUGAGUUGGAUUUGAGUUUUUAUAGUUUGAGCUCGAAAACUAGCCGUUACUCACAUUUUGGUCGUAACCGGAUUACCGGUUAUGGACAUCCGAAAUUCCGCUUAAUGUUACCGUUACAGCCACAAAUUUGAAUUUCUGAACAUCCGGAUUUCCGCUUUGUCACAUCCGGAUUUCCGCUUACGCUCAGUAGUUUACUGCCCAAUAACCGGAUUUCCGUUUGUCAGGAUCCGGAAUUCCGCUUUUAAUUCGGAUAGAUUUUGCCUCGAAUCCGGACUUCCGUUUAUCAGAAUUCGGAUUUUCGCUUGCUACAGUAACUGCUACAGUGAAUAUUUUUCCAAAUUUACAGUUUGACCCCAAAACUUUAUAAAACUAUAAUGUGGCCUAAAACGUUAUGAAAGUUUGCAAAAAGGUCCAAUUUCAGAACUUUAGAAUAAUGCUUUGUCAAUCCCACAACUUUCUGAAAUUAUGACUUUGCCCAAACUUUGUGAAAUUAUAGAAUGGCCCAAAAACAUUUAAAUAGUUUCAAAUAGGUCCAAAUCCGAAAUUUAAAAUACUAUCAAAGAUUUUAAAAAUACUUUCAUUUUAGUCCAAAAUGCUUUAAUUCCAUAACAUCGUUUUCUUAUUAUAAAAGCACAAUUCAUAAAUCUUUGCUUAAUAAAUACAUGUGGUUUGUUAUCAUCAAAAUCAAUAUUUAGCCAUAUAGGCUAACACAAAGGUGGUGCGGAUGUAGAAGGAAUAGUUGGCGGGGCAGCAGUGUCGUCGUCAAACUCAUCAUCAGAGGUAGCACCACUCCUAGCAUAAAGCUUCUUCGGAAGUUGAGUGGGUCCUGGUUCCGUAAAUUGAAAUCUCCCCUCCUUGAAUUCGACCACACCUGUUCUUUCAAACACAGACAUAUCCAAAAAUUCCUUUUUGCAAGCAGGAUGCAAAUCAUUAUUGUCAGGAUCAAGCACACAUAGGUUUAUAGCUAACAUAGUAAUGUAUGGACCAAGAAAUAAAGUCCUAUACCGUUUAAGCACACUUUGAAAUUGAUCCGCUAACCAAAAACCUAAAUUAGGCCUCACAUCAUGUAACAUGCACCAGAUAAAAUAAAAUUCAGUUUUAGAGAAAAUUCAUGAGUGAUCUUUCUUGCCUAAAAAAUUAUAUGCUAAGAAUCGAUGCACGCAUUUCAAAACAGGAUCACGUAAGAAAGAACUCUUUGAUUUACUCGGGUCAUAGGCAUUGUGAUCAACAGAUAAAUUACGCCAAAGACCAUAAGGCUCAAAAUUUUCGCUAAAGUCACAAGUUGUUCCUAAAUAUUCAUCACUAGUAGAAUAAUCAUCAUCAAUGAAUCCUAAAGCUAGGUUAAAAUCCGUGAUAGAGUGUGAAAAAUUUCGUCCCAUUAACCUAAACUUAAUGACAUCUGGAGUAUGCAAAGUAAAAUUAUUCGGCAUAGUAAAUUAAAAAGUAGCAUAAAACUCCCUAAUCAACUCAACAUAACCCAAACAAUCAACAUCAACAAACUUACGCAACCCAAUCUUAUCUAUCAAAGAAUCAAAAUUAUCUUUAACAUUCAAUUUUUCAAGAGUAGGGUAAUGAAUAUACUUAGCUGGAAGUAUUUUGCGCGUGGAAAUAUCUUUGUACCUCUCUUUCUCUUGUUGAGUCGCGAAUGCGAGGCACCCUCCGAGAUUGGAUUCCGCAAGUGGCAAAACACUCAUGCCUUUUCCGUGCUUUGAUCUUUGUCUCACGGCUUGGCGUGAAUUUGAAAUUGUGUUCCAUGGAACCGUAGUGGGAGCGGCAAUCUUAUAUUUCUUUGCGAAAGGAAGAAAAUAAAUUAUUUAUAACCUCGGAAUCAUGUGCGUCAUCAGAGUUGUCUGUCUGCUCCUGGUGGUCAUCAACAGCCACCUCAUCCUCAGAAGUGUCAUGACGCUGCUCUGGUGUUGGGUUUGGUAUGUCGUCAUGCUCGUUUGAUUGCCUUGUAAUGGACGGCAUCGCGUUAAUUGAUGGUUGGUGCUGUAUAAAGUAGCAUUUAAAAUUAGUAAAUGAAAAAUAAAAAAUUUCGAUUAAAUAAAUAAUAGUACUUAUAGGAUACCGACCUUAUGAACCCAGUCUGGAAUGUGUGGCAUGUAAUCCUUUACAGUGAGCCAAUAUUUUAUGCUACUCUCCUUUGUAUUCGGCUCAAGGGUUUGUAAAACGUCCCCCUAUCAUAAAUUCAAUCCAAAAUUUUAAGUAAGUAUAUAUAACUUAAAUUUAGUAACGUUAAAAAAAUAACUAAUACAUAUUACUUACAAGACGAGAUUCGUCGUUGAAGAACGAAUAAACCUCAGCAAAGUUGAUUCUCGAAGACCCCAUGGGCUUCCAUUGCACGAUGCGGGGAAUCUUCUUCUUCGUUUUCACGACCCAUGCUGACGGCAAACCUCCGAUCGCUUUGUAAAUCCAAGCCUGCAACAACCAAAGUGAAAAACCUAUUAAAACAACUAUCAAAUAUUUAAUACUAUAAAACUUAUUAAUAAACAAAAAAACAACGCACCUGAACCCCGGACAUAUAGCCGUAAAGAUUGUACUUUUCAAUGUUAUGAUCUAGGUUUUUCAACCGAGUCGUCUUAAAUUUCUCGUCUUUCUCGAACAGUGCAUUGUCAAGACUCUCGUAUAUCAUUUCCCACGACAAAAGACCCCAUGGAUGCUUUCGGAAGUACUCUAUAUCAUCUACUUCGUUAAGCGAUGAGAAAUUGAUUUGACAGUAAUUUUUUCUUGCAUUUAGAACUAUGUCCGCAAAAUAAAAUAGUGCAAUCUUUAAUGCGUCAAUAUCGUCCAUUUCCUCGAAUUUCAACUUCUUAAAUAAUGCAUCGAAUUCCUUAAGAUUGAUCUUGCGAUGCACACCACCAAAAUACGUAUUCCGUAGCCUAUGCACCGUUUUGUUAUUUCUUAGUUCGGUAUCUACACCAUAUGAAAGUCCAAUAACCAGGCACCAUUCUACAAUUGACAAGCGAAUCAAAUGCUCACCAAUUUGAAACCAUAACUGAUCCUCACGGCUAUCUUCUUCAUGGGCCACUUGCCUCAGUAAAAAAUUGUGCAAAAUUACCCCACUAAAUGAAAAGUUUCGACACUCCAAGAAAUGCCUAAAUAUGUCCUUCUUGAACAGAUUCAAUUGCCGCUUUGUUAAUUUUUUUUCGGUGGCUUUUACGACCGAAGAUAAAUUACACAUGCUCGAAAUUCGACCCGGAAAGUGAUCGGCGUAACGAAAAUACAUCCUGCCUACUUCGAUUUCUGAUGAUUCUGAUUUUUCCAUGUAUCGGUAAUAUUUAUAACAUUAUUACAUUGCAUUUACAACAAAAAUAAAAUAAAUUGACUUGAUGGAAAAAAAAAUUAAACCCACUAUAAUUUGGUGCGACAGCACAGCAAGCGCGUGCGCGCUGUUGCCCAGCGACGGUUCUACACCAUAUGUGCAGCACCAUUCAACCCAAAACAAGUGAAAGAACAAAUCACUCCCAAAACAACAACAACCACCACAAACACCACCACCACCACCACCAUUAUUCUCAAACUACAACCACUAUUAUUCUAAAAUUUCAUUUUAAAUUAAUGAAAUAUAAAUAAAAUGGCUAACUUAGGUUUUGUUGAAGGCUGUAGAUGGUAAAUUGGACGCCGAUAAUAGAUGGAGCAGCCGCCGACGAGGGCUGAUGUUGCCGCCGACUAUAGGUGUUUCUUCGGUUUGGGAGAGAUGAGUGAAAGAGAGAUUAUUGGGGGAGAGAUGUGAGAGGGGUAUUUUGGUCUCAAAGGUUUUUUUGUGGGUAAUGUUGAUAGAAAUUAGUUUGGGGGGUUAAGAUGGAAAAACAAAAACUUUUAUAGUUAUUGGUGUAAAUUUCCCAUUGUAUGUAAUACUUUAGAUUCAGGUAAUGUAGAUUGUGUAUACAACUUUCUAAUAUUCUGUAGAUCUCAAUAUAAAUACUUGUAAUCAACAAAUACAAUAAUAAGAGUCAUCAUUCUUCAUUUUCUCUUUGUUUCUCUCAUAUUUUCUCUUCAUCCAAACACAAUAUUCUCAGUUCUUGACUUGGUAUCAGAGUUGCAGUUUAAUUGUCAUGGCUUCCUUCCUUAAGCACAAAUUAAAAAAAAAUCAGUCUCCUUCAUUCUUUACCCUCACAAAUGCGAUCAAACUGGACAGAUCUAACUAUACGAUCUGGAAAUCUUAGAUCCUCUCUUCAGUGCGUGCCAAUGGACUUGAAGGCUUUCUUAAUGGAACUAAAAUUUGUCCAGAUCAGUUACUUACUCAAGAGAUUGAAAGUUAUGGUGUGUUGAAAUUGCAGUUGGUGAAAGCUCAGCUGAUAGAUCUUAGGAGAAUCCAGCCUUUGUUGCUUGGAAAAGGUAGGAUCAAUUGUUAUUAAGUUGGCUCAUGUCCUCCAUCAGUGUUGAGAUACUUAGUCUAGUGGUAAAUUCUGAUUCUUCUCAUAAACUUUGGACUAAUCUUGAAGAAAAAAUUGGAUUAGAAACUAUGGCUAAGAAAGCACACUUAAAAAUGAUGUUAAGCAAUCUCAGAAAGGGAUCAAUGACAAUAACUGAGUAUUUUGCCAAACUUAGAGCUGUAACUAAUAAACUUGCUCUAACUGGUAGCCCUGUUUCUACUCUUGACUUUAUUAUUCAUCUAAUCUCUAGAUUAGGCCAGCCAUACUACCCUGUUGUUUUGUAUAUUGAAGCUAUUGUUUUGUAUAUUGAAGCUAAUAUGAUGAAAAUAUUCGUCAAUGAAGCAUAUUCUAUGCUUUUAACUCAUGAAGCAAGAAUUAAAGCUAAUCAUCCAAGUGCAAAUAAAGAAGCAAAGUUGAAUUAUGCUGUUAACAUAGCUGAGGCUGGACCGAGUACUAAAUAACAAUAAGAAGUCUAGUAAUCAAGCUAAUUACUAUCAGGGCAACCAAGGUAACUGGAAUAGAAAUGCUCAUUGGUGUGGUAACAAUGGAGGAAGAGGUGGCUUUGGCAGAGGUUUUUCAGGGCAAGGAAGGGGUAAUUAGAAUAAUGGUGGUCAUUGGAACAAUGGACCUUGGAGUAGUAGUCGAGGAGGCUAUAAUGGUUCUAAUAUAAACAAUAUGACAUGGUUGCUGGUGAACCUGCAAACAUAACCACAAAAGUAAGAAGGCAUAAUCUUUUUAUAAGAAACUCAAAAAUGUAUUAAUGAUGAAAAUUUUAAAACAGAUAGUGGACCAGCUGUUCACUAAGAAAACAAAAAACUGAAUAUUUGUGCUAUAAAAAGGCACACCCAAUCUCACCCCUAUAAAAGGCUAGAAUCAACUACAAAUUCCUAUCUCAAAACCCCAUCCCAGUUUAGAUGAAUGAAGAAAAAAGAUGAAUCUUGAAACUCCUUAGAAACUGAAGCCCAAAGUGAAGCAAGAAGAUGAACUCUAUCCCAAGCAAGCAAUAUGGCAUAUUUCUCCAUUAAUGGUUCAAAUAAAGUGAAUGGCUUUCUCUGAUGAAUGGGAAAUUGUCAAGAUCAAUAGUCAAACUCACGCAAAGUAAACGGACUUAAUUCUCAGAGGCUACUCAUUCUAAGUCUUAAAGAAAAAUUUUCUAAUUUCUAAAGAUUAUAUGGGGAAAAAUCAUUAUUUUUUAACAUGGAAAAUUUGAUACGGUGUUUAAUGUCUGAUCAAAAUCAUAAUAUGAGUACUAACAAAAACAUCUUUAAUCGGCAUGGUGCGAGUAAAACACCAUCACUUCAUCUUUGAUGGAAAGAUGAUAAUAUAAGGAGAUGGUGAAAUGGUUUUGGUCCAUGGCAGCUUGUAAUCAAAAGAAAACAAAAAACUACACUAUCAUUAAUGAUUACCGAAGGUACAGAAGUAUCAAAAUCGGAAAGCAAACAAUUGCAAAACACAUCAAUGACUGAAGGUUAGGUUCUAAAACUUCCGUAUUUAAUUUUCAGAGCAUGUUAUGUAUUAUUCAGAAAUAUGCUUUCACUUCAGGCACUUGACCAAGACGCAUUAAACAUAAAACGCGGCGUUUUCAUGGACUAGUACAUUCCAUGCUUCGAAAGUUUAUGUUUUAGACUGAUUGGUUUGAUACAUUAUUUGUUUAUUGCGUUUUUCUUGCUUUAAAUAUUAUGUUGGAUUGAUAAGUUUUGUACACAUUUAUAUUGCUCGCAGUAAAUAAUUUAUGACAUUUAAAAAACUAUCAACCGUCUAUCAAAAGAUUUCUACUAUAAAUAUAUAUACACAAAAAACUUUUAAUUUGGUCAAUUUGUUCUCUUAUUUAUUUUUAUUCUAUUUCUCUUUUCCUUCCCUUUCAUUUUAUUAUUUUAUGGUACAAAAUAAAAAAAUAACCUUAAAAUUUAAGGGUAAAAUACUCAUUUUACUAAAAUUCCGUUUAAUAUUAUAAAGCUGUCAAAUGUCAAUGGCAUAGUACACGAGUGAUACAAAUUAAAAACAAUAAAUUGAAAGUUUUUAUGCAUUUUCCUUUUAUUUUUUUUAUAGCCGAUUGAGAUUCCCCUUCAUUUUUUUAAAUUCAAUAGGUUUAGACCGUUUAACAAAUCUUAAAUUAAAAAAACCCGUGGUGUAAUAACAAACUCACAUCAAACCCUGUCCACUGUCAUCCCUAAUUAUAUUUACCACUUCAUACUCACAGUGAUAAUAACUGUGUAUCACAAUUGAUUUUGCAUACGGGUAAAAGUUCCAAGUCCGGAUAUUUAGUUAAUGAAAUUUUAUGAAAAGGGCAUGAAAGAAAAUAAGAAAUUAAAUAAUACAGGAGGUAUUAAUCAUUACAUCUUUAGUUAAUGAAAAUUGAUGAAAAUAUUUCUGCAGACGUGAGCCGUAAUUAUAUUACCGUUAAGAAUGAAGCAGAAGAGUUUCCCCAAACAAGCUAAAACACAGCACUUCAAUUUAAAGAAUUUUUAUAUCACAGUACCAGGGCAAAAAGUUUAAUGCAACAACAUACAUUAAGUUAAUUCCAUAAUCUAUCCCCAAAGAAAGACAAACACAAGCUUAUAAGAUUAAAACUUUGGAAAACAUUAAAGAGUCAGACAAAAUUGUGUAAUCUUCAGAGUUUGGAGCCUAGUUCAUCCAGGAAAGCAAAAGAAAUAAUAAUAAUAAUAAUAAUAAUAAUAGUAGUAGUGGUUUGAUCUCAAAAGGUGGCAUCAAAGUGGUCACUUUGAGGUAUUGGAAGCAAUUACGUCUUCAACUUUGUCCUGAUUUCGAAGUCCCUUAACCCAUCCGCCAUCAAUGGAUUGAAUGCUUCCAUUCAACCCAUCAUCAACAAAAUCACCAACCCGUUUCACCUUCAUCUCCUUGGGCUUAACAGGGUACUUUCCACAGAAGCAAGGAAAACAAAAAUUCUGAGAAUCAUCGCCUAACAACUAGUUCAAGCUGUAAAUCGGCAGAAAAGCAAGCGAAUCACACCCAAUAAACUCGCUGAUUUCCUCAACGCUCAUCCUGUUGGAAAUCAACUCCUAAGUACUUGUCUGCUCUGUAGUAACAAGAAGCUAUGAUUGGUGGGCUUGCAAUUCUCAUGUGAACCUCUUUAGCUCCAGCCUCCUUAAGCAACCUAACAAUUUUUGAUGAAGUUGUUUCUCACACUAUCGAAUCAUCCACAACCACAACUCUCUUUCCCUCCAACCACAACCUUACAGGAGAGAGCUUAAGCUUGACACCAAAGUCCCUAAUUUUCUGGGAAGGCUCAAUGAAAGUUCUCCCAACAUCAUGUGACCUUAUCAACCCUUGUUGAAAUGGCACCCCGGCUUUCGCAGCGUACUCAAGUGCAGCCACCACUCCAGAAUCUGGUACUGCAAUCACGACAUCACACUCAACUGGAGCCUCGGUAGCAACUACUUCCCCAAAAUGAUACCUCGACUCAUAAACAGACCUUCCAAAAACAACAGAAUUAGGCAAAGCAAAAUAAAUAUGCUCAAAGAUGCACUGCUUAGGUUCAGGGUGAGGCAUCAAACAAGGUGAUUGAACCCCAUCUUCAUCCACCAUCAAAACUUCACCGGGAUAUACCUCUCUCUCUCUCUCUCUCUCUCUCUCGUAUGUGGCCUCAAUCAAAUAGUGCACAAGUCUCUGAUGCAAAACCAGAGCACCAUUACUCCUCCCACCCAUCACCAAUGGCAUAAACCCAUACGGGUCACGAACCGCAACAAGCUUAUCCUCAGUAACUUAUCUCAUUUAUGACUUAUUGUUGCAUUUAAGUGAUUUUGCAAAAAUUAUUUUGCAAUAAUAUUAUUUUUUUGACGAGUAAGUUUGAAGUAAAUAAUACAUAUGGCAAGUGUGAGGUUUGUUAUUGCAUAUAUUUUGUGGAUCCAUUUUAAAGCCAAAAAAAAGGCAUUUUGAUUCAUUCUGAUUCCAGAUAAUUUCAAGCCAUAUGUCAUUAUUGGGAUAAAAAUAAAGUAAAAUGGUUAAAACUAUUUUUAUGUAAUUUAUAAAAAUUAAUGAAGCAGCUACAAAAUUUUUUAAACGAAAAACAAUUGAAAUGUGUGUGGAAAAAGAAGAAAAAAAAUAAGGCAUUUAAAUAUCUUCUUAAAAAAUACGAUUGAGUAAAAUCAUUUUAACAGAAUGCUCUUCCAAAUGCAAUUCCACAUUAUUUUUAUUACAUUGGGAUAUUCCAAAAUUGGCACAACUCAUUAAGAAUUCGGCAACUCAAAUUUUAUUUAUCUCUCUUUGCAUUUGACAAAUUAAAAAGAAAAAAAAAUUCAUAUGUCUUCUGUUCAAAAGAAACCUUGGUAAAUAUUGUAAAACAAAUUACCAAUUUUUUUAAAUUUAUGCCAUUAUAUCGUCGCUAUUUUCUCGCCCACUUUCUUAAAAUACAAUCAAUAUUUAUUGAUGGGUUGCGUUCCAGAGUAAGCACCAAUUCAGCAAAAUGGUUUUAUAGCAGAAAAAGCACUUGUAAGACAUUCAGAACACAUUUUUCAAUUUUGUCUUUUGAAAAUGAGUCUUGAGUUUCCGCAAGCCAAGUAGAAUGGCUAAAAAAUGUAUGGUAUCAAAGAAAGAGAAACACACACACACACACAGAGAUUAGUGGGGAGAUAUAUAUAUGUGUGUAAUUUGUAUAUAUAUCCCCAUUAAUUGUUGAUAGUCCAACGGGUGAGUAUAUGCAAAAGUAAAAAAUUGGCUGUCCUUUAAGACAAGAUUGACUGUCACAUGAAAAUGUUAGCAAACUUGCCACACAACAAAAAUAAAGAUUCAAAGAACAACUUUAUGGUCCCCUUUCUGUCCAAACGUAUGUGAUCGAAAUUAGUGUAAACGACACUUGAAAUAUAUAUGUAGAUCCUCACACAAUUGAUUAAAUAUUUAUAGUAGGAUGAAGUGAUAAAUAGUUUCACAAAAUUAUUGGAAUUAAUUAUUUAAUACAUGAGAUCUAUCUCAUUAAGUAUAAAAGAUUGAGUGCUGCUUCAAAAGCAUGACGUUGCUGGCAACAAAUUUAACACAAAAAUUUAAUUAAUUAUCCUAGUUGAGAUAAUAAAAUCUCGUGUUGAAAACAAAAGGUUUGAGGUUCAAACCUUCUCAUUCAAAAAAAUCAAGUCAAAAUAUUACAUCUUCCAGCACAUAUCAAAGAUUUUUUCAAAGGCAGACUGAUAAUUCAGGGUAAAAAAAAACAAAAAAACAAAAGGAAUAUAUGCUAUUCAAGACAGGUAUACCUUGGACAUGAAGUCUGAAUCCAAAACAUGAAGCACCUAGCUGAUCUUUCACUUUCCAAAACCCAACAAAAUCUUUGUCAAAAUAUAUGAUCUAGUCCCAUAUUAAGCACAUUCAUAGCCAUAUCACCAGGUUCAAAAUAUUUUCCCCAAAAAGAGAUAGAGAUUCCAUUGAAGUUGAGUUGUGACUGUCCCAACGUUUUGUAAUUAUAUGGUUCAGGAUACCAUGCCUAUGACUCUUUUUUUUUUUUUUUUUCUGUUUCCAUGUUUCGAAGUCUAUCAAAUGAAAAUGUAAUUAUAUGGUUCAGGAUACCAAUAUGCCGGAGCUGCAAAGGUUGACUUCCACUAUGCUAUCAAUGUCUAUACUUUCUAUUGAAUUUCCUUGUUUUUUUUUUAAAUUGCAAGAUUUCUUUUUGGAAAUCUUUGACACAUUUUAUGUAAGAUACCAUAAAGCCAAAUACAACCUUUUUUAUUCUCAGCAGCAAUUUUUUUUUUCCUUUUAAAAAAAGGAAGCCAUAUAAAUAAUGCUUAAAACAUUAUUUGCAACAAGGAACAAUUAUUUCAUGCUUUCAUGUAUUAGAAACUUUCCAAAAAAGCUAGCAAGAAAAUGAAAUGGAACUUUACCUAGUCACAGAAUAUUGCUGUUAGCCCAAUUAUUGCUGUUAGCCCAAUUGUUAUGAAGUGGCUUCUGCAUCAGAAGAUUCCAGCUCCCACCAAGCAUUGUUAUCUCUCUUCUGAAUACAAUCUGCAUCGCUGGGCAUGAGUUAUAUCAUUAAUGUCUGCAUCCUCACUUACAUCAUCCCAAUCAAGUGCUUUUUCUCCACAUUUGGAUUAUAAGUCCAAUCUCUUCAAAACAUCCUAGUCCUUCCAUCACAACUGAUACGACUUCCUUCCUAAUUACUUUCCCAUUAAUAAAUCGCUCCAAGAAAAAAAAGCAUUAGCAAUUCUCUUCAACGCCCCAUCACUCAUAUCCCCCACAACAACCAUCUUCAGCCACCUCAACGUUGCCUCUUGAAAGAUCUCCACAAAAUCCGAAUCAUCCGACACAACCACCAAACACCCAAACCUUCUUUUGUCCACCAUAGCCACCAUAUAAUUUCUCAACAAAAUAUCGGCAUCUUGUGGCUUAACUAACACCAUCCUGACCCAAAACCAUGCUCUUUUUAACUCAUCUGCAAAACCAUAACCCACUUUUGGAGUCAAAAUUGCGCUUGCAGCCGUUUUAUUUUUUUCCAUCUUUAUUGAAUAGUUGCCAACCAAAAGCACUCUCACCUGCCCUCUAGCUGAUUCUAUUUGAUUCGACCUUUUCUUUUGUUCACCCUCAUGAAUUUGCCUAAAAUGAUUAACAAGUUUGUCAUUAUUAUAAAAUCUCCUUCCACAAUCACCAAUACAUACGGCUUAGCAUGCCUAAUUACACCCCUGAUUUCUAAUUGGUUAAACAAUUCUCUUUCUUUCUUUGCUCUCUUACAACUUGAGGCACAUAACUAAACGCGUGGCUAUUAGCAUUUGCCACCAUGCAUUUAACAACCCCAAAUGAAGAUAUUAAUUUUUUUAGUUUAAUUGCUGCUUCAAAAUGGGAUACUGAAUUUGGAUUUUGUUAUCCAAAUACCAAAAAUUUCCCAUAUUGUGCUGGACAGUUUUUGGUUCUAAAGUUGAUGACUGGUUUUGCGAAUCAGGCUUUAAAUGAGAACUUCUAAACAAUAAGACAAAUGAGUUUUGAGUUUCUAAUCUUGUAAACUUUGUUCUAUUGUAUAAGUUAUGAAAUCGCUGAAACAUCACUACAGCUACAGGUCUUUAUGUGUCAAUGAACUGCAGAAGCUGAUGAUCUACCUGUAGCAUACUUUUAUUGCCCCUGCCGUUCUAGGAAGACAAACAAGUUCAAGAACUACUUCUGGACCAAACUCAUAAUAUUGCCAUUGCUUUGUGCCAAUCUGAGAGGGAAAGCAUAUUGAAGUUCCUAAAUAAGGCAAAUCAUGAUUUGACAGAAGUACCACUAUGAGGAACAAUUGAUUUCAGGAAAGCACUAAAAUAUGACAUAAUCUCCCCCUGAUGGUCUAAAGUAGUCAAGAAAUGAUAUCAACCAAGUAAAAACACAUAAACUAGUUGAGAUACAAAGUUAUUGUAAAAGUCAAUUUUGAUCACAAAUCCAUUAAAAUUAAAAGACAUCAGAAACAUAGAGAACAUUAUAAUUUAGGACUCAGCUAAGUCGCAGAUUCUGUAACUAACAGCUAAGUCCACAUUGGCCUUGCAUCAACUGAGUUUGGGUUGCUUUUCAUCUCUCCUUCAACGCGUGGAAGCGCCCCAUUUGCUGUGUUAUACAGAGUCGGUACCGUAGCGAGCUCCUAUAAUUUAAGUUUGAUCACUGUAGACAAUAGUCUGCCUCUGCUCAAAAGCUAUGCUGCAAGAUAUAACGUCUUUACAAUGUUAUACUUUCUAAAAGUAAUAAGAAAUGAAACCAAGGGGUAAACCGAACACCAAAAGAAAUUUAGUCGGCCAACUACAUUAUGUUCCCACACAGUCCACUAAUUAAGUUAAUAAUUAAAGGGAAUCAAAAUCUAAUAAAUCUCAUCUUCAAGCAGAAUACAAACACACCGAGAUUAAAAAUCACAAAAUCAUAAAAAGAAGCUGACUUUAAAAGCUCAAAUAUACGUUCAUCAGCCUCUCAACUUAUAUCUAAGAACAAAUGCCUGCAGCUUGUGAAGACAUAGAUAAUUGAAGCUGAUGAGGCAUAUUUAACAGAUGAUAAUCAAAACUCGUGUGAUUAAAAUUAUAAUUCAAUAAUCGAGCACAUAAAACAAGAAGUAACUAGUUGUAUACAUACCAAACAACAUUCUGAAGUUAAGGCGUAAAACCACUAGUGUAAACAAGCGCUAGUGUCAAGAACUAUUGUUAAUAACUCAAAAACCACUAGUGUCAAGAACUAGACUAAUAAGUGAAACCCAUAAUCAAACACAACUACAUCAAAAUCUCUGAAAAUUGAGGUCUAAACAUUGAAAACAAUUAGACAUAUAUAACAGUCAAUCGAAACAAAGCCUCAAAAUAAUAAUGAACUACAAUAAGACAGAACCUAAAUUGUAAACAAGCGCAUACCCAGUAACAAUAAUCAAGUAACAAGUCAAAACCAGAAUCAAACGUAGAAUUUUGAAAUCCAUACGAACUCUAACGUAUUAGAAUGAAAGAAUAAUGACGAUCGAUAAACUAGACUCAAACAAAAACAUGCCCAGUUAAAAAACGAAGGUAAAUAAAUAAAAAUGGUAUAAAAUUGCGAAAAAAAUUAAUGAAAUGAAGAGAAAAUCACAGGAAUCCUAUGAAGAGGAAGGUAAACAAAACCUUCGGGAGCCGAGAAGAUGCCUUUUUUUGUUCACUUUUGUGCCUAUACAUACAUUUUUUUUUUUGUAAUUUUGAAGAAAGUAUUGGUUAAAUAUUGUCAGAACGAAAUAUUAAUAGAUGCUGGCAAUUUCAACAAGGACAAUCUUCGAUUCAAAUGUACCCUUAUGAUAAAGAAAAAGCCAGCUUGUCUAAAUUUUGAGCAUCACAUUACAAGAUUUAGGUGUAUGUUUAACUAUGCAAAAUGAAACAUCUAUUAAUUGUAAGACCAUUGACCUCUGGAACCAGACAACCAGACUCUUUCCUACUAGACAACCUUCCAUUGAUCAGACUAAUAAUAUUUACUAAAUCAAGUUCUACAGUUAAUGAAGUUGGACCAAAGGCAAUUGUUAGCUUAAUGUCAUAGGCCACUCAAAUUUCUCGUAAUUGGAGGAUAAUUUUGUGCACAUGAGUUCGCUUAGCAAAAGUCCGCCUAGGCGUGGAGUGCGCUUAAAGGCGGGAUGCACUUAGAAGUGGGAUGCACUUAGCAAAUCAUUCAAGCCCAACCCAAGAUCUAAAACUCUAUGCAAAUUAUAAAUAAGCUAAAAGUUUCUAUGUUUCUCCACAUAGUUCCCUAGGAUAUUUAUGAAAGUUGCUAGGAAGUUUCCUCCCCUAGAACUCUAAUACCUAUAAAUAGGGGUGGGCCCCCUCAUUUGCCCACCAACCAUACCACACACACAAACACUCCAGCACACACACAAACACUCCAGCACACACACAAGCUCUCUAACUUUUGUAAAAAGCUCUCUUGUAUAUUCUCUCUUUGAGAGUAAUGAAAUCAUAUUCAGCCAUAUUGCUCUACUUCUCUCUACCAUUUUCCGCAAGUGUUCUUGCUUUGCUAGUUUGAGGAGUGUUCUAGGCUUGCUUAGCAACUUGUUUGCUACAAGGACAUCUUGGUCACAAAACAUGGACAUGCAAGGAAAAAAAAAAGAUAUUGAUAUGUUCUAAAAAUAAAACGCAUUCUUCUACAGUGAACCAAAAAAUUUAGGCUAAUGGUAGCAAGUGAAGGAAUUGUGAUUUCACGUGCAUUUUGUUGACAUGAAGGUAAAGAGCUUUUUUAUAGUUUAUAUUGUUUAAUAUAACAUUUGAAUUGCAAAAUAGGGGUACAAAAUGGAUACACGAAGUGAUAAAACUAAGUUGAUUAUGAUAAAUAUUGAAUUAUAAGAUUUAGGUUUAAUCAUAAAGACAUAAGUGGCGCACAAAGUCACGAAUUAUCAUCCAUGAUGUAAGUUCAAACAACUGCAUAAUAAGUUGCCCCAAGCUAAACUAUUAAUCUAGUAACUAUUCUAGUCGAUGUGGGAUAAUUUUCAUAUCACCUCUAUCACGUGCAAGCCGAAUUUGUUGCUUGGUCCUUACAUGUGGUAAGGUAAUAUGAAUCCACUUGUGCAUAAAUUUGGCUCCGAUAUUAUAUAGAAGCCUAUGACCCAAAAUUAUACUUAAAGGUUAUUUCAAGAUUUGAGGGUUGCCUCAAGCUAAUAUUAUUAUUAGCCUGGUAACCCUUUUUUUUGUUGAUAUGUGAUAUUUUCCCUAUAACUUUUAUUAAUCUUUAUGCUUAUGUUUUGUCAUUUAUCCCAAAAUAUAACAUUAACAAAAGUUCCAAAAUUUCCUUCAAGAGAUAUAUUUGAGAAAAGUAAUUUGUGCAAUAACUUUGUGAAUUGAUGAGCAAAUUCAGAGAAAAGAAUAUAUGUGCCAAACGUAACGUUUAUUAUUGUGUUUAUUUGUAGAGCUAUUUAAAGCCCAAAAAAAAAAGCACGGGUCCACUAUUAUUUCAAAUAAGUUCAAGCCCUAUGUCAUUAUUGGUACAAAAAUGUAUCAGAAAGGUUAAAAAAAAUUUUUAUUUAACUUAUAAACUUAGGAAAUUAUCAACUGUCUGCCCUUAAAUUGCACUAUUAUAAAAAAUAUUACAAUAUUUUCAGGUUGUAUCUACCAUAAAUUUACAAUUGCAUCAUUUAUCCACCAAAUCAUUAACUUCGUUAAAAAGUGAUAGACGUCACAAGGGUAGUUCAGACAUUUAACACACAAAAAUAAAAGAGAAAUUAUCUAAGCUUACCAUGUUAUCAAAAUUGCUACAAAAUUUUAAAUUUGUUCAAUUUUUCAAUCUAAGUUUAUGACCUCCAAGAUAUUAAUUGCAGUUUGUAAUUAAUGAGUUCAUAAGGAUAAUUUAGACACUCAAUAUGCAAAAUAAAAAAGGAAAAUUAUCAUUUGUAUACCUUAAAGUUGCGCUUUUAUAAAAAAUAUUACAGCACUUUAAUGGUGUAUCAAUCGUCCACCUUAAAUUGGCAAAACUUAUCUACCGACCACUAAACCAUUAGCUGCCGUUUGAAAGUUAACGGAACUGAAGCGAAUUGACGAUUUUACCCUUGAAAAUUAUCACUUGUAUACCCUUAAAAUCUCUUAUUAUCAAUUAUAUACUCUUAAAUUAUCACUUGUAUCUAUGAAAAGACUAGAUUAACCCUUUGACGUCAUCAUGUUUAAACGGCAACUAAUGGUUUGCUGAACGACAAAUACAUUUUGUCAAUUUAGGGUGGACGACUGAUAUACCCUGAAAGUAUUGUAGUAAAUUUGAUAACGGAGUAAACUAAGGGUAUACAAUUGAUAAUUUCACAAUAAAAAAUAAAAUAAUGGCUUAAAUUAAAACAAAAAACUUGAUAUUCAAUUAAAUACACAUAAACUCUAUUUUUUUCUUAAUUAAAAAUAUUCUAAUUUAGUUUCUCAAUUUAUCAUCAUAAAUUUACAUUAAUAAACUAAAUCCACAAAUUACCCUAAACCCUAAUUCAUAAAUGCCCAAUCAAUCUAAUACUUUAAUUCGAUUUCAUAAUUAAAAAAGCUAAAUUUAUUAUAUUAGUUAUGGUGCAAAGUAAAAAAUGCCCUUAAAUUCAAGGGUAAAAUAACAUUUUAUUUAAAUUCUAUAAAUUAUUCUAACAAUGUUAACAUUUUGGUGGACGGUUAAUAUAAGUUACAAACUUAAAAUAGAAAAUCAAAUAAAUUCAAAAUUUCAAACUAUUUAGAGGAAAUUUAGGAUAUAUGGUUAAUAAUUUUCCCAUGUCUUUUUACAUUGGUUGAUAUAAGCUACAAACUUAAAAUAGAAAAUCAAAUAAAUUUAUAUUUUCAAACUAUUUAGGGCAAACUUAGGGUAUAUGGUUAAUAAUUUUCAUUUGUCUUUUUAUGUUAAAUUGAAUUUCAAAGGUAAAAUGAUCAAUUUAUUAUAAUUCUGUUAAUUGUUUAGUGGAAGCAAACGAUAUAAUGGACGAAUGAUAUAAAUUGUAAAAUUAAGGUGCAUGAAUGAUACAACUUUAAAAUAUUGUAGUAAUUUUAAUAAUAAAACAAUUUAAGGGUAAUGAUACAACUUUAAAAUAUUGUAGUAAUUUUAAUAAUAAAACAAUUUAAGGGUCGAUUGGCAAUAAUUUAAACUUUAAUGAAGCAACUAAAAAAUUUUUUAACAAAAGAAAAAUAAUUGAAAUGCUUUAAGAAAAAUAAAGGAAAUUAAAUAUCUUUAUAAAAAGGCCAUCAAUUUAGCCAGCAAUUUUGUCAAAAUUUCAACAAUUGAAGAAACAAUGAUCACAAACGGAACAUGUGAAUUUUGAAGUUGAAUAAAUCUUGAGAUACAUACAACAAAGCCUUGAAACUUUAGUCUUCACAAUUUGAGCACGCACUAAAUAUUAAACAAGUAUAGAACAAAGCUUAUUUUUAGCUUCUUGUGCGAACUGAACGCGCUGAAAUGUGUGUUUUUUUUUUGGAUUUUUGGAAUUUUUUAAAUUCAUUUAUGUUCGCUGCCAUCUUUUUCUUCGCUGGCGUCUUCCUCCUCUGUAGUUUGCUGUGCCUAUAUAUCCAACCAAUAAAUUGGGCAUUAAAUGCGAAUGAAUGAUGAAUAAAAUGAUUAAAAAAAAACAAACAGAGAAAAUUAUAAUAUAACACAUAUAUUGAAAGAGAAAUUUUGAUUUUAGGAUAGAUCAAUUAGCUAUCACAAACGAAAAUAUUAACCAACUAUGUAUAGAGUCAAUUAAUUUAAAGUUCUCAAGAAUUACCUCUGCUCCAGAAUUCUCGGAAUCAUCUUCUCCUUCUGAACUUGGACGAAGCUUGGGACAAUUACUAACAAAUACAGACUCGGCAGAUGGAAAUGGGAUCUGAUAACCCGCAGGCCAAAAGUUGGUGAGGUUUGGUAAGUCUUCCAGUCUCAAGUACCGAAGUUCAUUCAUAACAAUUUCAUUGUAAUCCGUGACGUCUGCUCCAUCUUUAUGCCAGAAUACUUCUUCUAAUUCAUCAUUACCUAUUAUGUAUAGGCGCGACAGUUUUUGAAGACUUGGAGCUACGCUGAUAUGAAAUAGAUGCUUGAGUUUGAGGCAAUAACUGACAAUGAUGAUUGUGAGUUUUGGGAAACAUACAGGUUGGAGAUGAUCCUCAUCCUCAUCAAUGAUUUGCUCUAAUCCCAAGCAGUUAACAAUACCUAACAUCUCCAAUUGCAACAGAUUUCGAGCAAGUGUUGAUGAGAAGAGACGUCUCAGCAUAGUGCACCCCUUUACAGUUAAUCCAGUAAGAUUUUGCAGGCUAAAAUUAUGCGCGGGACCUUCAUGAUAUAAUAAUACUUGCAGUUCUGGAAGAUCUUCCAAAUGCAACGACUUCAAACAUGGGAAUAGUUUGUUUUCUUGUCCCUCAGCGAUAAUAGCUUCCACUUGAAAUACCACCUGUACUCCAAGUUCUCUAAUAUCCAAUCCUUCCAAAUUUUUUAAUCCGUGCUUCAACAGUGCUGGAAUCGUGUCACUCAAAUGGGAACAAUUGGCCACAUCUAGAGUAUUUAAGUUCUGAGACAAAUAAAUAAAUAACUUGAUGCAAUUAAAAUCUAUUAGCAGCUAGGAUUAUCACAUGAUAAGUGAUGAACACCGCAAAAAUAUCAUAAUACAUAUGUAAACUAAUAAAAUAAUUAAAAAGUAAUGGAUUUUUAAAAAAAAAUUGAAAUUAGUUAAAAGAGAUCAUGUGAAGUGUAUAAAUGUGACAUUAUAUUGUUUGAGAAAAAUUAGUAUUCUAUUAAUUUCUAUCGAUUGAUCAACUAAUUAAUUGAAUUUGAGUAAUAUAAUAUACACUUUAGUAGUGUUUGCAUCAAUUCUUUCUACAGCGAAAUGAGAUAUGACUUUCAUUUGAAGAAUGAUUUUAGGCUCUAAAAUAAAGAAAUUUCCUUAAGAUAUUUGAGCAUUAUUAUUAUCAUCACCACAUCCACGAUCAUCAUCAUCUCCAUAGGACCAAAUAAUUAAUGGCUGAUCAUAAAAUUUAUUGCUAAACUAUUAUUUCGAGUAAAAUUGAAGGAAAAGAAAAAACAUAAACACAAACGAACAUACCUCUCCAAGAUACUGCAAAUUGGCUUCAAGUUCAGUAUUGUUGACAGUCAAGUUGGGACAUUUAUGAAGGUCUAACUGUUCCAAUGCUGGCCAAAUUGAACAAUAAUUUUCUGAACAGAAGCUGACGAGUUCUGGGAGAUUUCGAAGUGUUAAUUCUCUUAACAAAGGGAGGGCGAGCAUCGUAUUUCCAUCUCCGACACUUAUUUCCCCUUCAUUGUGAUCAAACUUUGCUUCGACAAUACAUUCUAGCCUGUCGCAAUAAGUCACACUGAGACAUUUAAGCUGCUCCAAACUUCGGGCUUGUGACAACGUGAAGAUAUAUGUCAACUUGUUGCACCUUUGCAAAUUCAAUUCUGUGAGAGUUUGGAGGCUGAUCACAUGUUGGGCGGGCGUCUUCCAUAUCCACUUCAGUUCUGGUAAUUCCUGCAUAAAUAACUCUGCUAAUCUUGAGAGCACCACAGGAUUCCCACUCUUUCCAUGUGGCAACUUAGAGGCGCCCAUUAUGCAUUCUAAAUCCUCACAUUGUUUGACAAAUAGACGAGUCAACUCAUUUAAGCCCCUUUCAUCUAUGCUUGGCACAAUAUUAUGACAACCUAUUAACCCCCUCAAACGAAGAAAUUUCAGAUUUUGAUACAAUGCUGAAAAAAUAACGAGCGAGGUCGCUUCAUGAGGGUAAUUCUCAAUGAUUAAGCUCCUUGUUUCAUCACCAUGUUCCAUGUCAUGAGCAGAUAAUUGACCAUUACUGAUGACGUACCUUUGCAUUUUCGGGAAUGUAAAGUCUUUUGGAAGACAUAUAACUUGGGAGUUCAACUCAGCAAGCCUAGCAUUACUUUCUUCUGAACUCAUCCCUUCAACCUCCCAAUUUUUUAUCCGACCAUAAAAUUCUUCCAAUUGAGGAAAUUUUUUUAUCCCAAUGGGAGAAACAGAACCGGUAUCAAUAUAUAGAAGUUUCAAUCUACGAAGUUCAUCCGACAAUUCUUCAAGAAUUUUAAUGGGAGACUUCUCGAGAAAAAGAAGUUCAAGCCUCUUCAACUUUCCAAGGAAAGACGCGUCACUCACCUCACAUCGAAUCAAUUGCAGAACCUGGAGGUUGGUGAGGAUCUGAAGCGAUUUAAGUGAAAGAACUCCACCUAUUAUAGUGACAACUUUCAAUGCUGGCAUCCCUUCAAAAAAAUGUUCUGGAACUUGCAAUCGGUGGUCGUAUUCAGGAUUCUCCAAUCGCAAAAUAUGAAGGUUAGGGCAUACCAAACCACUAGGAAGCUCUUCUUUUUUAUUUCCCACCAAAGAAAUUCCUCUGUAUUGUUCCAGGCCUUCUUUCAUUGCCCGUUCAGCCAAUCCAAUGCCAACUUUACUAAAAAAUUUCUUCUCCUCUAGAACUAUUGAGCCUAUCCAUAUGGCUACAUCACGAACUAUGUCAUGCAUUUUCACAGAUCUGUCAUUACCAUUGUCUAACAGCAGUGACGCAGCUUUGAGCGCGUUAAUCGUUCCAUACAGUCGGCUUCUGGCGUUUUCUAUUGACGGAUCACAUUGAUACCAAAUAACCCCCACUGCGUAUCCAACCAAAUCCUCCAAAUAAAUCUCAUAAUCUUCUGGAAACAGAGAACACAACAAGAAGCAUAACUUGGACUCCUCACUAUUUAAAUUGUCGUAACUGAAUUUGAGACAACCGUAAACGUCUUGGUCAUCCUUGUCAAUACCUUCUAUUGCAUAGAGUUUUGCUUCCCUUAGGUUAUAUAGUGCUAGAUUCCAAUCAUCAAAUCCUUUUUCUAUUAGUGCACUUCCAACAGCUUCAAUAGCUAAAGGCAGCCCCUUACAUUCGUCAGCAACUUGUUCUGGAACACGAUCCAAGGAGGAGUCGUUUACAUUAAUACCGGCAUUCAUUUUUAGGAGAGUCAAUCCUUCUUCUGGCGUUAGUGUACUAAGUUGAAUCUGUGUGUCACAACCCAAAGAAUCACAAACUGACUUUUUGCGAGUGGUUAGAAGGAUUUUGCAACAAUUAUCUCUACCACCGACGGUAAUACCUAAUUUUUUCUCCAAGUCGAGCUCUUUCCAGACAUCAUCGAUGAUUAUGAGGAUCUUGGUGCUUUUACUGUCAGAAAACAUCGAGCGCAAUCGGUCUGCUCCAUGUUUUUCAUCUUUCUGUUUUAAUUCCCAACCUAAUGAAUUUGCCAGCUCGUUUUGAACAUUUAUUAUGCUUGGAUCCUGAGAUACAGUGGCUAUCCCCACCAUAUCGAAAAUGUUUUUUUCCCGAAGUUGAUUGCCCACAAAUUUUGCCAGGGUUGUCUUUCCUACACCACCGAGACCAUGCAAUCCCACCAUCUUUGUGCUCUCUUUUUUCAGUGCGUCAAUGAUCUGAUUGCAAGCUGAUUCUGUGGUCUCGAAAAUAGAAGUAAAAUGACUUGGCAAACUUAAUUCUCUUUCUAAUGGUAGAGGUUUAGGAAAGGCAACUGUGUUGAAUUGGCUGCAGUCUUGUAGCAGAUCAGACAACUUGCUAGUCUUCUGUGAUGCUUUUCUACCCAGCCAAUAUCGGCAACACCAAUUAGGACACAAUCCAUGAAGACUACUAUCCUUUUCAUCUAUCUCUGCUUGCAACUUCCAAACAUCGUCCAAUUCUUCGACUCCAUUAUUCAGCCACUCCAUUACAUUUCCAUUGACUACUAUGUCGGGGCAUUUUCGUAGCUCAUCGUAUAUUCUUGUUUUGAUGCCAUCUCGUGCCUUCUUCAACUUAGUUUCUUUAUCCUUAAGUUCUUUAACAAUGCUGUUGAAACAGAACAUAUAGCGAGCUUGGUCAAUUGCUGCAUUCACCAAUAAUUCUUCAACCUUUGAUUUUAAAGCUUCCAUGCUAUUUAUCUGCAAAUAACGAAGUUGAUCUCAGCACGCUAUUAGCAAAACAACAAGGCUUGAUCACUAGACAAAAUGAGAACGUUUAAUUACCUUUUUCUGUACUGUGAAUGCACGUCUAUUAACACCAGCUUUGACCAAUAAGAGCAAAAUGCAGAGGCCGGGGGGGGGGGCUUAAGAGUUUCAGUGGCCUUUAGCUGCAAAACGGAAGAUGACAAAUAAGGUAAACGUUCCCAGCAAACGUGAUUUACGGUGAAUUAUAUUCAAAUUAGAUUAUUUUAAAAGUUGGUAAAUUAUUUAUCACUCUAUCUUAAUGAUACCUUAUUUGGGAUGGUAAAGAUUGGGGGUAAACUCCCUUUUAUUCUCACAUGUUUAUAGUAUUUAUAUUUUUAUAAAUUACCUAAAACAUCCACGUCACUACUUUUAUGGCUAUUGAACAUAUCAUUUCAAAUAUAAAAUACUAUUUCGGUCUAAUAUAAAUUAAAAAUCAAACAAAUCUAUUGUGCAAUAAAUGAAAAGUAAAGAAUAUUAAUUAGGUUUUAAUGGAAACAAAUAUAAAACAUAGAGGUUUUGAGUAACUUUUGUGAUUUUUUUUUUAAUGUUCAAUUUAGAAUUGAAUAAUUUGCAUAAUGAAAUUUUGAGGUUUCUAUAAUUUAUAUGAAGAUAAACUGAAAAAUAAGUUUAUAUGCCGAAAUUAAAAUAGUUAUAUAUUAGCAAUCAUAUAAUUAUCAAAAAAAUUAAUAAAAUUUAUUUAAAAAUUGGCCAAUUGUGUUUCAUGAGGAAAACAGAGAGCAUAAUGGACUUAUGUUGGGUCUUGGGAUUGAAGGACUAAGGGCAAGGGGCUGGGAGGUAGGACGGUAGGAAAAUUAAUUUUUUUUUUUUUUUAAAGUAUGGUCAACAUUAGUGACUUGGAGGUGAUUGCCGUUAAUCAAUUACCUUUAACUUAAGAAUUAAUACAAAUAAAUGGCAAAAAUAAUUUAAUGAAAAUUAAUUUAAUAAAAAAUUGCACUAAAAACUUAGAACUCAAAUUCUCGAUCAUUUUAUCCGUACGUUUUAAUCCGACGCUCAGAAUUGGCAUAAAACAAACUAAUAUAGCCAUUGGAAGUAAAACAAACAUCAAAUCAAGAGCCUAUGAAACGAUAAUAUCUCGUACCUUCUUCCUUAUAGAUCCUCAAUUGCUGCUGAAAGCUGCAUAUGACAAUAUAAAUAAACAUGAGAUCAAAACAUCAUAGGAUAUAUCUAACCAAUUAACAUCAUAUAUAACUCCUUGUUCUCAGUCAAAUCUUUCAUUCUUAGAUUAAAAAAAAAAGAAAUAAUAACUGUUAAGUGAUAUAGGAAGCAAAAGUAACACACCGAAAUGAAAGCAGCAAGUUCACAAAUGACAGAUGCGGUGACUUCAAGAGCAUGAAAAAUGAUUAAACUUUGGUAGAAAGGUCUGAGCCGUGUUUCACAAGUUGCUAUUGACUUCGUGGCUUCGCUUUUAUUUAUUAUUAUUAUUAUUUUUUUAAAUUCUAUAUCAGUGAGAAUUGAAAUGUGGAAAGUGUAAUGAUACACAUGCCUUAUCAUCUAUCAUGAGGGGUGAUUUGGUAAAACCGAUUUAAAAUAAAAAAAAGUUUAAAAAAAUUGAAAAAAGAUGCUUUGUGUCUGACUGCCUGUAUUUGGGGUAUUUUUCGGGUUGUUGAGAGUCAGUUUAAUUAAAUAUAAGAUUUUCAUUUUUCUUAUUAUAUUUUUCUCUUUAGAAUGAAUUUAAAUCUCAUUCUUAUUAAAUCCAUUUUUUUAAAUGAAAGUAGAUUUCUCUCCACACAUUUGAGAUAUAUUUUAAAAUUAAUGUUCAGCAUAUCUCUAAAUUAUAUUAUAAAUAUUUUUAUUUAAAAUCUCAACAAAUUUCAUAACACACAGAGAGAAAUACAUAUAUAUGUUGUAAUGUUUUAAUGAUGGAUCUCUAAAGUUGUCAAGUUAAAAAAUAAAUAAAAAAAUAAAAAAUACACACUUCAACUUAUUAUAUGAUAAAAUAUAGUAUAUUAAAGUGAGUAUUUUUUGUGUGAAAUAAAAUUAAAGUGAGUACUAUUACCACCUCACAUCUUAUAAAUUCUAGAAAAUAAUCAAGGCUUGACAUACUUUUAUUUAUGCAAAAGCAUAAGAAAAUAAUUCAAAGUAAUAAUUAGUGUACUAUUCCUCAAAAUUCUAGAAUAGAUUUGUUAGUUCUCUUUAUCUAUAGAUUGGUCCAUGAUUGGCAUCGCAAUAGCUCAGAAUCGCCUCAACGAUUGUUCCACACGGUCCAAGUCUUCUUAGCAAUAGUUUUAGAGAAAGUGUUUAGUAGUUCCAAGUCUUCUUUUUUUAACACAAAUGUUGGCAUGAUAUUCUUAAUAUAUUUUUAAAAUCAAAAUAAGAUGCAUAGAGGACAAUAAUUUUAUUUGAUAAUUGAUUUUUUUGCAAAGAAAGUUUGAACAUGAGAGUGAUGAGAGAUGAGAAUAUUGAUGAUGGUGUGUACUUUAGAUGGAAAAAUAGAUUGGAAAUAUAUAUAGACAUAUUAAAAGAAAAAAAUUUGGUCUAUUUCAUAAGAGAAACAAAAAAUUAUAAACGCAGGUGUUAAAAUGUAUUCAGAAUUUAUAAAUUUUUAUAAAUAUGAUAAUCAUUAGACCCUUAUAAAAGUAUAGCAAAAAGUUUAAAAUUUUUUAAUAAAUGUCGAAGAGAUGGACGAAGAAACCAUCCACCAGUUCAGAAUUAAUAAUCAAAGAUAUGAGGAUUCGAUCGAAGAAAUGGUGAAAAAUAAAAGGUCACGGGAUUGGUUAGUGGGACCCUAACAUUAAUGGUAAAAAAUAAAAGGACACUGGGUUGCUAUCAAUUUUUACAGUGUAGGUUCAUAGCCGGGGAAGUAAUUGGGCACAAAUAUCUCGGAUGAGAAAUAUCCAUUUUAUCCCGCAACUUUAUGUUUAUGGCCUCUAAAAAUUUUCACCUCUUUCACUUCUGGAACCCGUGCUUUCUGGCACAUGCACAAUACUUGGUUGCUACUUAUAAAGCGUUUUUACAAUUGCAACGACAUGGUGCUCUUUGAUAAUUCAAAAAUCCAAUAUAAUUUAUAGAGAAUUACAGAAUUGUGGUACGUGAUAAUUUGCUGACGCAAUGAGGCGCCUAAAUUCUUAUACAUGGGAUUUAAGUUAAAUAUGUAUAAUUAUGUAAUUAGAAAAUACUAGUUGGGGGUAUUUGUGUCCAUGAAAAUUUACAGCUGGUUGUUGACAUUACACUGCGGGUGUGUAAGUGUAAUCAUGGAUCUGACCAUUCAAAUUAAAAAAUGGGGGUCCCACUAACUUACGGAGUUAGUAAUUAUUACAUAUGCAGAUAUUCUCCCAUACGAUAACCUUAUCAUAAAUUUAAAGGAUACGAGGACUUGAUUGAAGAAAUGAAUGAAUAUUUGAAUUAAAAAAAAUUUAUAAUAAAGACAAGUAUUAAUUUACUAUGAAUGUAACUUACAUAUGCUGUAAGUUAGCGGGACACUAUUGAAUCACAAGCAAAAAACAAUCUGUCUUCUUCUUGAUUCCGUAAUUUGGCUGUCAAAAUGUAAUCUAUAAAGAUUACGAUACCUCGAUUCAAAAAAAUAUUUUUUUUUCUUAUGAAAUAAAUGAAAACUGAACACCAUUCAAUUAACCGUUUAUUUCCCCUUAAAUUUUUAAUCUCAAUGAAACAUAGAUCUAAUGGGAACUACACAUAUAUAAAAAUACUAUAGAUUGAAGAAGUUGAAUUUUUCUUGUGUGUUAAGUAUUUUUGGUUAAUACGAAAGGAUUCUAGCAAGUUAAUACAAAAGUAUCAUAAAUUCACUGUAGUACAAGAUUUUUUUUUUUUUCCUUUGAUGUUAAGAGUUUUGGAGAUUAAAAAAAAAAGAUGAAAGAAGAAGAUGAGAGAAGAAAAAAUAUUAAGAAUAGUUUUGGCAUUUUGAUGCGUUUUAUAGAGUAAAAUUUAUAUUUUAUAGUAUAAAAUGGUACACCCAAAAUUUAAUGAUAAAAUUUUAGGAAAAAAUUGCACUCGUCAAAAAAAAAAAAGAGGCUCAGCUUAGCCCAAAAUUUUUUUAUUAAUCGUCUAGUCACAAAUGUAAUCUCUUUUUUAUGAGAUUCUUUGGCGUUUUAAUUUAGUCCAUUGUUAGCAAUCCUAAUAGCUUUUAUGUGCACCUAUUUUUAUGUGAAAUAUGUUUCAAGCUUGAAUAAAAUCUGCGGGACAACUGGUAAGUAAUAAAGCUCAUCAUUUUUUAUUUUGAAAAUAAAGGGAAUCACUUACACUUUAGCACGAUAUUAUUUUUGAUAAGUCAUUUUUUGGAUAGAUUAUUUUUUCUGACGGGUAAUUUUUAGGACCUCUCCUGAAAUUUGAUGUAUUAACACUUAGAUGAAAUGUAUCCAUAUAAUUACAUAUACCUCCCCUAUUGUUAAUAUAAAAAUAUGUAUAGCGUCAGAUAAAAGGGUAAAUAUGUAAAAAUAUAUUUAAAAUUAAAAAUAUUUACUUUUACCAAAUCAUUAAAAUUUUGACCCACUUGCCCGCUGUUGGCCCAACCUUGACCAGCCGGUCAUGGCUCCACCGGCGACUGGUGGUGGUGCUUUGCCACUGCCGGAGUCCUCUCCUCACACCUGCGACCAAUCCCAUUCACGGCAGCCUUUGAAUCAACUGCAUCAACCAACACACAUUAACACAAGUACACGGCUUUUUGAAGUCUCUUUUGUUUUGCGUUUUCCCUUCACUGAGAAAAUUUGUCAGCUAAUAUAAUAAGCUUUGUUGCCUUAGAUUUGAGAUUACAGAGUCCUGAGCAGAUGUUGUGGCUGUGAUGUGGGUUUUAUUGUAUUUGACUAAUAGGCAAAAUACCUUUUAUUGGCCUACAAGGACGGUGCCUUUUUCUUCUUGUUGGGGAACUUCGUGAAGAAUCCAGCUUGCUUUUUUCUUCCUUUUCUUUCUUCAUUUUAAUUCAUUUUUUAAUUUAUAAUAACUUUUUGAGAUUGAAUUAUCGGCUUCACAUGUAAACAAUGGCAUUUGGUAUGUCACAAGUGCAUAGUUAUUCUUAUUUUUUAAUUUAUUUUUUUCUGAUGUUUUUGUUGCUGGAAUUAAUUUCUCAAGGUUUUGGCAUCACUCCCCAUUGGAUUUGCUAUGUUCAUGGUACAAUUGGCCACAAUCCCAAUCACUCGCACUGGAAUUAACCCAGCAAGGAGUCUCGAAGCUGCUGUUAUUAACAAUAAGGACAAGGCUUGAGAUUGACCAAUGGCUCUUUUGGGUGGUGGUGCUUUGCCACUGCCGGAGUCCUCUCCUCACACCGGCGACCAACCCCAUUCAAAGCAGCCUUUGAAUCAACUGCGUCCACCAACACACGUUAAUCCAAGUAUGCUUUUGUCUCAUCAGAACCCCCACACCCCCGCUGCCCCUUUGGCAAUCGCCGACGCCACCCAAUAGCGGCUAACAUCACCCUUGAACCAUCCCGAUACCAUGCCGCAACCUCUAGCAUCCCAAAACCCAAACUGCACACAACUCUCAAAACCCUUGCUCGAGCUUGUCACGCCGCAUACCACUGCCGUAAUUUGUACCAACAGUGAUGGUUCCAUAUCGUCACUGUCCAUCCCCUCAACCAACCCCCCAUGCAACCCCGACCUCAAUAACAUCUCAACAACCACGAACGCACGAUUUCUUCAACCUGCACUUACGGCCACUUUUAAUGAAAUUCUCACUGCCAACGGAAUUCUCAAAGUUAUAUAUAAUAAUUUAUUAUUUCAGCAGCAAGGAUAGUUUAAUAAUUUUAAAUGUUUAUUAACGGUCAUCUUAAUUAGUAACUAACGGCAGGGGAGGUAUAUGUAAUUACAUAAAUACAUUCUAUCUAAGUAUUAAUAAACCAACCCUCACAGAAGGUCAUUAGAAAUUAUCCUUUUUCUGACAGGCUCUUAGAUUUGGGAAAAUAAAUUGUGUACUUUUAAUGAAGAAAAGUAAAAGAUCAAUAAAAUAUUUUGUUGUUUUCGACAAUUUUUGCGUUGUCAAGUGCGCCUGGUACCUUUUUUUUUUUUUUAACUUUUGAGUUGUUGUUUAAUUUGUAUUAUAAUUAAUUAUCAUGGACCCACGUGCCACUGUUUCCAUUUCAAGUUUCAUAAUUUAACAGUGGAAAUGGGUUCCACAGAUAAUUUAUUUUAUAAUUUUUUAAAAAAAUUAUCAAAAUGUAAUAAAUAAGGUAAUAAUAAUUAAUAAAAAGUAGAUUUUAAGAUGGAAAAAUCUUUUUGUGUACUUAAUAAAAAGAUGAUAAGAUUGGGAUGCUUUUGGUUUACAUUCUCAUAGCUAUUUCUACUGAAAAAUUACAUCAAAAUUUAAUUAAUAAAUCAGUGAACUGCAGACUUAUUAAAUUUAAGCAAUUUUAAUAAGUCAUAAAUAUACUAAGUUAAAAUAGUAGUAAACCCAUCGUUACACAAUUCUCUCCAUUGAAUGUUCACCACUUUAAGAUAAUCAUAAAAUGACACUGGAUGUGCUAUUAUCUGUUUCAUUAAAAGCCUUCACAAAAUAAAAGGCCGGUGAACAAAGUUGGUCAUAGAAAAAAGGAGCAUAGAGCACAUACAUCCAGUUUUUAUAUCCUCUGAUACUGAGUCGUCACAUGCUAAUGCUAUAGACUAUAUGAUAAUCUACUAAGGUGACGCAUGCCAAUGCUAUAGACUAGCUUUUCAAAGGUUGAAGUGGGUAUACUUUUAGUAAAAAGACCUGCAAAAUUAUAAUGUAUCUAUUUGACAUCAACUUUUUUUAUCUGCUGGAGCUUAUGAUUAUAGAAGAUCUUCGGUAAGAUGUGUUUGAUUUUAUCUUCUUUUAUAUAUCCUCCUCUAACUUGUGUAAUAGUAGUAAACCCCUGCCCGUUUUUAUUUCGUUUAGUAUUUUCUAAAUGGCCGAAGGAAAAUUGGUAAAAACUCAUUUAAAAAUAAAAAAAAAUCAAAGAAAUUCAAGAAGAAGCUUUCUAUCUGCCAUUUGUAUUUGGGGUAUUUUUUUGGUUGUUAAGUGAAUGAGCUUAAAUCUAAAACAUUUAUUUAUAUAUUUCUUGUUGGAAAGAAUUUAAAUUUUAUUCUUAUUAGACUUAUUCUCUUUAAACAAAGGUAGAUUUUUCUCUAUGUGUUUAACGUGUAUUUUAAAAUUAAUGUUCAACAUAUCUUUAGAUUCUAUUAUAAAUAUUCAUAUCUAAAAUCUCAACAGAUUUCAUAAUAUAUAAAGAGAGAGAAUAACGUUUCUAAUAAAAAAUUUAUUAAGUUAAAGAAUAAUUCAAAAGAUAAAAUAACACACUCCAAUAUAUUAUAUAAUAAAAUAUAUUGUAUUAAAAUAUAUAUUUUGUUUACUUUUUUUAAUAUAUCUCCUAAUAACUUAAGAAAUCAUUUAUUUAACUAUAUAUAUAUAGAGAGAGAGAGAGAAAAAUGUUCACGAGAAACCUUUAAAACUGCAUGGUUUUAAAUGUUUAAAAUGUAAGAACCGAUGAACAAUUUUUGACAAAGACGUUGCGACCUAAGUAGGGAUAGCAACUAAAUUCGGAUCCAACUCGGAUAUGUAAGGAUCCGAAAGAUCCAGAUCCAGAAAAUUUUUUAUCUGAAUAUUAAAAAAUGUUGAUCCGGAUAUAGAAAUUUGGGAUCUGCACGUAUUGGGAUGGAAGUACAUUCGGAAAAUUGGAUAACGAGAUCUAGAUAACUUUUGUUUCAAAUUAAAAAUAUAUAUUAAAAAUUAAAUGAAAAAUUAAAAAAGUAAAUUUCAUUUGUGGAUUUAUGAUGUUGUUGUAUAUUAUUCAUGUUGAAUUAUUAAUUGCUGGAUAUGAUUGAAUUUUUUUUGAAAUUAUUGGGUAAAUUUUUGAAUUUUAUUUUAAAUUAAAAAUAUUUAUUAAAAAUUAAAUAAAAAUAAAACAUUAAAUUUUAUUUGUAAAUUUAUGAGAUUAUUGUAUGUUAUUCAUUUUGAAUUAUUAAUUGUUGAAUUAUGAUUAAAUUUUAUUUGAUAUUAGUAGGUAAAUUAUUAAACUUUCAAAUUAUAUAUUAAAUUAUUUAAUUAUAAUUUUUACGGAUCCGAAUAUCUAGAAUAUCUGUUCGCAUCCGGAUCUACAUAUUUUUUUACGAAUCCAGAUAUAAAAAUAUGAAUGUGGAUCCAAAUUCGGAUUUUGCCAACCCUAAACCUAAGCAUGAAUGUGCCUAAAGUUUUUACUAAGAACAUGGAUCAUUCAAUGACACGACAUGUUUUGCAGCUCUCAUUAGUAUAAUUGAAUAAUUAAUUCAUCUCUAUAUUCAGCUUACACCGUCUCAAAUUGCAUGCAAAUACGAAAGUACACUUUUGAAUCGUUCACUUGAGGAAAAUUAGAUUCUCCACGUAGAAUUUAGAUUCAAAGCAUAGCAAAUUAGACAUAAUUCUAAUUUAUAUGGGAAAUAUAAUUAGCGAAGACACUCUUUAUAUAAACAUUAUUGUCAUAGGAUGCCAAACCUAAUAAGAUUCAAGAUCUUAACAUACUUCAUAUGAAAUUUGAUCUUGACGCGUACCGACACGCAUAACAUCAAGACUCUACUUCAUAUAAUGUAACUUCAUGGAUUUUUCGCUCUCUUGUGAAAUUGACAAUUAUGGGCGCUGUGUGGCAGUGGUACAUAAUAAAAUAAACAUUUAUUUUUAGAAUAUUAUUAUUUAUCUCAAUUUUUUAUUUAAUAGUUAAUUUUAAUCAAUUCUUAAACUGUCAUAAUCAAUUAAUUUUUUACAUUAUGGUAUCUUAAAUAAAUUUUGGAUCUGUAAUAAAUAAAAACUGGUAACGUUUGUUCUUUUAAAACAUAAAACAACCGUAACAUUGGUUUUUACAUUUUGAAUUUUUCUUGCAUCACUAUUUAGAAAAAUGAUGUUAAAUCAACUCACAAAAUAUAUCAAGUCAUCUAAAAUCCAAAUAUUAUUACAUUUGUAUUUGUAUUGUUAAAUUGUUGGAACGACGGCAAAGCAAUUGAAAAGAGAUUAACAAAAAAGUAAAGAUUGGCCAAGGAUUAUUCAUGUUUAGGAAAUGCCUUAACUUUUGAUAUAAUCAUUGUUAUAAUUAUAUUGUAGAAAUAAUCAAUUACCUGUGUUUAUGUUGGUCUCCUUUUUUUCCAUUUCUGUACAACGAAAUAUUUGCAUGUUUUGAUAGAAAUUGGUUUAAAUGACAUUUAAAAUUGUAUAUCCCCAGACAAUUAACGAAAUAUUUGGAUGGUAGGAUGAAGUAAUAAAUAGUUUUACAAAUUACCAUAUUAGAGGUAAAAAAAAAUAAAAUCGAGAGGUUACUUGACAAUUAUGACGUUACUAACUACAAAUUUAACACAAAAAGUUUAAUUAACUUUUCUUUUUGAGAUGACAAAAUCUCUGGUGUUGAAAACAAUGAGGUUUGAGGUUCAAGCUUGAAUAUUAAGUUACAAUUAGUAGAUGGUCUUAGGACAUAUCAAAGAUUUCUUUAAAGACAAAAUAAUUAUUAUAAGCAAUAGGAAAUUAUGGUAUUCAGAACAUGUAACCUUCGCACAUGAAGCUUGAAUCCAGAACAAGAUGCAGCUAGCCAAUCCUUCCAACUUCCAAAAACCCACAAAAUCUCUGUCAACAUGUCUGUUCUACUUCAAUAAUAAGCACAUUCAUAGCGGUAUCAACAGCUUACAGCGCCAAAAUAUUUUCCCCAAAAAGAGUGAGAGAUUUCACUGAAGCUAAGUUGUGACUUGUGACUGCCCAAAUGUUCUAUAA